GGACAGACCAUUUAGUUGUUCAGGCACAAAAUAAAUAUAGAUUAUGAAAUGUAUAGAAACACCUGGUCAUACAGGCACGACCACUAAACAGUCGAAGCAACAUUUUCACCAGUUGUGCAGUGUUACUCAACACAAACAUACUUAUAAUUAUAAGGCUAGGGUUAAAUAAUGGGCUUACUUAACAAUAUGCUAUGGAUAACUGGUGAUGAACCCCCUGUAAUGAAUCAUGAGUUGGGGGGAGACUAUCAGAAGCAGCAUCUCCAAGGAGACAAUAGGUGAAGACACCGAUGAUAGAAUGUCUGAAACAACUGGUAAGUAGACCAAAAACGCCCACAAUAAACUUACAGCAUUGCUUAACCAUUCCUUAUCAAGGUGAAGCAUCAAUUGGAGGGGCACUGAAAUAAACUUUAACCACAAUAGUGAUUAUGUUUCUUACAUUGAAACAUUACUUUUAAACAUUAGUUUUUAACAAAUGCACAUGAAGAAUUUCAUCAACCUCACCUUUAUUCUUUGCACAGUCUGUGCCGCAGGAUUCAUCAAUGCUCAUAUCAAAUGUCCCUGAAAACAAGAAGCAAGACUAGCUUCUUACAAAUAUAGAACUGGUUUAAUGAGCACAAAGGCAUUUCUUAUAUACAGUUUUCCCCACAAGGUUACCACUCACAUGGACCUUGUGGAACAGAGGACACAAAGUCACAACAGCCAAUCAACACAGUAUUGUACAGUUAGACACUCCCAGCUAAUGUACACAAACCCUCCCUUCUGCCUGUGAUACAAUUCCCAAACACAAUGGACUAACUCAAUUACCACAGGCAGAAAAUAUCCAGUUUUACCCAAAGUUCAGAAACACCCCAAAACAACAACAUAUACCCUACAUUCCUGGGUAGCCCUGAUCUGGAUGAACAACAUAUCCCAAAAACCACCCAGAUCAGAGCAGGGGUUCAAAAGUUUUAUGGAGGUCACAUUUGACCGACCUCAAGCAUGGCUUUCAUACCCAAAAUAGUUCCACAGAUUUAGGCUGUGCGACCGGUCUAUCUUCUCCUCUUUCCUGGAGAUAAUUGGCUUAAGUGGCUGUGGUAAGCCAAUUAUCUCCAGGUACAGUCCAAAAACUGUUACAAAAACCACAUAACUCAACCACAUAAAUACAUAACUCAUAUAAUACAAUUUUUAACCUAUAUGUCCAACAUAACCCCAGAUAGCUUGGAUCUGAGCACUCAAUAUGUCCGAACAGCGCUCACAUCUCACAAAUACAGUUGGAUCGCCGUGUGGUUAAAGCUGUCUCUUUUGACCAACUGCAAGCAUGGCUUUCAUGGCCAAAACAGUUCCACAGAUUUUGGCUGUGCGGCCGGUCUAAUUUCAAUGUUAAAAGUGCACUAUAGUAGGGUGAGGUCAGAAGAUAGCAAGGGCUGAUGGGAGAUUGAGGAGGGACAAAUCAGCCAGUUUAAACUGGUCUGGCAGUGUCCCUGAGACAACGCCCUGCUGGAGAAACAAUAGGACAGGAAAAAGGGGGGGGAGGGGGAGAGGCACAUUUCCCCAUGGAUUUAAAGGGGCAGAAAAAGUGUUUUAAAAUCCAAUAAGCCCAAAUAGACUUUUAGUCGCAGGGCAGGAGGCUGGCAAGCAGGCCCCUCCAAAAACUCAUGGCAAACUCCCUUAAAAAGGGGAGUUUGUCACAGACAGGUAUAACAGGAAUAAUCAGAGUCGAUACAAAGCUUGGUCAGGAUACCAGAAAUCACGAGUCAAAUACGAAGCCGGGGUCAGGAUACCAGAAAUCAAAAGUCAAAUACGAAGCCGAGGUCAAACACAGGAAAUCACAAGGGUAUCACUUGGAGCACUAAACGAGGUUCUAACAGAAACCACAAUAGGGCAAUGUUCUGAUGGUCCACGUCAUCACUACAAUCCAAAACACAUGAGGAUCACAAUGAUGACGUAGUCACUUUAAGAGUGGCCAUGACGUCAUACCCACAUUUAUAUAUAGGCGUCCAGCCGUGCAGCCGCAAGGAGGUCACGUGGAGCGCCCGGACCAUGCGACAGGAGGAGGUCUGCACGGCUCGGUGGAGGUAAGUAAAGCCACAAGUAUCCAUAGAUUUACAUCCAUGCAGGGUUCACAUUCCUGGGCUACCAAAUGGCCUCAAAAGGCAACAGAGACACAGCAAACUGAAUUGGCAAGCCCUAUAUUGACCCGUAACUUUUCAAAACUCAAUAAAACCUGAGUGUUUAAAACAGUAAAACCUAUCACAAUGAUGAAAUCACCAGUAAAAGUGCAUUUUUUUGUGUAAAAAAAAUGCAAAAAACAAAUAAAAGUGGCUACUACAAAAGACUAGACAUGAUGUGUAAGAUUGUGGGGAUCAAAGUUAGAAAAAGGGUGUUUUUUAAUUUUUUCAUCAUAUUUUAGAAAAUAAAUUUACAGUAAAUUAUAUGAUGUGAUGAAAAUAAUGGUAUCUUUAGAAAGACCAUUAAUGGCGAGAAAAACAGUAUAUAAUAUGUGUGGGUACAGUAAAUGAGUAAGAAAAAAAGUACAGCUAAAGACAAACACCGUAUAAAUGUAAAAACAGCCCUGUUCCUUAACGGUAAGAAAAUUGAAAAACAGUCUGGUCACUACGGGGUUAAAAAACUAACCAGAUCACUAUAGUGGUUAGGUUGCUUUAGGUGUUCCGUUAGUACUUGAUGCAAAAGGAAAGUAACUCAUGAAGUACAAUUCAUACUUUAUGGAUUUAUUUCAUUUUACAAGUUGUACUGCAAGUGUCACACACUUUUAAGUGUGUUACAUUGAAAGGCUUUCUCCAACCGUCAUAACCAGAAGAACCUGCUGUAAUGGCUAUGAUGGUAGGAAUACCUGGGUUUAGUAAUGGUUUGCCGUUUUACCAGGGUUCCGUCAGGCUUCUGAUUUUCUUUGAAGGCAGAUUUACAACAUCCAGUUUCUGUAGAGCAGCAAAAGACGAUUGCCAAUAAUUCAGCUCAUUGAUUGUCAGAGAUUGUCCGUUCCCUGCCAAUGAAUGAGUGUCUGUGCUUAAAAAUCUGCAUAGAAUUGACAUGAGCUAAUGACACCCCUAUGGGGUUGCCAGAGGUAUAGCUACACCUCUGGCAGCAAAAGGGUUCCUCUUCAUAUGUGCAGAGUUUCAACGCAAAACACUGCAAAAAAGACUCAAGACACCUUGACUACUGAAUCACUAAAGUGGUCAUGGUGCCUGACUAAUCUUUUAAGUGUGAUUUUAAGUGUUGUGAUUGUUUCUUGAUGUGUCUUUUGGUCCGUUGCACUUCCUUUUCCAGUCUUGUGGAUUAAUAUAUAUCAGUGUAAUUGAUAGAUGUGAAUGUUUGCAUGGUUAUCUGCUCCCUAUUAUCUGGAUAAUUUGACCUAGACUGAGAACUUUUAUUUUCACAAAUGCUAGCGAUAUUAUGGUGUCAUUUGUACCAUGUUAUGAUGUAUCAUGUAUAGCCAAGUGGUGUACAUAUCUUAGCACUCACAACUGCUUAUGAUGUAAAUGUAAAUAUUUUCGAAAUGGCAUAAAAUCUAUAUACAAACGUGUCUUAUAGCAAAUUAUUAUGACUGCUAUUUUGUUUCAUCCACAAUGGAGUGCGCACUUAUUCCGGAAUGUAAGUUUGCGCUAGUACACAUUCUCAAACCAAAUAUUUGUUUUAAUUAGGUUUUUAUUAGCAUCAGUACAAUCAGUACGAUUGUCCAAAUAUUUGUAUGUUGUAUCUGAUACUUUUUCACACUGUACAUUUCCUUAAAAUGAUAUAACCUCAUAUGGUAUCCAGGGUAUGUUUCUCAGCAUCACCUAUUAUUAAGCAUGCUAGUCAUACACAUGUGGCAUGUGAAUUUUGCGUCUUUGACAUACUUUCAUCAGCAUUAUUGGUUCAAAUUUAAGUAUUACUACCAAUCAUAUACCUUGGGAGAGCUUAUGAAUGAGCUGGACUAGGACCUAGUAUUUUUGCACAUCUGGUCUAAAGUUCUGGCACCUCCAUUUCAAUAUUCUGAUUUCGGGGAACUUACCCCAGAUGACUAUUGCGCUGCACUAUAAUACUCAAACAACAGCAUGCAGUUUUGGAUCUGACAUCCUUUUGAGAGGAGUAGAGAAUUACAUUCCCAGAGUGAUCUAGACAAUGAAAACAGUUUGAGUACACCAAAUAUGCACUCAGUCAAGAUUCGAGUCAUGCAUUGUGCUCUGAUCUAUACCUUCUCUACUGGACCUGUUUUACUAAUGACAGUUGUGUGCAGCCAGGCACAAGCAAUGACAUGUGUAAGUGGAGGUGAGAAAUCAAAGGAUGUAUGUCUCCAGAUGUCAAGUAGAGGAGAUCCCAUGACACCAGCUGUAAGUAUGGUCACACGCGAUGGCUGCAAAGGUACUCUAAGUGUUAACAUAUGUACUUUGCAGCAGCUAUACUUUUGUAAAAUGCCUCUCUUCAAUCUUUUUAAAGCUAGAUCAGUGAUCUGGGACAAAUAAGUCAAGCAUGCUUUCAGAGAGACCAUCUUGACAUACUCUUUGUGCAUUUUAUGAGAACAAAUAAUUAGCAAAUUAUGGAAUUGCUUGCAAUUUCUGUUUAAGUGCUUUUGAUCUUGGUAAGGCCUGAGGGCCAUAUGGUUGCAAAAACUCCCAGACAAUCUCUCCAGUUGGUAAAAGUCCAUUUUGAGACUCUGUCAGCAACCUCUACAAGGUUAUCAUUAUUUAAGAUGUAGUGGGGAAAACACAAGUAAAUCCACCGAGCUUUAAUGUCUAAUUCUCACAUGGACAAAAUCUAAAACACAACUGUAGGAUUCACUGUUACAUAUGCUUCAGAUGAUCACAUGAAAUCUUGCCCCUUAUGUCUGGUUUCCAUAUGCAUAUGGUCUGUAUCUGUGUUAGUUAAAAGAUACCUGAUUUUUUAUGUCAAUAUUUCAACUUAAAUUUGGAAAAGUCCCAUAAGGAUCUUGGCCCAUGCUGAGUAAAUUAAAUCACACACAUUCAAACACUCCCGCAUUUUAAUCCAUUAAUUUACCUCAUACUAAAGGUGCUGUAUGUAAUUGAGAUAUAGGGACUGUGCAAGUGAUCUGUAAAAUGGGCUUAGGUACACUGCAAGCCAUAUUCACUAAACACUAAAUUUGUUUUUUAUAAUUUCAGCUUUUUGCAUUCAAUGCAAUUGUUAAGUCUCUAGCAUUCAGUUGUCUAACUUUCUCUGUGAUUCACUGUUUAGCAGCAGGUUACGCUCCAGACCAUCGCUGUAAGGUGAAAAUUGUGGCUGUGGCACUUUCUUCAAACAAUGCAAUAGUGAUGUUUGCCUCAUUGACUUGCACUUUUUUUGUGAAGUAUUUCUCUGAAGCAUGCUAUACCGUUUGACUAUUGAAUCCAAUAGCUAUAUUUUACAUAUAAAAUAUUGGAUUUGCGAUUCAAUGUAAUUUAUGGAGACAUAAUCCUUAAUAAUUUUGAAAACAAAAAGCUGCUGGUAAAUUCUUUUUAUGACUAUUUGUCUGCUCGUAUCACUAGCAGACCCCCAUAUUAGUAUAAGGGAGCUUUAUUACCUCCCCCUUGCUCUCACUCACUGUGCCACGACUGGGGACAUGUUCUCUAGCCAGUGGCUGCUCACUGUCAUACAAUACUAGCUGCUGGUAGUUAUUGCUGCCUUCUUGUUAUUAACAUACAGGGGUAACCUGGUACAGGUCCCCUGGGUGACCAUUCGUGAUCACUAUACCUCUGGGCACCAACAUGAAGAUGAAGAUAGUUUGAUUGGUUUUGGCCCCAUAGGUCUGCUGUAUUUUCUCUUUGCUCAAAUAUUUUGUUUUGUUAAAAAAUAACACAUUUUUUUCUCAGUGUUCUGGACUUAACCAUAUGUAUAAUGCUGAUUUGUCAUCCAUUCUUAUUUAUGACUGCCAUUUCAGUUUGCAAUAGGUAUUACAAUCAGCACUGAUUGCAGUCAGCACUUACCAGUCACCAAUGCCCUGCUUAUGAUCCCAAGACUAAUCAGCCCUCGGCGCUGCCUUAGAUAUACAGAAAAAGUUAUUCAUAUAGAGAAUCUUUACUUCACACUGACUGCAUCCCAACCAGCUUCCGUUUUUGAGAUAUGAGGCAAAAAUGAUGGACUAGCAGCUGAGGAGCUACUAGUUUAAAAAAUAGUAUUUAUAACUUACAUUUUAUUAAGAAAAAAAUAGUAAGUGACAUAAAACAAUAAACAAGAAACUCACAUACACAUAAAUGAGGUUCAAAGGAAACCUGUAGAUGUCCUUUAAUAAUAAUAUUUUAAAUAGAUCUCCAUUCAUAAUACGUAAAUUUCAGUAGUACAUUUUUUUUACUGUAUAUCCUACAGGUAUAGACAGAAGUGUAUAUAAGUGAAAAAAACCUAAUAUAACAAAGAGUGGAGUUAGAGAGAGCCAAUCCUGGAGGAGAGGUUGUGUGCUACCUUAAGAGCACUAAAGCAAAAAAACAAAAAACUGAGCCAUACAUACUGGGCUUAGGUUGAUGUGAGUGUAUUUCUUACACCAUUUAUUACUUGUUAUCAUGGUAACAUCCUCACCACAUAUGUGAUUUUGUUUCUCUUUUUUAUGUCCCAUCUACGCUUAAAGAUUUACAUAUAUAUAUCUACAUAUAAAGAAAGAGGGAAGCUCAUCCCCCCUAUAUGCACCAUUAAAUUACAGUUUCAAUGCUCAACUCUUUGUAGUAUAGGGCUGUUUUCAUUUGUAUGCACUUCUGUCUAUCUAUACAGGGAGUGCAGAAUUAUUAGGCAAGUUGUAUUUUUGAGGAUUAAUUUUAUUAUUGAACAACAACCAUGUUCUCAAUGAACCCAAAAAACUCAUUAAUAUCAAAGCUGAAUAUUUUUGGAAGUAGUUUUUAGUUUGUUUUUAGUUAUAGCUAUGUUAGGGGGAUAUCUGUGUGUGCAGGUGACUAUUACUGUGCAUAAUUAUUAGGCAACUUAACAAAAAACAAAUAUAUACCCAUUUCAAUUAUUUAUUAUUACCAGUGAAACCAAUAUAACAUCUCAACAUUCACAAAUAUACAUUUCUGACAUUCAAAAACAAAACAAAAACAAAUCAGUGACCAAUAUAGCCACCUUUCUUUGCAAGGACACUCAAAAGCCUGCCAUCCAUGGAUUCUGUCAGUGUUUUGAUCUGUUCACCAUCAACAUUGCGUGCAGCAGCAACCACAGCCUCCCAGACACUGUUCAGAGAGGUGUACUGUUUUCCCUCCUUGUAAAUCUCACAUUUGAUGAUGGACCACAGGUUCUCAAUGGGGUUCAGAUCAGGUGAACAAGGAGGCCAUGUCAUUAGAUUUUCUUCUUUUAUACCCUUUCUUGCCAGCCACGCUGUGGAGUACUUGGACGCGUGUGAUGGAGCAUUGUCCUGCAUGAAAAUCAUGUUUUUCUUGAAGGAUGCAGACUUCUUCCUGUACCACUGCUUGAAGAAGGUGUCUUCCAGGAACUGGCAGUAGGACUGGGAGUUGAGCUUGACUCCAUCCUCAACCCGAAAAGGCCCCACAAGCUCAUCUUUGAUGAUACCAGCCCAAACCAGUACUCCACCUCCACCUUGCUGGCGUCUGAGUCGGACUGGAGCUCUCUGCCCUUUACCAAUCCAGCCACGGGCCCAUCCAUCUGGCCCAUCAAGACUCACUCUCAUUUCAUCAGUCCAUAAAACCUUAGAAAAAUCAGUCUUGAGAUAUUUCUUGGCCCAGUCUUGACGUUUCAGCUUGUGUGUCUUGUUCAGUGGUGGUCGUCUUUCAGCCUUUCUUACCUUGGCCAUGUCUCUGAGUAUUGCACACCUUGUGCUUUUGGGCACUCCAGUGAUGUUGCAGCUCUGAAAUAUGGCCAAACUGGUGGCAAGUGGCAUCGUGGCAGCUGCACGCUUGACUUUUCUCAGUUCAUGGGCAGUUAUUUUGCGCCUUGGUUUUUCCACACGCUUCUUGCGACCCUGUUGACUAUUUUGAAUGAAACGCUUGAUUGUUCGAUGAUCACGCUUCAGAAGCUUUGCAAUUUUAAGAGUGCUGCAUCCCUCUGCAAGAUAUCUCACUAUUUUUGACUUUUCUGAGCCUGUCAAGUCCUUCUUUUGACCCAUUUUGCCAAAGGAAAGGAAGUUGCCUAAUAAUUAUGCACACCUGAUAUAGGGUGUUGAUGUCAUUAGACCACACCCCUUCUCAUUACAGAGAUGCACAUCACCUAAUAUGCUUAAUUGGUAGUAGGCUUUCGAGCCUAUACAGCUUGGAGUAAGACAACAUGCAUAAAGAGGAUGAUGUGGUCAAAAUACUAAUUUGCCUAAUAAUUCUGCACUCCCUGUAUUGUAUUGGGUGAGGGAAGGAAGGUAUCCCUUCACAUGCUUUUUGGGCCGCUUUUAAAUUGUUAUUUGCACAAUUGAGUUUAUUGUGAUUCUUUAAGCGCUAUUAUGACACUUUGUUCUCUGUGAGGACACUUUUUAUUCACACAGCUAUGUAAAAGAUUAUCUGUUUAAACUUGGUUAAGCAAUUUCGUUGUGAAAUUAAUGGUUAGAUUUGCUGUUUUUCUGUGGUGCAGGUUGCUGAAAAUGUACAGUUCAUGCUAGUAUAUAAAUUUUCUCUUAAUAAUAAGCAAACUCAGGGGCUAUACACUAAGGGUCCAGUGGCAUCAAAGACAUCAGUUAUUUUUGUCAAAUUGCCAGCUGUUUACAAACUCCAUUUCACUGUAAAUAAAAUUGGCACUUUAGUUUUUGGAGAUUUCAAUUUGUUUGCAUUGCAUACUCCACAUUCAUUAAUCUUUGUACAUAAUUUAUAGCAAAAUUUAAUGAUGGCAGUUUUAUGAAAAAUGACAGCUGCAUGUAAACAUUACAUGGUUAUGUGAAAAUAAUAUUUCUAUAAGGUCAAAACAGCUGUCGUAAUGUGAUUUCCAAUUCUGGUUUUGCAAAACAAAAUAUCCACCAGAGAAAAGUAACAACAAAAAAUAAGACAUACUUUUUGCAGGCAGAGUGUUUUGAUAGCAGUUUAUCUGGAACACAUGAUCUGAUGAGAUGUUCGAUGAGGUAAGCAUGGUAGUUGAAUGAUCCAAUAUAUAGCCAGAAUAUCCAGUCAGAGAAUCAGUACUUUAAAGUAACGAGAUGGAGGAAUAAGACAGGUUAUUGAGCGAUUCUUUUGUUGAUAACAGAGUAUCACGUCAGGGAACACCAUAAAUCCAGGCCAAGUUGUUACCAUUCAGUCAGUUCUUGAAAAUUAAGGGUUUUAGAAAGAAAGUCUUUUAAGCCAGGGCAAGACUGUGUCCAUAAAAUCUGUCCAAAGUGCUUAGGGAAUUAAAUAAGAGAGGGGAACAUAAAACAAAGAAGAGGUUUGUAACAGUUGAAUCCAUCCAAAUAGUUUCUUGGAGAGAAGCUGAACUGUAAUUCAUGGAGGCACGCAGAGGUAGAUAAUUGGGAAGUGCUUCCAGAAUGAGUGUAUUGGACACAGGUUCUUGGGGCAGGGAACAUUGGGCCCCACGAGAAAAGAACUGCAGGGAGAGAUACAAAGAGUAGCAUAAGAAAAACGGUUUGAACACAUUGAAAUGGCAAGAAGGCAUCAAUGACAUGCACUUAAAUAUCCGUGCAUUAUGUCUGUCAUUGUCUCUGAAAGAUACAUCACCAAAAUCCUAGAAAAGCACAAUGCAGUGCCCAGUUUAUAAAGGCCACUUGUAAAGCCAUAAGCCAUUAAUUUGAAGACAAAUUAAAAGACACAAAAGACAAACAUUUCAGGAUUUCUGUCCCUUUCCCAAUGUACAAUUGCCCUUACAAGAAUAAAACUCACCAGUAUAAACAAUGUGUGUAAUUGCCUUCCAGCCAUCAAAACACUGCUCCCAGCCACAGGACAUAGCACCACCACUAUUGCCAAGGUCUUGCGAGAAUGGAUGACAUCACAUAUCAGGAAUUAUUAUUAUUAUCGCCAUUUAUAUAGCACAAACAGAUUCCAUUGCACUUUACAAUAUUAUGAGAAGGGGGACUUAACUAUAAAUAGGACAAUUACAAGAAAACUUACAGGGACGAUAGGUUGAAGAGGGCCCUGCUCAAACAAGCUUACAGUCUAUUGGAGGUGGGGUAUAAAACACAUUAGCACAGGAAAUAGCAAUCCAAUAAGGGGGGAUUGAAGCAGAGCAGGAGGAGAGAGUAGAGUUCUGCCAUUUAGGAGAGAGCAAGAGACAGGUAUGUGAGGUAUAGGUUAGUCUGGGAGGCCAUAAGCAUAAGCUUUCCUAAAGAAAUGGGUUUUAAGGCACUUCUUAAAUGAGUGAAGACUAGGGGAGGCUAUUCCAUAGGAAGGGAGCUGCCUGCAAGAAGUCCUGCAAGCGUGGGUUGGCCAUACGGGUGCGAGCAGUGGACAGGAGAAGGUCACAGGCAGAGCGGAGAGACCGAAAAGGGACAUACCUAUGGAUCUGUGAUGAGAUAUAAGAGGGGUUAGAAUUGUUCAGUGCUUUAUAGGUAUGGAUUAGCACUUUGAAUUGACUCCUUUAGGAGAUAGGAAGCCAAUGUAAGGACUGACAGAGGGGUGAGGUGUGAGAGGGCCGACUAGAGAGGAAAAUCACUCUGGCAGUAGCAUUCAUUAAAGACUGUAAAGGGGCAAUACGGCUUUUGGCAAGACCAAUCAAUAGAGGGUUACAAUAAUCCAUGCAGGAAAUUAUUAUAUUUCUAAGAUGGAAUCUACAGGAUUUGACAACAUACUGAAUGUGAGGCUCAAAGGUAAGGCCAGAGUAAUGUAUGACGCCAAGACAGCGCGCUUGCAAGGAUGGACUUAAGUGGAUACCAAUAAUUUGAAGGGAGAGCGAAAGAUGAGGAUCAGUAUUAGGAGGAGGAAAGACAAGGAGCUCAGUUUUAGAGAGAUUGAGUUUCAGAAAGUGGGAGGACAUCCAUUCAGAGAUGGAAGUUAGGCAAGCAGUGACACAUUGCAGGAUGGCAGGGGAGAGGUCCAGGGAGGAGAGAUAUAUCUGGGUGUCAUAAGUGUAAAGGUGGUGUUGGAAUCAAAAAGAUGUAAUGUUUGCCAAGAGAGGCAGUAUAAAGAGAACAUAGAAGGGGACCAAGGACAGAGCCUUAGGGGACUCCAACCGAGACAGGACAAGGGGAGGAGGUGUCAUUAGAAAAGGAGACACUGAAUGAGCGUUGGGAGAGAUAAGAGGAAAACCACAAGAGGACCGAGUCACAGAGACUGAGUGAUUGAAGAAGGAGAGCAUGAUCAACGGUGUCAAAGGCAGCAGAAAGGUCAAGAAGACUUAGUAUGGAGUAGUGGCCUUUGGAUUUAGCUGUGAUUAGGUCAUUAGUACCUUUGAUAAGAGCAGUCUCAGCAGAGUGGAGAGGUCGCAAGCCAGAUUGAAUAGAGUCAAGGAGAGAGUUGGAAUUGAGGAAGGGAAACACGGGCAAAGACAAGUCUUUCCAGAAGCUUUGAGGAAAGAGAGAGCAGGGAUAUGGGAUGAUAGUUAGAGGGGGAGGAUGGGUCAAGAGAUGGUUUUUUUCAGUAUAGGUACUACAGUUGCAUGUUUAAGGUCAGCAGGGACAAUGUCAGAAGAAAGAGAGCAGUCAAAGUUGUUUGUUAAGGAAGGCACAAGACAGGGGAAGAGAGAUCUGGUAAGGGGAGAUGGGACAGGAUCGAGCGGGCAAGAGGAAAGGAGAAGCUCAGCCACCUCUUGUUCAGUAGCCUGGGAGAAAGUCUGAAGGGUAGGAAAGGCAUGAUCUUUGUGUGGUUGAGAAUGAGAAUGGCAAGGUGGGGAGAAUUCUUUCCUUAUAAAAAAGAUCAGAAAUGAGGAUGAGCGCUAUUAUGUCACAGGGAAUAUAAAAAUGUAAGGUAUAGGCAGCCCACCUAUAGGGGGAGGGGUCCCCUCUAGUCCCCUCGGGAUAAGUAUAGUAAGAGAAAAAGAAGAAAAGGGUGUGCCUAAAGAGCAAAUAAUAUAAAUUAAUACUUAUAUUAAUAUGUAAAGUUCAAGUAAUUCUGCAAUAGUCCAAAAUAAUGUAAUCCACCACAGUAGGGAGAUAUCUUUGUGGAGCAGCAGGUAGGAUGUGUAGUCACAGGUGAAGACUAGUUGUCCGGUGGUACAUUUAAGGGAGAAGCAAAAGAAAAAGGUACAGUAUAUCGGUAUACUUGAUAUUUGGUAUGUUAUUAAUGAACUACUCACAAUAUCCAUAGCUUAAAUCCAGCUCUGGUUUGGAAUGUGUGAAGUGGAUGAUCCCCACUCAAGGAUAUGUAGAGUUCCUCUGAUUUUCAGGUGUAUAAGUCAGCGGAGUAUUUAAAAUGGUUGCAAUUCCUAAAAGUUUCAUAGGAUAUUUCUAUUCAACCCCUUAGGAUAUUUUUAUUCAACGACUUCAGUUGCAUCUCAGUUGUUUCAUUUCAAAUCCAUUGUGUUGGUUUACAUAGCCAAAAUUAUGAAAAUUGUGUCAGUGUCCAAAUAUUGCUGGUCCUAAUUAUAUGUCUAACUGGUACUGAAGUCAGUUGGGUUUUUAGGAGAUUCAGAAAUGCCUGUACAGGUGAGUUUAUCUAUCAAAAUGUCAGAGAGCCCACUUCAGUAUUGGUAUGUUAAAGCAGCUUCAUUCUGUAUAGUUUCAGAAGACCAGCAUCUGAACUGGGCAAUAUAGCCUUCUACAUAGAUGCAUCACUAUGAGAGGGUAUGUAAGUGAGAUUCAGCUGAAUCUGUUUUAUGAGUGUCAUCGUAUAACUAGGCAUUUCUCCCAGGAAUGAGUCUAAAUUAGUAAAGCAUAAGCUGUUUUUUUAUUGUUUAAAUUAGUAAAACAUAAGCGGUUUUAAAACUUAAAAGCCCAUUCUGCUGUGUCUCCUUGCAAUAAAAAGAUAAUUGAUUUCAUUUUUAUGUCAUCCGUAGAGAAUGUCCAUUGUUUCACAGCAAGCAUUAUUUUGUACUCAUGAAUAAAUAAUCUGUGUGUUCUAUCACCAAAAAAAAACUGGUAGGUAGAGACACAUGGGUUACAUGGGAAGAAGGGCUAAAGUAACAGAAAUUGAGUCAAUUUGAGUUUGAUUGUCAUUUUGACUAAUGUGAUGUUCAUGUAGUAUUCGAGCAAUUAGAUCAACUUAUUGUCUUACGGUCUCAGAGGACUGAGAAAGCUGUGGUAGAUCCAUUAGUUAUAGUAUCAGUAUUUCUAGGCACUGGCAAUCUGUAAUGAGGUUUUUAAUUCUGAUUUUGUAAAACAAAGUAUCUAUCAGAGAAAAGUAACAACAAAAGAGAUAAGAUUUACUUUUUGCAGGCAGAGUAGUUUGAAAACAGUUUAUCUGGAAACACAGAAAUGAGAUAAGUAUGGUAGUUGAAUGAUCCAAUAUGCUGCCAGAUAAAUAUGUGCAAUUUGUUUUGUUCCAAAUGUACAUUGGUACGAAUUUCGUGCCAUUCGGACAUUCGAAGUGCCCAAGUGAUUCGGAUUUCUGAAAAGUGGCAAAACAAGAGAGAAGGAAGGAAAAGUAUGUGAAUGAUUACAGGAAUCUUGACCAAUAAGGUAAUUCCUUUUGUGCAAUGUAAUGCUUGCUUGUCCAAUGCGGUUUCACUAUUCCCUGUCCAAUAAAAUGAGCACAUUUUUGUGAAUAAUUGAUAGAGGACAGCCAAUUAAUCGUGAUGUUGUCACUGACACUUGGCCAAUGAAAGCACACAGAGUCAUGUGGGAUAGUAUAUUGUUAAGACACCUCUAGUGUCUGUAAGCCAAACCGCCGUUUAGUAGACCUUCCCCGGCUGCAGUACAGUCUCCGUUCGCUUACUCUGUAACCCACGAACCAAAUGCAGGGGAAGCGGCAAUCUCCCGAUCGAGAUCCGUGAACGGCUCCAAACUCCCGUACGGCAAUACAUGAACUGCUGGUAACCGUCGAACAGCAAUAUUCCCCAAGCGGCUUUCGUUCCAUCCAGCAGUCUCUAAACGUGAAGAAGAAAUCCCCCCAAUAACGAGACAGAAGCUCCGCAUUGAGGGUCAAACAGGAUCUGGCUUUACUCUGGGCUACCUGCCCGUAUUUAUGCAGGUCUCCCACCUGGUGGACACUCCCCUAGGGGACCAAAUGGGGAGACUUAAAUGACAGACAGAUAUGGGGACAUUCUAGACACACAGUCACAGAUUUUACCCACAGUGCAUUAUGAUUCCCUCCCCUCUGCCCUGGAGUUAAUUACCAAGUAACUCAAUUAACUCCAGGACAAAGCCAGUCGCCAUCUUAGACAUAAAAUAAUAAAAGACAUAAAAAUAGAUAACUACAUAAAAACCGAACAUUUCCCAUUCGUAUUACAUGUCCCCAGAUAGCCUGGAUCUGAGUGCAUAUUAUUAGCGAAUAGCGCUCAGAUCCCACACACAUAGUUCAAUCGCCAUGGAGUCAAAGUUCUCACAGUCUUUCGGUAUACGAAUGACUCCAUGGGAAGGCUAUCUGGGUUAAGUCUUUUCGUAUGCUCUCAAUCUCCCGAACGGCCGGUGUUCGCAUGCUUUCGUGGAGGCAGCCAGGCGUUCCCUUGUUUCAGCGGUGUUCGGCAGAAAAAGUGUCCGUUUUCAGUUCCAUAGAAAUAGAGCCAAAACACCGCUGGGCGUUCGCAUGAUUUAAAAUGGCCGCUGCCUCGUGGUCGACAUACGAACGACGACCACCCUGAGUUCGGUUUAAUUGAGAAGUGUCUGCGGUUAACCACAACGUUAUAAUGGUGAUCACNNNNNNNNNNNNNNNNNNNNNNNNNNNNNNNNNNNNNNNNNNNNNNNNNNNNNNNNNNNNNNNNNNNNNNNNNNNNNNNNNNNNNNNNNNNNNNNNNNNNGGGUAUUACUGCUGGUCGAUACUUCAGUCUGGCAGGGGCUUUGGCAGCUGUACCAUCCAACUUGCGGGCAUCCGUGUAUUCAUCUGCCAGACGAGCAGCCUCGGGUAGGGUAGAGGGUUUUCUAUCUCUGACCCACUCCCUGACCCCAGAAGGUAGUCUAUCAAAGCAGUGUUCCAGCAGGAACACUUGUAACACCUCCUCCCCAGUUACCGCUUGGCAUCCAGCCAUCCAGUGGGCUGCGGUACGAUGGACUCUGCAGGCCCACUCCACAUAAGAGUCCCCAACCAGUUUAUUGGUUUCUCUAAACCUCCGCCUGUACGCCUCUGGGGUCACCGCAUACCUGGCUAGGAGCGCAUCUUUCACAGCCCGGUAGCUGGUGAUCUCCUCCUCUGGGAUGGCCCGAAACACCUCACUAGCCCGGCCAGAUAAUUUCCCAGAGAGGAUGGUGACCCAUUCAUCUGCAGGUACCUGAUGUAGAGCACACUGCCUCUCGAAGUCCGCUAAGAACCCAUCAAUCUCUCCCUCGGUUUCCACAAAAUUUUUAAAUGCAGCAAAAGGUACCUUCUUUCUAGCAAACACAUUAUUAUUGUAAGGUACCUCUGCUGCUGCAGCUCCUCUUUCCCGGAGUGCCUGUUGUGCUGCUACUGCUGCCUGCACACGCUCCACGAUGUCAGCUGAGGGGUUGGGGCCAAAGUGUGCCAACCUUAUUUGCACUGCCCGGUUAAAUUGUAUUUCCUCGGGUGUUAAAUCCAAGGUACUGGGCACAUUGACUCUCUCCGUUCCCGUUGCUGCAUCCAUCUCCAGUAGCAAAGCAAUAAUCUCCCGUUUCUUUAAAUUGCUUGCUGACCUUCCUCGGCGUUCCAAUAUAUCCUUAAGUGUAGCAUGCCUUAAUUCCUCAUACUGCAUGUCUUGUAGCUGACCUCCAAUGCUGUGGGAUUCAUCCCGUCGCUUGCCACCAAUUGUUAAGACACCUCUAGUGUCUGUAAGCCAAACCGCCGUUUAGUAGACCUUCCCCGGCUGCAGUACAGUCUCCGUUCGCUUACUCUGUAACCCACGAACCAAAUGCAGGGGAAGCGGCAAUCUCCCGAUCGAGAUCCGUGAACGGCUCCAAACUCCCGAACGGCAAUACACGAACUGCUGGUAACCGUCGAACAGCAAUAUUCCCCAAGCGGCUUUCGUUCCAUCCAGCAGUCUCUAAACAUGAAGAAGAAAUCCCCCCAAUAACGAGACAGAAGCUCCGCAUUGAGGGUCAAACAGGAUCUGGCUUUACUGUGGGCUACCUGCCCGUAUUUAUGCAGGUCUCCCACCUGGUGGACACUCCCCUAGGAGACCAAAUGGGAGACUCAAACUACAGACAGAUAUGGGGACAUUCCAGACACACAGUCACAGAUUUUACCCACAGUGCAUUAUGAUUCCCUCCCCUCUGCCCUGGAGUUAAUUACCAAGUAACUCAAUUAACUCCAGGACAAAGCCAGUCGCCAUCUUAGACAUAAAAUAAUAAAAGACAUAAAAAUAUAUAACUACAUGAAAACCGAACAUUUCCCAUUCGUAUUACAUGUCCCCAGAUAGCCUGGAUCUGAGUGCGUAUUAUUAGCGAAUAGCGCUCAGAUCCCACACACAUAGUUCAAUCGCCAUGGAGUCAAAGUUCUUACAGUCUUUCGGUAUACGAAUGACUCCAUGGGAAGGCUAUCUGGGUUAAGUCUUUUCGUAUGCUCUCAAUCUCCCAAACGGCCGGUGUUCGCAUGCUUUCGUGGAGGCAGCCAGGCGUUCCGUUGUUUCAGCGGUGUUCAGCAGAAAAAGUGUCCGUUUUCAGUUCCAUAGAAAUAGAGCCAAACACCGCUGGGCGUUCGCUUGAUUUAAAGUGUUGGCUUGUAUUCAUGUGACCAGAUUAGUUGUGAUAGCACAAGAGACUGAGAGAGAUAAAUUACAUCACAUAUAUUGUACUUUACUUUUUGCAAACAUGGGGAGCCACAUUGCUUUUAAGUGUGUGUUCCAGGGAGAGAGUUUUUGCCUUUUUUUUCUUCUGCAUUUUGUUUCUUUUUUGAAUAGGGGAUGAGAGAGUGUGUGGCUGUGCAAGCCAGGUAGUCUGAUUGCCAGGGUGUCUCUCUGCUGCACUGUGACUUUACAGCAGUGAUUAAUUUUGUGUGCCAGCCAUCACUUGCCCUUACUUUGCUCUCUAUCUCACGCUCUCACUUGCUUGUUCAUAGACAAAUUGCUUUCUCUCUGCUCUCACACUCUGCUCACUCUCUGCUCCUAAACUCUCCUCAAAGAUGGUGUCACAGGGGUGGGAUUAUAUAUUGUGCAGAAGUGUUGCAUUGUGGUAGUGCUCCCUGAUUGGUUGAAUUAUCUGUGGAAUGAAAAUAUAAUUUUAUAAAUUGUAUAUAUACUAAACUAACACUACUAAUUAUUAACUAAACCCAGACCACUUCUUUAAUAUUAAGUGGUCUGGGCACUGCUGCUGUCCACAAAUAUUUAUUUUUAUUUUUUAAAAUGAGCGACAUUUCUAUCUGCCGAAUGCCUGAAACAAAUGAUAUGCCGAACUCCAGAAUGCCCAAAAUAAAUGCCCAAAUGCUGCGUUCCCAAAUGUCCAAGCCGAAUGCUAUUCGGCAGUUCCGAAGUGCCGAACCGAAUGUCAUUGGUCCGAAUUGCCAAAGCAGACACAUUUUUUACAUACCCGAAUUUCCGAACCAAAGCAAAUUUUUUGCCCAUGCACAUCCCUACUAUCAGAGUAUGCAACUGGAAAAUCAGUACUUUAAAGUAAUGAGAAAGAGAAAUAAGACAGAUUAUGGAGAGAUAUGCUUUUUUAUACAGGAGUAUCACUUAAGGGAAUCCUGCAAAUUCAUGUCAAGUUGUUACCAUUCAAUCAGUCCAUGAAAAUCAAGAGGUUAAGAGAAAGCAAAGUCUUUUAAUAGAGGCCAAGACUUUAUCCAUUAAAUCCAUCCACAGUGUUUAUGGAAUUAGCUAAGAGAGGGGUUUGUAAAACAAAGCAGAAUUUUGUAACUGGUAAAUCCGUCCUAACAGUUUUUUGGAGAGAAGCUGAAAUGUAAUCCAUAUAGGCAAGCAGAGGUCGAUAACUGGGAAGUCCUUGCUGUAGCGGAGCAUACUCGUUUUCCUGGCACCAUAGUGCCCUGAGGGUGCCCCCACCCUGAGGGUCCCCCUCCCGCCCGGCUCUGGAAGGGGGAAAGGGGGAAAAACGUACCUUUUUCCAGCACUGGGCGGGGAGCUCUCCUCCUCCGAUCCUCCUUCUCUCCUCCACGUCGGCUGAAUGCGCACGCGCGGCAAGAGCUGCGCACGCAUUCAGCCGGUCGCAUUGGAAAGCAUUAUAAAUGCUUUCCUAUGGACGCUGGUGUGCUCUCACUGUGAAAAUCACAGUGAGAAGCACGCAAGCUCCUCUAGCGGCUGUCAAUGAGACAGCCGCUAGAGGGAAUGGGGGAAGGCUUAACCCAUUCAUAAACAUAGCAGUUUCUCUGAAACUGCUAUGUUUAUGAAAGAAUGGGUUAAGCCUAGCUGGACCAGGCACCCAGACCACUUCAUUAAGCUGGUCUGGGUGCCUAGAGUGGUCCUUUAACAAUAUACAGACACAUUUUAAACACCCUGCACCUAUAACUGGUACAGUGUGACUUAGACAGAGGAAUAAUUUAGGAACCUUUGUAAAGUGUCCUUCUGCUCCCAGUGAUGGCGACUACCGUCACACUUGCAGAAAUGGGGUCUCUAUGGAAGGAGGUAGUCAGUUGGUGGAGGGAACAGUGGGGUCCAUGAACAAAGAACCUACAGGAAAGGAAAAAAGAAGUAGCAUGCGAAACAUCGUUUGAACACUUUGACAGUACAAGGAGGCACUGAUGGCUUGAUCCAUGUGUUAUAAAGUAACAUCACCAAAGCAUAUAUGUGACAGCAUAACAUGACAGCUUCCUGAAUUUGCAACCCUGCAAAUUACAGCUAUAUGUAAACAUUACAUGUUGUUGCUGUCUAAUUCUUCUCUUACUUCCAAUUGGUGUCCUUUUGAGAGAAAUCCACUUUGCGUUGUGUAUUAAUAGUGAAUGUAAUAUCCCUGUGUCACCUCUUCCAAGAACUAACAUGUAUCUUUAUCCCGUUGUCCAGAUAAAUAUAUGACAUUGACUAGCACUACUUAGGUAUUCUACCCGAUAUUACAAAUAACCGGCCACCACCAUUCUUUCCAGAGAGAAAUCUUUACUUAGAAUCUGCCCAGUUAAAUAUUACAGAAGAAGAAUGUUACAGAGUUAUAGUAUUACAGAGUUACAAUACAUUCAUAACACUCACACAUUCCAUCUAUCUAAUAAUAUCUGCUGGAUUGUGUAUGAGCUGUGAGAUGGUGUGUGCAGUGUGUGUGUCUUACCAACCUAUUCUGUGAUGUCAGUAUCUUCUGUUUUUUAACCCCUUAAGGACCAAACUUCUGGAAUAAAAGGGAAUCAUGACAUGUCACACAUGUCAUGUGUCCUUAAGGGGUUAAAGGAAUGUGUUCCCAUGUUGUAAAUAGCCAGUUCCUUAGCUCACUUGAUAUGUAAAUGUGAUUUCCUUUCCCAAGGCCCAAAGUGUUGUCUAUCCUGUUAUUUUAUUUACGUGUGAACUCUCCCAGCCAUCCCCAUGCCUUUACCCUAAGGUGUGUUUUCCUAGCUAGAGACUCCUUUGAAGACUAGUUGAUAUGUAAACGUGAUAAACUUUCCCAAGGAUGUAGCUGUGCCUUUCAGGUGCUGUAUCUUCCCAACUAUCUAAACAGAAACUCCCUUUGAAGAUAAUUCCUGAUCUCCCAUACACACAGACUUAACCAAGCGCAUAUUAAUCGGAUAUAUAUAAUCAUAAUAUUUUCCCCAACAGUUGUAUGAACCUAACACUCAUAGAUAGUCAGUACAACUGCAUUGUUUUGUAUUUUGCACAUUUAUUGGUUUGGUAAUGAAAAACAACUAAUCAUUUUUAUACAUGCUCUUUAAACUAUCCCUCUGCUCAGAAUUACAAACUGAUUUAUAAUAAAUAAUGUAUUUUGUGCUAGGACUAUUGCAAAAAAAAUUGCACGUAGCGCUAAAUAUUUUCAUGUUCCGUUUUGAAAAAUAAAAUACUUCAUCUUGCGGUGAAACACACUUUAAGGAAAACCUGCCAGAAAAUCAUAAAGUUUGGGACAAUUUGUUCUCAGUGCUAAUUUGUCUUGUCCCUAUUUUAUUGCUUGAAAAUUGGAAAAACGAAGAUAUGUCUGUUAGAGGAGUGAAUCAUAUUAUGAGAAAAUAGUUUGCUGUGGUUAUUAACAAUGGCAGUUCAUUUUUAAAGUAAAUAUUUGAUUUUGUGAUGUGACGGCUGAAAAAGAACUAUUUUCAUGUGUUACUGAUCUGAUGCUAUUGAGGAGAAAAUUGGAAAUCAAUGUCAAGUUCAAACUACAAUGGAAUCUCUAAAUGAACAAUUAAAUCUCUAGACAGCUGGUGUAUGCUAAAGCUGACAUUUCAAUAACGGUGGUACAGCACUAAAAAUGUACUUUAGUCCUCUUGCUACAAUAUUACUGCUACAGAUUUGAACAGGAACAUAGUUGCACAAUCACAAAAUAUUACAGAGACACACAGGAGUAGACCUGACCAUACUAUAUUAAAAAAAUAGAUAAUAAAAAUAGAUAUUCACUUAAAUAAGUGUCUCUCAUGUAGCAAAUUGUGGGUUUCGAUUCUUCUCCAGUGAUACAUAGAAGUUAGAAGCAGGAAGUAUUUAAAAUUCUAUAAAAAAUCUACAAAAGCACACUUCUCAAUUCUGCACUUUAGCCAAUCCAAUAGGUUGUUGCCCACCGGUGGAUAAUAUGGCUUUUUAUUCAUUAUUUGUAGAUAUACUCUGUAUAUAUUUUGUUUGAUGACUUAGAGGAAUCCUUGGUUCAUAUCUACAAAUACAAACUGUGAAAAACAUAAUUACCAGUUUUUAAAUGAAUGUUUAUCAUCUGCACUGCACUACUUAGGUGUUAUUGGAGACUUCAAUAUUCCCGUUAACCCACCUUUAACCCCAGCAGCCUCUAAACUACUUUCAAUCACUUCCUCCCUUGGACUUUUGCAGUGGGCUAAUUCUCCCACUCAUGUAGCUGGCAAUACCCUCGACCUUAUUUUCUCUCAUUCAUGUACAAUAUCUAAUAUCUGCAACACUCCAUUUCCUCUCUCUGAUCACCACCUCUUAUCGUUUGCUCUCAAUUACCCCCUCACCCAACAAUCUCAGCCUAACCCCCCUCAGCUCAGGAGGAACCUUAACUCUAUUAACCUCCAGUAGCUGUCAGCUGACAUUGAUUCACAACUGCUAUCCAUCCCUUCCCUCUCCUUUCCCUCACUGGCCAUCUCCACAUAUAACACUACCCUCACAUCUGCCUUGAACGCUGCAGCCCCACUCCAAACAUGCACCUCGAGGAGGACACGACCCCAACCUUGGCAUAAUAAAUCAACACGCUAUCUGCAGAGUUGCUCCCGUUGUGCUGAACGCUCCUGGAGGAAGUCCCGCACCCAGGCAGACUUUCUCCAUUAUAGAUUCAUGUUGCUUUCAUACAGGGCAGCCCUCACCCUCGCCAAACAGUCAUACUUUUCCUCUCUCAUUAGUUCAUGCUCCCGCAAUCCCAGACGUCUCUUUGACACCUUUAAUUCCCUUAUCCGCCCUGCUGUGGCCACCCCCCAAACUAACCUUACAGCUGAUAGCUUUGCAUGCUACUUUACCAACAAGAUUGAACAGCUAAGGAAACAAUUCUCCCCUCCUUGCCGUUCUCUUUCUCAACCACAUGUAAAUCUUGCUUUCCCUACCCUCCAGACUUUCUACCCGGCUACUGAACAAGAGGUGGCUGCGCUUCUCCAUUCCUCUCGCCCCACCACUUGCCCGCUCGAUCCUGUCCCAUCUCACCUCAUCAGAUCUCUCUCCCCUUGUCUUGUGCCUACCCUAACACACAUCUUUAACUGCUCUCUCUCUUCUGGCACUGUUCCUGCUGACCUUAAACAUGCCACUGUAAUACCUAUCCUGAAAAAAACAUCUCUUGACCCAUCCUCCCCUUCUAACUAUCGUCCCAUAUCCCUGCUCCCUUUCUCAUCAAAGCUUUUGGAAAGACUUGUCUUUACCCGUGUGUCCCGCUUCCUUAAUUCCAACUCUCUCCUUGACCCUCUUCAGUCUGGCUUCCGCCCUCUCCACUCUACUGAGACUGCUCUUAUCAAAGUGACUAAUGACCUAAUCUCUGCUAAAUCCAAAGGUCACUACUCCAUAUUAAUUCUCCUUGACCUCUCUGCUGCCUUUGACACCGUUGAUCAUGCUCUCCUCCUUCAAACUCUUCAAUCGCUCGGUCUCUGUGACUCUGUCCUCUCUUGGUUUUCCUCCUAUCUCUCCCAAUGCUCAUUCAGUGUCUCCUUUUCCAAGGACACCUCCUCCCCUCGUCCUGUCUCAGUUGGAGUUCCCCAAGGGUCUGUCCUUGGUCCCCUUCUAUUUUCUCUUUAUACUGCCUCUCUUGGUAAACUUAUUGCCUCUUUUGGAUUCCACUACCACCUGUACGCUGAUGACACUCAGAUAUACCUCUCCUCCCCGGACCUCUCCCCUGCCGUCCUGCAACGUGUCACUGCUUGCCUUUCUUCCAUCUCUGACUGGAUGUCCUCACGCUUUCUGAAACUUAACCUCUCUAAAACUGAACUCCUUGUCUUUCCUCCUCCUAAUACUGAUCCUCCUCUCUCGCUGUCCCUUCAAGUCAGUGAUAUCCACAUAAGUCCAUCCCUGCAAGCGCGCUGUCUUGGCAUCAUACUUGACUCUGGUCUCACCUUUGAGUCUCACAUCCAGUUUGUUGCCAAGUCCUGUAGGUUCCAACUCAAAAAUAUAGCCUGCAUUCGCCCCUUUCUUACGCAAGAUGCUACAAAGGAGCUUGUCCAUGCUCUAGUAAUUUCCCGCAUGGAUUACUGUAACCCUCUCCUGAUUGGUCUCCCCAAAAGCCGUAUUGCCCUGCUACAGUCUGUAAUGAAUGCUGCAGCUAGACUGAUUUUCCUCUCUAGUCAGUCCUCUCACACCUCACCCCUCUGCCAGUCCUUACAUUGGCUCCCUGUAUGCUAUAGGAGUCAAUUCAAAGUGCUAACCCAUACAUUUAAAGCACUGAACAAUUCUAGCCCCACUUAUAUCUCUUCACUAAUCCAUAGAUAUGCCCCUUCUCGUACCCUCCGCUCUGCCCGUGACCACCUCCUGACCGUUGCUCGCACCCGUACGGCCAACUCACGCUUGCAGGACCUCUCGCGGGUGGCUCCUCUCCUAUGGAAUAGCUUGCCUACUGCCAUCAGACUCUCCCCUAGUCUUCAAUCAUUUAAGAAGGGCCUUAAAACCCAUCUCUUCAGGAAAGCUUAUGGCCUCCCAGAGUAAUCUCUACCUUACAUACCUGUCUCCUGCUCUCUCCUAUGGGACAGUGCUUUGCUCUCUCCUCCAGCUCUGCUUCAUUCCUACUUGAUAUUUCAUGUCCUAAUGUUUCUAAUACCCUACCUCCUAUAGUCUGUAAGCUCGUUUGAGCAGGGUCCUCUUCAACCUAUUGUUCCUGUAAGUUUUCUUGUAAUUGUCCUAUUUAUUGUUACAUCCCCCCUCUCAAAAUAUUGUAAAGCGCUACGGAAUCUGUUGGCGCUAUAUAAAUGUCAAUAAUAAUAAUAAUAAUUUGGUUUUCUGUUUUGAUUUUUCCUCUAUAACAAAUAGAAGCAUGCUAAUAGGGCUUGCAAAGGGGUGAUGAGAUGGGCUAAGUUUGAAAAUGAAAGUCGCAUAGCCAAAGAGAACAAGACCAACCCCAAAAUGUUUUUUUUUACGUUAUGCCAAAAAGGUUAAGAGUGAAAGUGUUGGCCCAUUGGAAAGUGAGAUGGGUGAGGAUCAGGGCAGGGAAGAAAUGUUAAAGAAUUACUUCUUUUCAGUUUAUUGGGAAGAAGAAUGACUGUAGAUUUAAAAAUCCCUAUUACAAAAGCCAUACAGCAAGCAGGUGAUUGAUUAACAUGGGAUAAAGCACUGUUUUUCAUUUUUCUGAAUUAUUUUCCUUUAGGAAUUGAACCAGAAAAUUGGAGAAAAGCAGAUGUGGUGCCUAUAUUUAAGAAGGGUUCAAAAGCUCAAUCCAGAAACUACAGACCUGUGAGCUUAACAUUUGUUGUUGAGAAUUUUUUUGAAGGUCUUUUAAAAGAUAAUAUUCGAGAAUUAAUUUUGAACCAUAAUAUCAUCAAUAGCAGUAAUCAAUGUGGUUUUAUGAAAGACAGGUCAUGUCAGACUAACCUAAUUGCGUUCAUGAGUAUAUUGGGAGAUAUACAGAUCAGAGUGGUCCAGUAGAUAUGACCUACUUAGAUUUUGCAAAGGCUUUUGAUACAGUUUCACACAAAAAGUUAAUAAUAAAACUGAAAUCAGUUGGUUUAGAUGAAAUAUCAUGUUCUUGGAUAGAACACUGGCUUAAUUACAGAGUGCAGAGAGUAGUUGUAAAUUGAUUUUUUUUUUAUUUUUUUUUUAUUGGACAAAAGUGAUAAGUGGAAUCUGUUCUGGGUCCACUUCUCUUUACUCUGUUUAUAAAUGAUCUUGAAGUGGGCAUUGAAAGCCAUUUUUUUGGUGUCUGCAGAUGACACUAAACUAGUUAAGAAAAUACUGUCUGAACAUGAUGUAACUUCACUUAAGAGGGUUUUGGAUAAAUUGGGUGCAGAUGAGAUUCAAUACUGAUACAUGCAAAGACACGCUUUUUGGAAUAAGUAAUCAUCCAUAAGCCAUGUAUAGAUUAAAUGGGAUAGAGUUAGGGAUGACAUUAAAAGAAAAGGACUUGGGAAAAUUAUAGAUCACAUACUAGGUAAGAUUAUGCAAUUCUGGUCUGCCAAAGGAAAAGCUAGUAAGGUGCUUUCAUAUAUAAAAAAAAGGAUAUUGACUUCCAUGAUCAAAAUAUAAUUUUGCCUAUUUAUAAAUCAGUGGUCAGAUCCCACCUUGAAUAUGGAAUUUUGCAAUAAUGGGCACCAGUUUUAAAGAAGGAUUUUGCAGAACUAGAAAAAUUGCAAAGGAGAGCUCCUACACAAUUAGUAAGGAGUAUGGAAAAUAUGGAAAUAUGAUAGCACUAUACAAAUAUAUACAGGGUCAGUACCAUAACAUUCAGCCAACCACACAUAAAUCACACGCAGAUCACUCAGUGACUCCUCUACACACUGACAACACACUCAUACCAGACAUUACACCCUCUACCAAACUCACUUAGAGGAGUUCUAAUAUAGUCAUGUACUCUGCACAUAACUGAGCUUUAUUGGUAUGAAUAUAUGUGAUACAACUAAACACUGUACAUUACUGUAAGUUUAUUGAAGUGGCAUUCUGUGAUAUACGCUCACUCACACAUUACUGUGAGAUGUAUUAAACAUAUUAAAGGGACACUAUAGACAGCCAGUGAUCUGGGUACAGGGUCUUAAAACAUUGCAGUAUUAAGACCUCCUCUAGUGGAUGUGCAAAAGAAGCAAAACCCAAUAAGAAAGCACUGCUCAGCACAGUCAAUGCUUUCCUAUAUGGAAGGUCUAAUUUGCGUGCUCACUUUGCAUUCACAUUAGGUCCCCCCCAUCGGCAGAGGAGGCAUGUGACCCAGUGCUGAGGGACAUUGGAACUGGAAUCAGGUAAGCGUUAAAAAAAUGUUUUAACCCUUUUAAGACCAGGAGGACCAGGUGGGGUGAGCUCGGGGACAGAGGGACACUAUAGUGUUAGAAAUACAUCUUUGUAUUCCUAACACUAAAGUGUUCCAUUAACUGAUAAAGGUAUGGUAGUCCACAUUUUAAUUGCCCUUGUAUGUUGAUCCUGAGUCCCUUGCUGCCCACCAAUAACUAUCAAUCAAAAGAAAGAAAUAAUUUAUUUUACUUUGUUCUGAGUAUAAGAUUAUUGUUAGUACCUACAUUUUAACUUGCUUUCUUUAACAGCAAACCUUGUGGGUAUUAAGCAGCACAUAGAUCCCCUAUAAGUGUUCAGUGCUUUUUCUUGCCAUCAAUUAUCCCUACACUUCAUAUUAGGGAAUGACUGGACAUCAAUAUCAAUAACCUUGUGAGGGACGAAUGAGACACCAUGAUAUCUUGUCAUACAGGCAAAAUAUUGUCUUACUCUCUUUACAUCCAGCUGUCUGAGACCCAUUGAUUAUACAAUAAUCAGAUUUAUGCCAAUAUUUACAAAUGUCAUAAAUAUGAACCUUAUGGGGGACUUUUAACAGCAUUCAGCAAAUAAUCGUGAGAUCUCUCUGAUACUAGUUUUCAUGCUGCCUUUUUAUUUUUUUCUCAUUACUCUACAUAUCAGCACUUUUCCAACCUUUCGAUAUUUUGACUUAGGACUCAAUUUAAUAUUGUUGGCUAUGCUUUCCAACUAUUUUAAUAUUUGUGAAUGAACUUUUAAAAUUCUUGUUAAAUUUGUUAAAUGUGCUUUCAGCUACCAAGAAGCAUGUACAGAUGCUGAGACUCUGAGAAUUCUGCCAUUUACUGUAAUUUUAAUAGCAUCAUCGACUGCAUCAGAUUAAUUAUCCCAAUAGUAAGCAAUGAUAUGGGCCAAGGUUGCAUAGUUCAGCAUUAAAAAUUACACUGUACAGUGGCAUCUCAUGCAGUGCAUGGCAAAAUGGUGAUGGAUUAUGUUUAUCAGGAAUCUCAUUGGCAGAUAUUGUGGCAAUGUGACAUCAUUAUCAAUGAUAAUGGGACUUUUGUAAUUGCGUACCUAAUGAUCAUCUGGCCACAUCAUUAUUUUCAAGCAAACGCUGUUAUUGGUCAAAGGAGUAUAUGGACUAAUAUUAGGUUCCAAAUAAAGAGACUUUAUUGAAUUCUCAAAAAAAUAUGACUUUCUUUAAUGUAUACCCCAAUGAUAAGUCCUCUACCAGAAGCCUAUGGGUACGAUGGUUCAGUAUCUCAGCUGUUUCUUCAGGACAUAGAUCUCAGAUGUCCCACCUGAAAUAUACCAAUAUACCAUAUGAAUCCACACUGCCAUUUUGGGUGCCACAGCCCCAAGUGCGUCUGUCAUGACUGGGACUAAUGAUGCCUUCAAUUUCCACAUCCUUCAGUCCUUUGUAUUUGUCCAUCUUCUCAUGUUCCUUCUACUUGAUGUUAUGGUCACUGGGCAUUGACACAUAUACCACCACUGUAGUCUUCCGUUCCUUGUCUACCACCACAAUGUUUUGUUGGUUGGCCAUUACUUGUUUUUCUGUCUGGACCUGAAUGUCCCACAGGAUCCUAGCCCUGUCAUUCUCAACUACCCUUUGUGAUAUCUCCCAUCUGGACCAGUCGAUAUUCUGUACAGAUGUUUUGGUAAACAAUCCCAGCAACUUGGUUGCACAUCUCAGUGUAUGCUGUCUCUGUUAACAUCUUGCACCCAACUAAUAUAUACUAUAUACUGUAUAAUAACAGGGAUAUAUAUAUAUAGUUUCAGAACAGUUACAUGUUAGCUGUGCAUGCAUCAAUUUUGCUGAUAAUUGCACUUGACUGUUUUGCUGUUUCAGUUGUUUACCACCAUGAUGUUGAAGACAUGAAAUAACUAAUUUGGUACCCUUAAUUAUGGCAAUCCCAUGUAAGGAUAUCAAACUAGGGUGCUACCUACUAAAAAGCUGAAAGAUCGAUAUUAGGAAGAAAAAAAAAGUAGUUACAUUAAAUUAGAUCUUUUAGAAAGCUGUUUAGUAAAUAACUCCUUAAUUUGGUACCCUUAUGCAGGAUUACUGUUUUUAAGGAUAUCAAACGAUGGAGAUGUCUCCUAAACAGUGCCCUAAUAGGAAUGAUGGAGUCUGAAUUUCUUUCACUUCUGAAAAUAUUCCAAAUUUAGUUUUGUUCCACACCGAUGAUAUCCAAAUUUUGGACAACUUGAAAUUUGAAAAUUAAUGAAUUUGAACUAAAUACAUUUUGAACACAUCCAACAUUCCUCUCUUAAUUGCAUUUCCCCCUUUCUCUCCUUCAGAUAUAUCCCUCUUUUUUUAAAAUUUAAAUUCUUAAUUUUUGUCUUGACAGCAAACAAUCAAUACAGCGCUGGCAUGAUGAUAAACACAGGUCUUAGGCAGUGGUGGAACUAAUGAAGAGAGGGCCCUGGUGCAAGAAAAUUUAUUGAGCCCCCCUCUAGUGUAAGAGUGGCCAAAAGGUAGAUCCCUAUCUGUCGUACAGCUCCAACGAUGCUAUGCCAGCCGGGAAUCUACUUUUUGCCCAUCCUUGCAAGGUUGUAUUUCAGUGCAGUGUUUGAGCGUUUGAAUGUAAGCAUGUUUUUGUAUACUGUAUAUGUGUGGAUGUUGGGGUGUUUUUGUAUGUACUGUUGCCAUUGGAUUGCAGUGGUGUACUUGUGUGUUGUGUUUGCAUUUGAAUGAAGGGAUAUGUUCGUAUGUAGUGUUGACUUUUAAAUGCAAGUGUACUUUUGUGUGUUGUUUUGUUGUUUGAUCGAAGGGGUGCUUAUAUGUAAUUUUGGUGCCUUGAUACAUGGGUGUGUUUGUAUGUAAUGUUUGCAUGGGUGUAUUUGGAUGUAAUGUUGGUUUUUAAAUGCGGAUGUAAAUAUGUGUGUAGUAUUGGUGUUUGAGUGAAGGGGUGUGUUUGUAUAUAAUAUUUGUGUUAAAUUUGCAGGAGUGUGUUUGUAUGUUGUGUUGGUGAUUGCUUAAAUGUAUGGACAUACACACAUAAUUUACCACAUACAUACUUACACAUAUAUACACAUAUACACAGAUAUGUUUAUAAACACACUGACUCACACAUAUUCAUAUAAACACUGACACAUGCACACACCCGGACACAUGCAGAUACAUGCAUCCUGACACACACGCACUCACUGACACACGUACACCUCCUGAUAUACACACACACAUACACAUAUGCACACCCUAACACACAGAUGCACACACACCUACACAGAUGCACACCCUGACAUACAGAUGCACACAGACACGCCACCCUCCUGCUUACCUUUUGUGUCCAGAAAGAUGGCUUGCCUGGGGUCUAGCUGCACCUGGCUGAGGUUUAUGGGAGUGAGUGUGCGAGCUCCCAGCAGCCUCUCUCCCUCCUGCCUGUCUACCUCCUUCCUCCGCGUGGCACUCUUCAUUUAGGCUAGGAGGAACUGACCGUGGCGGUUUAUCACUUCCUCCCAGCCGGACGAUCAUACAGGUCCCGGUUGCGAUCUUAAAGGGCCGCUUUGCCUUCUGGGCCCCUGUAAGCGAUAAAGAAACAAUACUUAUCAGGUGACCCUAAGUCCAUGGGUCACCAAGUGGGCCUCCCAAAGAUUGCGGGUCCCGGUGCAGUCACCUGUGGUAGUUCUGCCUCUGGUCUUAGGUUAAAUGUUGCACACAUUAUACAGUUUACCAAUAACAUAUAAUUAGCAUUUUUCAUUACUACACUAGGGUCAGGCCCCUUCUAGUCUGUGUAUUUUGUAGUUAUGUUGACUUAUCCCUCUUUUAUCUAGGUAUCUUGCCGUCUCUUCACUAGACAUUUCUUUUUCUCAUAUACCCUUGUAGCGAACGCUGGUAUGACAGGUACACGUUCGCCUAUUCUCUCCCGAACUGCUAGAGCCUGAGUGAGUAUAGCUUGCAGUUCGGGUGUUGAUUUGAACGCUUCUCCAGGCAAAUUACAGCCUCCAAUUAUAUUCUCUCAGCAAAGUAGACAGGUACCCAAACAUCAGUCGAAACUAGAUGAAGGGUGUAACAGGAAUGCUUUAUUCAGGCUAACCGCCUGGCUUUUAUGCAGUGAACAAUGCACAGGGUUUCAGUUGACAUAUUCCAGGGGCAUUCCCCACUGGACUUGAGAGGGGACAGUGACAAAAUACAUUCUGCAAAUCCAUUGUCUCUCGGGUCCAGGACGCUCCUACUUACAGUAAUAUAAUCUUCUCCUGUAAUAGGGAGAUAAUUGAGUCAAGUGAUUUACUAAACUCAAUUAUCUCCCAACACAAAAAAACAUACAUUUCCAUAAACUUUAGAAAGUACCACAAACUCCAUGGGAACCCAUCAUAAAAAUCCCCUGAUAGCCUCGAUCUGGGUGACCAACAUAAUCAAAAAUCACCCAGAUCGGUUCAAGGGUUCAAAAGUAACAUGGAGGUCUUAAUUUGAGCAACCGCACCUGCCCAGAAGUAGUUCCACGAAAUUGGGCUGUGCGGUCGGUCUACAAAAAACGAAUAAAUCUACAAAUGGUUCCCCUGGCUCAUGGGUAGUGUUUGUUCCGCUAGUUCAUGGGAACAAAUCUACCAAAUAGCGCUCUCCUGGCUGGUCUGUGAAAGGAAGCAGGCGUUCGUGUAGUUUGAGCGGCAUUCGGGAAGUCGAGUAUCUGAUUUUGGUUCCAGACACUCGACGACCAAGUACCGCUGCCUCCUUUCGUGCAAACAAGAUGGCUGCUGUUUUCUCUUGCACGUGGUGUUCGACUAUAUGAACGGCAGCCAAACAGGGAGAGCACUAAAUUGGUGGUUUGCUUUAAAGUAAAUGAGCCAGGGGGUGGUCGGUGUUGGGUAAUUUUAUAUACCGAACAGGGAAACAACAAAAAGUCGAAAUAACAGGGGUAGUUUCUUCACAGCCCUCCUCUCUACUGUAUUUUUAUAAAAAGAAUCAUCAUAAAAAUGUUGCCAUGUAACAGUUGUAACUGAAUGUUUUUAUGAUAGUAGAUUAUGAGUCUUAUUAAAAGAGAGCAUGGAGGCUUAAUAAGUGCUUAAUCAGUUCUAGUAGAGAGAUGUAGUAUGCUGGCAUAUGCAUUUACUCUUUUGCUUUAACUUAGAUUUCUUAGUAAUGGUGCCAUGUGAAUUUUCACACGUGUGGCAUGAAUUCCAUUAUUGCUAUGAGCAAACAGGUGGGUAAGUUUAGUUCCUGCCCUACAAAUCAAAAGCUAAUUAUUGCCAAUUAUUAAUGUUUCCAUGUAAGAUAUGCAAACAGUUCCAGUGAAAGUGCAAAGUGUGCCCAAUUAUCUCCAAGAGCUUUUAUAAUGUUGGUGUGGAGCUACAUGCCAUUUAUUAUUGAAAUCUCUUUAAAUGAAAUAACCUACUUAAAGAGCAUGAGAAAAUUCCAUAGAGCAUGAGAAAAUCUUUACAUGUGCCCCAAACUUGCAAUUCUGGCAUUCACUAGGUUAAUCUUAUACUAGGUUAAUCACUGGGAUAAUCUAAGUCUAGCAUAAUCUUUUCAGAAUUGUUAGGGGAUAUUUACAAAAGUGGUAUGAAAAAUGGUUUAGAUUUCUAAAACUGGGGCUAAUGACCAUGGGAAGAAAUGGAAGCAACUGGCACAUUGCAUUGGUGGUAAGAUUUGCAAAUUUGCACCUUUUUAUCAUUACAAUCAGUGGCAGCUGGUGAAGUUUAAAAAUGCAGGUGGGGCUUGAUUCUAUUCCUGGAAUUUGACUCUGUCCUGUGACUUGUUGGACUGCGUCCAUUUAACUCAAUGUACUCAAUGUCUGACUCCUUGAGAUGUCAUGCCCCGUUCAACCCCAUAAAUCUAAAGAUACAUGUAAACAAAAUCUUUACAGAAGUCUGAUGAUAAUGCUACUCAAUGACAACCCUAGGAGACAGGACAAUAUGCAGGUCUGUCUUUUAGCGUCCAGGAUCUUACAUCCGAAAGCCAAUACAUGACCCCAAAACUGUUGUUAGGGUAGGCUAAGCAUGUCUCGGAGGUCUAUAACCAGAGAAUGGAGGCUUUCACAAAAAAUAGCCCAAGAGUAUGUUGUGUUUAGAUUUGAUUUGUUUUUUAUUUAACAAAAGCUGGGUGGGGCAAUGCCCCAACUGUCCUUAUAGACCAGCCUCCACUGGUUACAAAACAAAUCCCCCCCCGUACUGUCUUGCUAAAUAAAUUAUCUAAAAUGUCCUGAAUUCUCUAAAGUGUGUGGAAUUUGAACAGUCUAGGGCACAUUUAUAAAUUUCAGCUUGCCUGCUUUUUAUGUUAGAAAGGAGCAGAAGUGCAAAGGAGAUCUCAUCUCAUUCAUGUCUAUACAGCUUGCCUCUUUUUCGCUUUGAGUUCUCUUUUCUCUAAACCUUUUAUACCCAUGACAAUUACAUUUUCUUGGUUUAUAUGCUCAUUUGUAAAUAAUAAUAGAAAAAAUGAACAAAAACACUUUAUUAUGUUAUAUACAAAUUAUAUCAAGCAUGGAGAUAUGAUUUCCUUGAUAGCAUCAACCUACUUAUCCCCUUCAUGACUGAUGGUAUACAAAAGAUAUCUGUGUGUAUGAUCAAGGCCUUUUUAGCAAAUUAGCUAUUCUUCAUUUUUAUCAUAAUUUAAUGCUUUCCCUGUAAUGCACAAAUGCAUACUAUAUAUUGUUUUAAUGGACAGUUAGAGUUUUUUUCUGAUGUCGUAUAUGCAUACUUAAAAUACUAAUUUGUCAAAUAAAAAUAUUAAAAGUAGAAAAGAAAUUAAAGCAGAAAAAAGACUUAUCAGGGUGUGACAGUUUUCAGACACUGCAUUUUGAUCGUGUUAAAAUCACUACCAAGUCUCUUUACCCCACCCCCUCCUUACACCUCUAAAUGUAGUAAAAUCUUACCUUUAUUCCAGUUUGCUGGUGCUGGUAUUGUUUCUGCCCCUGAUCUGUCUCCUUGGCUGAUAUCAUCAGAAGUGAUGAUCUCAACCAAUCACAAUGAUUCCCAUAGGAAGCUUUUUGGGGGUGGAGUCAAACACCACCCUGGCAAAUCAGCAUCUCUUCAUAAAUGCAUCUCCAUGAGGAAAAUUCAGUGUAUCCAUGUAGAAAGUGGAGACAUUGAUUGUCAGUGUUGCACACUGUGCAGCACUGCCCCAGGAAGCACCUCUAGUAGCCAUCUGAGGAGUAGCCACUGGAGUUGUUUCUAGGCUGUAAUGUAAACAUUGCCUUUUCUCUGAAAAGACAUGCAAAAAGCCUGCAGGAACUGACUACUCACCAGACCAACUACAUUAAGUUGUAGUUGUUCUGGUGAUUAUAGUGUCCCUUUAAAUGAUAUAUUUCUUAAAUAGUUAUUCUGUAAGUUAUUUAAACAAAGCAAUUUCAUUUUUGUUCUGCUGAUGCAAAGGUAACAGUAAAAUGGUAGAGCUUAUUUACUCCCCUGCCCUACAUAAAUGUAGAUUGAAUGGUAUCACACACUGAAACUUAAUUUACUGUUUCAAAAGAGAGGGUAAGCUGACAUUCCGAGCAUACUUGCAGACAUUAAAUGAGUGAUUAGUGGCUUCUGUAACAUGUAUAUUUUCCGCUAUGGUCUUUUAAUCAUUCCUAGAGUAUAAAUUGUGUGUGACAAUGGACUCAAUUUCUUUUUUCACACAUCAUGUAAGACCCAGGGCCGGCACAUUCUAUAGGUGACUUAGGCAGUCCCCUAGGGCGCACCGGCCGGGGGGGCACCAUAUUUGAGUGACCAGCAGGAGGGAAGCACACAGGGCUCCCUACUGCCGGUCACUCAAUGUAGCGUGGCCAGAAGGCGCGGACCCCGGUACAGGAGAUUCUGUUUCCUGUACCUGGCCGCAGGCGGACUGACAGGAAGUGCUCACUCAGUUCCUGUACUGUGGUCCAUGCCGCCUGGCCAUGCUACAAAGGUAGGAGGCACAAAAGGGAGGGAGGACUACCAAGGCGGGGAGGAAGAGGAGAAGGACCACUAAAGGAGGGAUAAGGAGGGAAAGGACCACCAAAAUGGGGUAAUGAUGGGAAGGUCCACCAAAAGGGGGGAAGGAGGGGAAGGACCAUCAAAGGGGGAUAAGGAGGGGAAGAGCCACCAAAAGUGGGGUAAGGAGGGGAAGGACAACUAAGGGGGGGGGGAGGAUGACUACUAAGGGAAGAGGGGGGUGACCACUAAGGGGGGAAAGGGGAGAGUGAGAAGACCACCAAGGGGGGCUGCAGAUGGACAGGAGGGGAGGAGAGAGCACUAAGGAACAGGAGGGGAGAACACUGAGGGACAGGAGGAAGGGGAGAUCAUUAAUUGACAGGAGGGGAGAGCACUAUACAAAAAUAAAGAGCUGCUCCCCUCUCAGUCCCUAUCCUUCCACACAAACCCUCUCUUUUACACUACACACAUGCACAAUGCAUCCCUACACACACACACACAGAAAUAUACAAUGCAUCCUUACUCACACACAGACACACCGAAACACUCAAUGCAUCCCUUACGUGCACACACACACUGCUUCUCUUACACACAGAAACAAAAUGCAUCUCUUACACACACUCAAUGUACCCCUUACAGACACACACUGCAUUAAAUUACAUACACAGAAACACACCUUGCAUCCCUUACACACACACACCCAGAAACAUACAAUGCAUUCUUUACAAACAAACACACACUACAUCCCUUACACAAAUUGGUAUCCCUAUACACUACAUUCUAUUAGAACACACACAGAUUACAUCCUCUACAAUAACACAUAACACAUCCCCUACACACAUACACUCCACUCCCUGUGAGCAAUGUAGGUGGAUUUAUGGGUGGGCCUUGUAGGCAUACUCACAGUCAGGCUCUGGGGGCCCAGACCUUGAGCUGAGUAAGGGGCCCCAAAAUAUUGAGCUCCUUCCUGUUUGUUAAUUGUUGUGAGCACUGUUACAGACAGACUCCAGAGAGCCUCUUCUACACCAGACCUGGGGAGCCAGACUGCAGCCUGAGCCCAUCAUCAUCCUCUAGUCCUCAUCUGGUGGUAAGUCGGCAAUCCAAUAUAUUAUUAGUGGCACUAAUCUCUAAUUUACCUCACAUUAAAGGGCCACUAUAGUCACCCGAAGCACUACAGCUUAAUGUAGUGGUUCUGGUGUCUAUAACCUGUGCCUGCAGGCUUUUUAUUGUAAACACACUGCAUUUUUAUAUAAAAGACACUUUGUGCAGAACAGGCAUUGGCCCAUAUGGCAGAGCAUAUGGGUGGGGCAUUGUGAUGUCACGUGGUGGGCAGGACAUAUGAGGAGGCGGCAAAUUCUUUUUGCCUAGGGGGGCAAAAAUCCUUGCACCAACCCUGGUAAGACUUUGUGCAUACUGUUUUAUCUCUCAAGUACCACAAUAUCCCACAUGUACAUUUUUGCCAGAUUUAAGGAGGUUUCAAGGGUCAUAAUAAUGACAAACUCUCAUUUUGACAAACCAUUAUUAUCAUUUAUAUUCUGCAGCGCUUUACAGGCCCUGUUUUACACGGAUUCAGGAUAGGCCAGUAUAUAUCCUAAGAUGUCUUGUGCAAGGACACUUACGGAUGUUAUCACUGUGGUAACCAGCCAAUAUUUAAUAUAAUGGUUGCGGUAGUAGAAAUUAAACAAAAAUGCAAGAGAAAUAAAAAUAGACAUGUGGUCUAUACCCCUGAGAACAAUCUCACUCAAUUCAGAAUCUAAUUGGAGUACACAAACAAAUAUUCCCUGCCAGUUCUUUGUAAAGUUAUACAAAAAACAUGAAGUUUCUGGCACACGCGACAAUAACCAAGUAUUGCUUAGAUCUUUUUAUUUUUUUUAAACAAAUAAUUUACAUCUCAAACAAAAACAAAUAAAGAUCUUAAAACUUUAGUUUGUUCCCAAGCAUGAAUUAAAAACGUGACAAAUGUUUUUAAAAUAAAAAUACAUAAAACAUUGAUAAUAAAAACAGUGAAAUUUUAUGCAACUCAAAUCCUUUGGAUGUUAAAUGCAGAGAUCACAUCAAAUAAUAAAAUGCAGACAAGAUUAAUUUACAAAUCUUAUUGAAGAUCAAUAAAAUUUGUUUUAAAUGUAUUUAUGAUAUAUUAUUCGAACAUCCAUUGUUCACUAUAACAAUGUCAACCACAAACAGGUGAACUACUGCCCAUGUCGCCAACACACAUACUCAUACUCCAGGAUGAUUAUACAAUUACAAUUAUUUAUAUAGCGGCAACAUAUUCAAACAAGAAAAACAAUUAAUUCUAACAAAACAUUUUGACAUAAAGGAACAAUAGAUGAAGGUGGCCCUGCCCAAAUGACACAGGAUUUAUGUAAUGACAAAAAAUAUCUGUGCAUUUUACACUUCCAUAAGAAUGUUUUAGGUAUCACAGAAACAAAGCAGUUGCACUGCAUUGCAUGCCCCUUAUUGACAUCAAUGCUCAUACUUUGCCCAAUGACAAAUUUAACUUGCAAAAUGGUGGUCAAUAUGUUGGGGUAGAAAAUGGGAUGUCAUAUAUCAAAGAUCUGUUAAGAGGCUAGGAAAUAAAAUCACUAAUUAACAUACAAACAGAAUAUAGACUAUACGAAAACAAAACUUUUAAAUAUCUGAAAGUAAAAAGCAUUCUCAAUAAAUAAGUGGAUAGAAGUGACAUGGGUACAGCCAGGCAGCUUCUGAACAAUAUGACUCAGCAGACGGAUUAUAAAAAACUGAUGUCAAAUUGUCACCAUGUUUUAAAAACUCUAAGGACAGAUCACGUCUGGGCGGCAAUUAAAAAAUGGGAACAAGAACUUCAAUUGCCCCUUUUACAGUCAGAUUGGAAUCACUCUUUGAAACUGUCGUACCGAGCUAUUCACUGUCUAAAUCUCUAUUCACUGUCUAAAUUACACUAAAAUUUACCCAAAUAGUACUGAUAGAUGCUGGAGAUGUAACAAAUCUAGGGGGGGACCAGCCAUUGGCUGCGCUUCCAGAAUCCUAACGGACUUUUGGUCCAUUAUCUGAUGCUGGAUGUCCUCACGCUCUGCAUGAGGACAUCCAGCGUCAGAUUUUCCCCACAGGAAAGCAUUGAAUAAUGCUUUUCUAUGGGGAGGUCUAAUGCGCGAGCGGCCAUUGCCGCGCCUGUGCAUUGUCUCCCAAGCCGGCUGAUGUCGGCGGGAGAGGAGCAUGGGGAGAGCGGCGCGGUUCAGUUAAGUGGCUGAAGGGGUUUAAAGUGGGGACCUAUGAACCCUAUAGAAAACCAUUUUCCUGGCACUAUAGGAUCCCUUUAAGCUCAAUCUAACCCAAAGUAGAGGAAUUCUUUUUGAAAUGGUAAGGACGUAAAUUCGAUCUUAGUUUCCACCAUGUAAAGGGAAGCUAAAGAAAUAAAUCUAGCAUUACAUCUUAUUUCCUCAUCCUCCAUGUCACAUAAAACGCGAAUAAAGAGGAAUUGAAAGUUCCUGAGGUUUCUUAGGAAUAGAAUCCUGCCAGUCACCCAAAGCCCUCCUCUCUAUAUGAAACCACUACAAGGAGAACUCCAUCAGCUAGUGCACAUGAAAUCGCAAAUCUUCUUAUACAAUGCUUUACCAAUAAUGCCAAUGAUAAGGUUUGCUCUAAUGCAGCAUUUCCCAAACCAGUCCUCAAGACCUACCAACAGUCCAGGUUUUGUUAGUAUCUCCAUUGGAAUAAAACAGGGAAAUACAUAAAUCCUGGACUGUUGGUGGGCCAUGAGGACUGGUUUGGGAACCACUGCUCUAAUGAAUAUGUUACCAGCUUUAAAUCAUAAAUAUAUAUUUACGUGAUGUGCCAGUGGAAUGCUUGGCACCAUGUUGCAAGACUAAAACAGGCACUUCACACCUUUUUACGAGCAUAACACAGGGACAUCACACCAUAUUAGUGCCGAAACCAGGGGGCUGGCUGCACUCACCUUAACAGACAUUAAUAGGGAGCCAAUUUAUACAAUAAAAAAGAGAAAAUCCAGAGCACUCCCUUAUCCACUAAACAGCAACUUUGAUGCUGACAGAUUUUUUUAGUUUAAAAAAAAAAAAAAAAUCUAAUCUAGGUUAUUUGAAUUGCCCUGUGCUAGGGUAUAAAUCAGGGCAGUGUGUGAGACGUAACGCUUUGUAUAGUGGGGGAAUAUAUUAAUUUACCCGAGCACACAGAUUGCACUCCCAGGACUUGCUACAGCAACCAGGACUUACCCAAGCACUGAGAUUGUACUCACAGGACUUGUCCCAGUACCCACCCCAGCAUCCAGGACUUACUCCAACACUGAGAUUGCACUCAUGGAACUUGCUCCACAACCCAGGACUUACCCUGGUAUUUAGAUUGCACUUACAGGACUUGUCCCAGGACUUCAAACUUGUACCAUGCAGGAGGGAAAAGAUGCCGGACGAGAUUUCCAGUGGCAACAAAGACAUUACAUUGGCCGCGAGAGUGCUCUCUCAUGGUGACACAUCUGCAUCCCACCAUGGCUAAAUUCUUAAAGGCUGCAUCACACAGCUGCCCCAGGGCACACAGGCCUUGCACAAUAUUGCAAGCUGGAGUCUUUAACAAAAAGAAAAAAUCUAUUGAUCACAUAAGCAAUAAGAAUAAAGUACUUAACUUUGUACAAAUGGAGUAGCUUCCCUAGAGGUCUUCCCCAUUUAGACCUCUUCAAUAUCAGAUGUGUAGAAAAACAGGAAAUAGGGAUACAGCUACAAGCUACAAUAUGAAAAACAAAUAUAUAACAAAUAUAUUUUAUUUUAUUGGGCAUUGGUGCCUUUAAUAAAUCCACUUUUUUCAACAUUUCUAAAUCUGGAACCUGAUUAUAUCCGGAGCUACCUGAGCCUGGCAAUUGUCUACCAUACUUCACGGUGGAAGCGGUCCAGUAUAAUCCCUCAGUGGAUUUCAAGGCGUUUUAUUCACUUAAAUCUUGUGAGUGCAACUAUCAUGGCAGUGUUGUAUUUUAUUAACUGUACAUCAAUAUGUGCUGUUUGUUUUACAUAUUGUAGCUUGUAGCUGUAUCACUAUUUCCUGUUUUUCUACAAAGCUGGAGUCUUUAAUGGUGUAAUUUUUUUAUAACUAACAAAUACCUUGGUUGUGACAGUUGAACUCAGGUUGUCUGAGUAUAGGGGGAACUGCAUGUGAUGUACUGGGGUGUCUGGAUGCAAUGGGAACUGCAAAUUGGGCUGUCUGAGUGUGAUGGAAAGUGCAUGUGAUGUAUUGGGUUGUCUGUGUGUGAUAGGAAUAGUUUGUGUGUGAUGAUAUUGGCCUGUGUACAUGUGAUGGAAACUGUGUGUUUACACUGGGCUGGCUCUGUGUGAUGAGAAUGUGUGUGAUCAUUUUGUGCUGUCAUUGUGUGAUGGUUUUGUGCUGGCUGUGUAUGAUACUGUAUUUCUUAGUAAUAACCUGAUGAGUAGAUAGAAUAAUGUAACUGGUUAUCUGUGCUGCCUGUGACCUGUAUGAAAGUUGGUGAAUCCUAGAGCAAAACAAACUAAAAUGACGUGUUUCAUCCUCAUACAAUAUGUAAUCUGGGGACAUACAUUUAAUCUAUCUAAAAGCUUCACUUCAAGUUACUUACUGUCUCAGUAGUAAUGCCACUGUUCAGAGUGUCCGCUCGCUCCCUCAGUCCCUCUUCAAACUGCAGUCUCAGCCAGGUAGGGUAAGGUGUAGCCGAACUAUCUGCUCCGCUCGCUCCCUAGUCCCUCUGCAAUCUCCAGGCAGGGUAAGGUGUUGCUGCCAUCUCCGCUUCACUUGCUUCUAUCCCCCUUCCUUCCAUGUCUCUCCCCAAAUUCCAUCUCUCUGUCCCUCUUCUAUGUCUCUCCCCUUCCAUCCAUGUCCUUCCCCCAUUUCAUUCACAUCUCGCUCUUAUGUCCCUUACCUCCUAUCCAUGUCCCCCUACGUGUCUCUCUCCCCCUCAUCCCCCACCCAUCCGUGUCUCUCUCCCGCCUCAUGUCCCCCAACCAUCUGUGCCUCUCUCCCGCCUCAUGUCCCCCAUCCAUCCGUGUCUCUCUCCCCAUGCCCCUAUCCACCCGUGCCCCUAUCCACUCUCCCAUGUGUCUCUCUCUCCCCCACAUCCAUCCGUGUCUCUCUCCCCCAUCCCAUGUCUCUCUCUCCCCAUGUCUGCCCCCCUCCCAUGUCUCUGUCUCCCCAUGCCCCUCCAUGUCUGUCUUCCCAUGCACCCCUCCAUAUCUCUCUCUCCCAAGCUACCCCCUCCCAUGUCUCUCUCUCCCCAUGCCCCAUCUAUCCGUGUUUCUCCCCAUCCAUGUCUCUCUCCUCCAUGUCUCUGCCUCUCCCAUGUUUCUGUCUCCCCCCAUGCCCCCUCCCAUAUCUCUGUCUCCCCCAUGCCCCUCAUCCCAUAUAUAUCUCUCCCCCAUGUCCCAUGUCUUUCUGUCGUUAUGCCCUCUCCCUUGUCUUUCUGUCCCCUAUACCCCCUCCCAUGUUCUUCUGUCCCCCAUGCCCCCUCCCAUGUCUUUGUGUCCCCAUGCCCCCCUCUCAUGUAUUUAUGGCUCCCCUCCCAUGUCCCCAUACCCCUCCAUCUCUCCUCUCCCCCCAUACCCCCCCACUCAAUGCUUUCUCUCACAUGCCCAUCCAUCUGUGUAUACUUUCCCCCCAUCCCAUGUCUCUCUCUCCCCCCAUGUCUCUGCCCCUCCCAGCAUCUUUGUCUCCCCAUUGCCCCCUCCCAUCUCUCUCUCUCCCCCCAUGUCUCUCUCUCCCCAUAUCCCCCUCCCAUGUCUCCUCUCUCCCAUAUCCCCCCUCCCAUAUCUCUCUCUCCCCAUACCCCCCCUCCCAUGUCUCUCUCUCCCCCAUGCCCCAUCCAUCCGUGUUUCUCUCCCCAUCCCAUGUCUCUCUCUCCUCCAUGUCUCUGCCCCUCCCAUAUCUCUGUCUCCCCCCAUGCCCCUCAUCCCCAUAUAUAUCUCUCCCCCAUGUCCCAUGUCUUUCUGUCCUUAUGCCCCCUCCCUUGUCUUUCUGUCCCCCAUACCCUUCUGUCUCCCGGGUCCUCCCUCUCCCUCCCCUGCCGGCUGUCAGCACAGUGCCUGCGGACCGGGGAGGGAGAUCUCUGAUUUCUCCCCUGUCCGCAGGCACAUUGCAGGGCUAGCACCUGCAUGUGCUGGCAGGGGAGGGAGACCGGCGGAUUUCUCGGGGGGGGCAAUUGCCCCGUUGCCCCCCCCCCUGGAUCCGCCACUGAUAGGAGGUGGGGUGUAAAACAGAUUAGGACAGGAGUUUGCAGUCAAAUAAGGUGGGCUGCCCUUUAGGACAGAGCAAGAGACAAGUAUGUGAGGUAGAGGUUAGUCUUGGAGGCCAUAAGCUUUCCUAAAGAGAUGGGUUUUAAGGCACUUCUUAAAAGAUGCAAGACUAGGGGAGAGUUUGAUGGCGGUAGGCACGCUAUUCCUUAGGACGGGAGCCGCCCGCGAGAAGUCCUGCAAGCGUGAGGCGGUCACGGGCAGAGCGGAGAGACCGAGAAGGGACAUACCCAUGGAUCUGUGAGGAGAUAUAAGAGGGGAUAGAGUUGUUCAGUGCUUUAUAGGUGUUAAUUAGUACCUUGAAUUGACUCCUAUAGCAUACAGGAAGCCAAUGUAGGGGUGAGGUGUGAGAGAACCGACUAGAGAGGAAAAUCAGUCUGGCAGCAGCAUUCAUAAUGGACUGUAAUGGUGCAGUAUGGCUUUUGGGAAGACCAAUCAGGAGAGGGUUACAAUAAUCCAUGCCGGAAAUUACUAGAGCAUGGACAAGCUCCUUGGUAGCAUCUUGUGUAAGAAAGGGGCGGAUGCGGGCUAUGUUUUUAAGAUGGAAUCUACAGGAUUUGGUAACAUGCUAGAUGUGAGGCUCAACGGUGAGGCCAGAAUCAAGUAUGACGCCGAGACAGCGCGCUUGCAAGGAUGGACUGAUGUGGGUACCACAAACUUGAAGGGAGAGUGAAAGAGGAGGAUCAGUAUUAGGAAGAGAAAAGACAAGGAGCUCAGUUUUAGAGAGAUUGAGUUUCAGAAAGCGGGAGGACAUCCAGUCAGAGAUGGAAGAAAGGCAAGCAGUGACACGUUGCAGGAUGACAGGGGAGAGAUAUAACUGGGUGUCAUCAAUGUUGGCUUUUGAAUGCAGGCGUGCAUUUGUGUGUAGUUUAUACACUGCCACACACAGAUAUACAUACAGAUACACAGACACACAGCAAAAGACAUACAAAUGCACAGACACAAAGCUACACACACCGACACAUACACAGAGAUACACGCACUGACACAUACACAGAGAUAUACCCACUGGUACUUACACACAUUGACACACAGAUACAUACACAGACAUCUGUUGGGUAAGUGUGAUAGGGUUUGGGGAGGAGGUGUUGGGGUAGGUAAGCAUGCCACAGUUAGGGAAUGAGAGUGACAGGGUUGGGGGUUUGAAUGUGAGUGUUUGGAAUUUCUAAGUGAUUGUGGGAGAGUGGCUAGUGUAACCAGGGUUAGGGGUGGUUAGUGAGACAGGGCUAGGGGGCAUGGGAGACAGGCUGGGGGGGCUCGUGAAACAGGGCUGGGGGGACUAGUGAGAUAGGUUUGGGGGGGCUAGUGAGACAGGGCUAAAGGGGCUAGUGAGACAGGGCUGAGGGGGCUAAUGAGACAGAGUUAGGGGGCUAUUGAGACGGUGUUAGAGAGAUAGUGUUAGGGGGUUAGAGAGUUAAUGUGACUUUGCAAAACCUGCUUACCAUCUGUGCAGGCAGGGGAGGCAAUAAUUAAGUUCAUGGUGGUCCAGUGGGCUGCUGGUUUGCUCCCUGGUUGUCCACUGUGUUGCUAGGGCUGCCGCGCGGUUCUGGCAAACUGUGAUGAUGUCAGAGUGCAGGUUGGGAACCAGGCGCUUGUGCUCUGACACUCACAGUGUACUGGAACCGUGUGGGAGUACGGCAGCCCCAGCAGCACGCUGGACCACCAGGGAGUUCACUAGACUACCAGGGAGUCAGUUUGUAACAACUGGCAGGGCGAUCUUGUGAUAUCCCUGCUGGCUCAAGGAAGGGGGCUCGACCCCCCUCCGCCGCUGCCCCCUCAGUGUGCAGGUCAGCUGCCAGCAACAAUUUAUUUUAGGAUUUAUGGUGAUCCUAAAAUAAAUUGUUAUGGAUAGAGGGCAAACGGAGUAGCUGCUUUGGGCCCCCUAGGAGUAACUGGGCCUGGGGUAGCUGCCCCGUUUGCCCUGCAUUAAAGACUGCCCUGCAUAGAGAUUGAGUAGAGAGGGUAGUUGGUAAUGCAGAAGAAUGGAAAGUAGAAUACCUCAGGUUUCUGUUAUAGGUUUACUUCUUUUUAAUUUUGUUUGUAGAUGAUCUGGAAAUGGGAACGUGUCAGUGUUCGAAGAUGACACAAAACUAGAUGAAGUAAUCCACUCUGACCUGGAUAUUACUUUUCUUGAGAAGGAUUUUGAGGAUUGGCAGAUGAGUAGCAGAUAAGAGUCAAUUCAACCCCUUAGUGACCAGACCGUUUUUCAAUUUUCUUACUAUUAAGGACGAGGGAUGUUUUUACAUUUCUGCGGUGUUUGUGUUUAGCUGUUAUUUUCCUCUCACUCAUUUACUGUACCCACACAUAUUAUUAUAUACAGUUUUUCUCGCCAUUAAUUGGUCUUUCUAAAGAUACCAUUAUUUUCAUCAUAUCAUUUAAUGUACUAUAAAAAAAAAAAAAUAUAUAUAUAUAUAUGAUGAAAUUUUUUUUUAAAAAAUAAACUUUUUCUAACUUCAACACCCAAAAUCUGUUACCCAUCUACAACCGCAAAAAAACACCCAUGCUAAACUUUUAAUAAAAAGUCUGGUUGUAUUUUUCUUUUUUUGAAAUACAGAAUAUUAAAUUAAUUAAUGUAGAAAAACUUAAUACUACAAUAAUUAAUGUAGGUUGUUCCUGUGUGUUGAUUCAAGGAGAUAUCGGAUUGCCAUUUUGGAAUUAAGAAGGAUUUUCUCCGGUUUGUGUCACAAACAGGAAAUGUCUUCAAACUGGGUUUGUUGCCUACAAUAGAAACAGAUGCCUGGACGGUUGAACUUGAUGGACAUAGAUUACUAUGUUACCGUACUUUUUACAAUCCAAGAAGACAAGAAAUAAGUCUGCUAACUGUACCAUGAAUAAUUACAUUUGAAUAUUUAUAUAUAUAUAUUAUACUUGCAUCAAUAUUCAGUUCCAUUGUGAUGGAAUCACUUUAUUACACUUAUGUGUCGCUGGUAGAAUGUCUUCCGUUGUCAUGUUGGUGGAAUAAAGUGAUUGAAUAGAAUUAAGUAUUGCAGAAUGAAUUAAUUUAUUUUUACUGUUUGAAGGGACUUCCAGGACCCCCAAACUCUUCAUCUAUUAUAUUUUUUUGUGUAGUUUAAUGUAGAUAGUCCUGAAUCUAACAGGAGGGCUUAAAACUCUGAUGAGAAAUACAACUCCCCAUAGCAGUGAAUAAGAGAGCAGAUAAACACAGGCUUAUUAGAAUUUCGACAAUAUGUCGUAUAAGAAUUAAUAAAAUAAAGACAAACAUGAAAAUGUCAAGGAAAAUAGAGAUAUCAGGGGAGAUGAUGCCAUGGUUUUAUAUGGAGCACAGCAUUUCUUGAUUAUAAGUACAGCGCUGUUCAUGCUUACAUGAAAAUACAUCUGACUUUCAUCAGAUAUUUACAUUGUUAUGUAGUAAAAUGUCUGUCUGCUUGUUUUUAACACUAUUAUAUAUCAUUAUUAUACUGUUAACAAAUAGUCAAUCUGUAGAGUCCCAGACUGCUGAGAAAAAAAAAAAAACACAUCUGGCAAUCAAAUCAUUAAAAUAGUUCUAGAGAAAUGAUGGUUCACAAUAUCUUCUUCAGCCUAAACGAGGUAUUGGAACUUUUUAUGUUUUUCACAUUUUUCCUAGUACUCUACAUAUUUGUAUUUUCAGAGCACAUGGGCAUGUUUUUAAAUCCUAGGGGAGAAUGAAGGAUUGUUACUACUUAUGGUCCUAAUGGGCUUCUUGUUAAAAAAGUAGACAUUUCUAAAAUCUUCCCAUAUUAAUAGAACCAAUUAGGGAAUAAGACUGUUUUUCAGAUGACAUACCAGAUUAUUUAUAGAAGGCCAGGUUAAGCUUUGCUCUGUCUCUUCCAAGUAGAAAAUGUAGAGUUCUCAAGCAGCUGUGAGCAAUAUCAGAGUAUUCUAAUGGUAAAUAUCAUUGGGAUUUACUCAUGUUAUCUCAUGUAAAUACAUAUAUCCAAAACAUAUGUGAGUGAUAACAAUUAUUGCAUUCUUGUGUGUUCAGGAGCAUUAACCGGUAAUAUAACGUGUUCUUUCGGCUACACUAAUUUAAACAAUAUAUAUAUUUUUUUUAUUAUUCCAUAUUAUAUAUAGCCCAGACUAACAAAAGAAUAGUUAAGUACUGAUAUUGGUGAAUUUCGUUUCCCAUGAUCCUUAGCCAGGGUAAGGUUUUGCUAAAAUUUAUAUGUAGUAGACGUCGGGCUCAUUUUUAUGCUUGUCAUAAUAAUUUAGUGACAUAUUGGUAAUCACUAAAAUAUACAAAAUACAGAUUAAGUAACAGUGCACACACAAAAAAAUUAAAUCACUCUCACCUCUCUACUUCAGAUGCCUCUAUGGAGGUUACCACAGGAAAGUAUACAUUUGAGGGGAAGUAUUGAAUAGCAGUGUCACUUUAAUAAUAUUUAUUUGAGAGUGGAUUUAAUACAUGUUUUGUCAAUUAUAUGCAAAAGAACCAUCACUAUAAUUAUUUAGUUAUAGCACUUUUUUCUUUUUUGAAUUACACUUUUGCUCACAUAUAUUUUAAAUCUGAUAUAUAGGAUUAAUUGAAUGCACUUCAUCUUAAGCUAUACUCAUUUAGAACUGGCACUAUUUAAAUAGUAAGUAUUGAACUUAGCAUGUUUGUCUCCCAUGUUAAAUUUAGUGUAGGACCCAAUGAAAUUGGGGUACUGUUACAUAGUCGUGGGCUAAACACAAUAUGGUGAUCUAUUAGAACUAAAUCCCACUAUUUGUUCAUAAAUAUGGAAUUUGGCAAUCGGGUGUGUGUGUCUAAUACAAAGGGCAACUUGACCAGAUGACUGCAAGUGAACUGGCCAUAUUCUUUGCGGACCUUUUAUAGCAUCCUGUUGAACUGGAAAAUGUACCUAUUCCUUAAUUUAUGUGCAGUUUGCAAAGUGUAAACACUAAGUGCUGGUCACUAUCAGCACCCCAAAAAACUUAAUUUUUACCUGAAAAUAUCUGACACCUGUUGCUAUUAAAUAUUCCUUAACUUUGGCUAUCAAUGGGAAACAUGGAAACUAGCCCAGUCUAUUCUCUGCUAAUUUUAAUUGACUUUUACUUCUUUAAUAAAUUGUAAAUAUUUGUUAAGCUAGUCAUACUAUUAUGUUUAUUCCAUACAAUCAGCAUGUAAUGCCUAGUAAUGCUCUUACUAAUCUUGUGUAUUUUAUCUAUUAAUAAAACAUAUUCUAAAUACAUUUCUAAAAAUAAUAAAAUUAAUUUAAAAAGUUAUUAAAAAAAAUAUUGCUAUAUCUUAGACUAAAAAGUUAUAGAGGGUUAUAUUUUUUAGAUUUAUUAUGCCUGAUUAAUGCAAAGUAUUCAUAUCAUUAUAUAAAAUGCCUUCCCAGUGCAAAAAUUAUAUAUUUUUCUUGAAUACUGGAGAGAGUACAUUAAUUGAAAGAUGAAAACUAGUUAAACUAAAACAUGUAUGUUGAAAUAUGUAUAACACAUUCCAGAGGACAAAAAGUACAAUAACGGAAACUCCUGAUGGGCAUAAAGAAAUAAAUUAACCUAAAAAUAGUCAUAUGUCCUACAUCCCACACUGAGUAUAAUCCUUUGGGUUUUCUUAUUGCAAAGGUAAAAAUUCCAAAGAUUUCUCAUUUAUGUCACCAUCCAAACAUUUCUCUAAAAUCUAAAAUAAGAAAAUGCUAACAUCACUAUUUAAACUUUGAAACAUGUUUACUAAUGGAAAUAUCUCAGAGUGUGAGCUGAUUUGGAAAUAAAGGAACACUGCAAGCACCAUAACCACCACCGUGUGCUGUAGUAGGUGUAGUGCCAGGAGUGCCACGACACCCUCCAAGAGUAAGUAGUCAAAUGUUUAGCAAUUUUACUUACCUGGGAUCUGCUGUGUGUCAGCCACAGCCUCCUGAUGAACCUGUAACAGAAGCUCCAGUUAGCUAUCCUGAUCUAAGCCCUGCAGCACUCAGCUGUUGCUCUCGGCCAAUUACCUAAGCCAUGCACCAAAGGGUUAGGUCACUGCAGAGAGUACAACAUAGGAGAAAGAAACUGGUGCCUUACCCCAGGUAAGUUAUCAAACUGUUUGAGUACUUACCUUAGACCACUCCUGGCAUCAUAACCAUCAUGCAGUGUACUUUUUUAUGUCCACUUGUGGAGCUAGAUUAUAGAUUGCAAGCUGUGACCUAUGUAUACAGCUUAUAACAUAGUUACAUAGUUACUUAGGCUGAAAAAAGAUAUGUGUCCAUCAAGCGCAGCCUUCCUUACAUCCAUAUUUUGCUGUUGACAAAAAAGAAGGCAAAGAAACACAGUUUGAAGCACUUCCAAUGUUGCAACAUACUAGGAAAAAAUUCUUUCUUGACCCCAGAAUGGCAGUCAGAUUUAUCUUUAGAUCAAGGAGCUAUUACUCUACCGCUGAAAAAUGAUAUAACUGAAAAUUAUGUUUUUGUAUGUAUGCACCUAGUUGCUGUUUAAACAUCUGUACAGACUCUGAUAAAACCACUUCUUCAGGCAGAGAAUCGCACAUCUUUGUUGUUCUUACAGUAAAAAAACAAAAAACGUUUCCUUUGCCUAAGACUAAACAUGUAAGACGAUACGUAGCAAAAUGAAGGAAAAGCUAAAGUUAAUAAUGUUGCCAGUAUAUCUUAUUUUGGCAUUUGUGGAAACAAAUUUGGUUAUGCAGUAAAUAAGGACGUAUCUGAAAUUGAUAUGGAAAUUGCACAUUUUAGCCCAAAAUAGAUCAUCUGUAGUUUAUGAUAGCUCAACUCUUCUUGCUUGGAUAACGUGGCCUAGAAAAUUGAAUUCUCUGUUCAAAUCAUGUAAAUAAUUAUGCAUGAUGAUUGAGAUAAGCAUACAUGUACAAUACAUGCAAUACUGUCCCACCUAUUGUUUCUCGCAAUAUGUAGUCAAAAUAAGUGAUGUACCGAACGGUUCGCCGGCGAACGGUUCCCGGCGAACAUAGCAUGUUCGCGUUCGCCACGGCGGGCGAACAUAUGCGCGGUUCGACCCGCCCCCUAUUCGUCAUCAUUGAGUAAACUUUGACCCUGUACCUCACAGUCAGCAGACACAUUCCAGCCAAUUAGCAGUACAGCCUCCCUAGCAGACCCUCCCACCUACUGGACAGCAUCCAUUUUAGAUUCAUUCUCAAGCUGCAUGCUUAGUAAGAGGAGGGAAAGUGUAGCUGCUGUUCAUAAGAUAGGGAAAAGCAUAGCUAGGUUAGGAUAAGGGUAUGCUUUUUUUUUAUUUAUUUUUUCUAUGUAAUGUAAAUGCACUUAGUUGUCUGCCACUGCUGCCAGCUUCUGUGUCAGGCUCACAGUGCCCAUUUUCCCAGUCAGUGCCACCAAUUACAUCUGGUGUCACAAUAGCUUGGAUUUAAAAACAAAAAACUUUUUUCACUGUUAUAGAUUGAAUAGCAGUCAGUGUCAUAAAGCGGGUGUGUUACGCUAACAGUGGAUACGCUGACAAGUGCCACUAAUUAGAUCUGGUGUCACAAUAGCUUGGAUUUAAAAACAAAAAACUUUUUUUACUGUUAUAGAUUGACUAGCAGUCAGUGUCCUUAAAGCGGGUGUGUUACGCUAACAGUGGAUACGGUGACCAGUGCCACCACUUAGAUCUGGUGUCACAAUAGCUUGGAUUUAAAAAAAAUCCACUUUUUUCACUGUUAUAGAUUGAAUAGCAGUUAGUNNNNNNNNNNNNNNNNNNNNNNNNNNNNNNNNNNNNNNNNNNNNNNNNNNNNNNNNNNNNNNNNNNNNNNNNNNNNNNNNNNNNNNNNNNNNNNNNNNNNUGUUAACUCACGGGCAGCUGGCUCAUCAAGGAACCACAGCAGCUUUCCAUGUACAGGUAAGACACGUGCAGCCGGUAAGGGUUCAGGCUCUUCUUCCUGGAGGAUACGCUGCAAGCCUGUUGAACGAGGUGACUUUGCUCGGGUCCCAGGUGUACGGUUCCUAAAAUGGCUGCCAUAUACACGUCCACUGAUAGGAGACGCUGAAGGUAUUAAACUGAUCAGAACAAUACUAAACACACCACAAAUAAGGUUUCUCUCCUGUAUGGCUCCUCAAAUGAUGCUUAAGAUUAGAAGCGGCUGAAAAGCAUUUCACACACAGCGAACAAAAAUAUAUUUUAACAUUCUCUCCACUUUGAACGAAAUGACGUUUGGGAAGAGAUUAACAUAAUUAAACACAGGCAGUAAAAAUACAGUUUUUAGCCAUACCCUGUAACUUUAAAACUACACAUCCCAUCUCCAUAAUUACAUAUUUGGAAUCAGCACACUUAAAACAUAAACAUAACCAAAAAUCUGCCAAAUCCAUCCAGGGGUUAAAAAGUUAGCUGGAGGUCCCUUUAUGACCGACCGCAAGCAUUUUCCCUGCCCAAAACAGUUCCAUAGAUUUGGCUGAGGUCGGGUCCAUUUCCAGGGUUGAAAAUCCACUCGUCCCAUCGCACGGGACUUAGUCUCUGCAGCUGAAAUAAGGCUGAAAAAAAGACUAAGUCCCAUCGCCGAAUGGGACUUAGUCCCUGCAGCUGAAAUAAGGCUGAAAAAAACGGCUGAAAAAAAGACUAAGUCCCAUCGCCGAAUGGGACUUAGUCUCUGCAGCUGAAAUAAUUUCCCAUUUACUGAACCAAGUGGAAAAUAGCAAGGCAGGCACAAAGGGUUUGCACCCGGUCUGGGGACACAGGGGACACCGUCUUAAAGGGGCCGUGUCCCCAACAAGUCUGGGGACACGGCCUUAAAGGGGCAGUGUCCCAAUCUUCCUGAUGUCCCAAAAAGUGUUUAAAGGGACAGCACCAGUCACAUAAAGAGUCCAUAAGCCCCAAUAUGCCCACUGACAGUCUUAAAGGGCCAUACACACCAAAUAAAAGUGCAUACAUUUUCACAAUCUCCCAGGGGCCAUAGUCAAGCGGGAGGAGGCUGGCAAGUAGGCUUCUCCACAACCCAGGGAAGCAGGGCAAUUUGCCAUUUAAAGGGCACGUUACAAAUAGCAGUUUGUAACAAGGUGUCAAUCCAUAUCUGCCAAGUGACCAUGGGACCAGUCCCUAUUCUGCUCUGUGUCAGUGUGUAUCAGGGAACCUUAGGACAGGUGUCAAUCCAUUCAAGUGACCAUGGGGAACAGUCCCCAUUCUGCUCUGCGUCAGUGUGUAUCAUGGUCCUUGGAGGACAGGUGUCAAUCCAUAUCCGCCAAGUGACCCCUACAUGUAGGGGACCAGUCUCUGUCUGCUCUGGUGUGUCCGUGUGCAUCAGGGGCUCUGAGGACAGGUGUCAAUCCAUAUGUCAAGGUGUCAAUAUGUCAUAUGUCAGGUGUCAAUCCAUAUUGAUUGUGAUUUAGGAAUGUUAGGUGAUUUCUGCCCUUUAUGGAUUAAAACCAGACUCUGUAUCAACUGUGUAAUUUUCCAUGGGAGUUUUGCCAUGGAUCCCCCUCCUGCAUGCCACAGUCCAGGUGUUAGUCCCCUUGAAACAACUUUUCCAUCCCUAUUGUGGCCAGAAAGAGUCCCUGUGUGUUUUAAAAUUCGCCUCCCCAUUGAAGUCAAUGGCGUUUCGGGCGGUUCGCCGGUUCGCGAACAUUUGCGGAAGCUCGCGUUCGCCGUUCGCGAACCGAAAAUUUCCGGUUCGCGACAUCACUAGUCAAAAUAAUCUGUAGAAUCAAAGUGGGGAUUUUUAGAAAUAUUAAUGUUCUGUAUAUGUAUUCCUUGCAUUUAACAAAUAUCUGUUUGUGAGGUAUUAAUUAAAUUAAUUAUAGAAAUCCACACCAUUCUAUCAUGGAACAUAGUGUUUUCAUCUUAGCUCCCUGACAAUCAUUGUUAUUGCUUGUUAUUGCUUCUGCUUUUUGUACCCAUCAGUCAACACACGGAGAGCACAGAGAGAGCACAGAGCAAUGUCUUUCCUGGUUGUCUGGUUGUCAUACCAAGGUUAUAGGUGAAUAUGAUUAUACCGGUGAUUAUUACAAGUUACACAUGAUUUUCAAUGUUUUAUUAAAUUUCCAGGGAAGUGGUGGUCCCCCUUAACUUCUACCUCAGUAAUGACAGCCUUUUUUAUAUUAUUCAUGGAUGGUUUUGGAUAACGUAAAGGUUUUUGUUGUUGUUUAAUAUGUUCUUUUUGCAGAUAUAGAAGAAUAAAGUAACAUGUAUAGCUUUCUUAAGGUACCCUAUUUGACAGAGCCCUGUAGAUAACAUAUAAAAAAUUUAAAUAUGUACUAUCUUUUGUGUACAAUCCACUUAAAUUACUUUGUGUGCACGACCUACUAAACUGUGGCCAUGAGGUAGUGAUAGUACAGCAUGCUCACGACAUAACUAUAUAGUGGGCGGCAGGGGUAAGCACCUCACUCCCUCACUGUUGCCUUAGCAUGCUCCAACAUGGCAGCACAGUCGGCCACAACAUUUAUUGACAUCACUGGAGGGGCAGUUCGACUUUGCCAUCAUCUUGGAGCCCAGCCAGGGAAAAUGGCAAGGCAAGAGGGAGUGAGGUAGGGGAUUUCCCUUGUUCCCCCGAUAUAUAGGGGUGCACAUUUAAUAUGUACCCUGGCACCUCUGAGGCUCCAUAUUUUGCAAUAGUUAAUGGCAAAAAUAAAAAACUGUAAUUUCUGGAAAUAUUUAUUCAAUAAAAAAAAAACAUGCUGUGCAUUUAAUACUGUUUUACAAUGUUUCAGUUUUUAAAUUUUUAUACUGACCAUUGAACUAAGCAGUGUCGAUAAAAGUUACUGUAACUAUAAAGUUACAUUUAAACAAUCUAAGGAAUGCCAUUAUGCAACACAUAGCACAUAUUUAUUGGAUUAGGUGUAUGUAAGACGUUUAUAUCAAUUAAAUCUCAUUUUAAUUCACUGCCGUUUAAAAAUGAUCAGUAAAACCUUGUCUAGAAGCAUAAAUAAUAAAAUAAUAAUAUUAAUAAUAAUAAUAAUAUAGAACCCAGAUUUAUAUUAUAAUGAAACACAUAAGAAAACUCUGUAUGGCCUGAUCGAGAAGCCUCUGGAUGGAUGUUAAAGGACCACUAUAGUGCCAGGAAAACAUACUCGUUUUCCUGGCACUAUAGUGCCCUUCCCCUCCCGCCGUGCUCUAGGGUGAGGAAGGGGUUAAACUUACCUCUUUCUCCAGCGCCGGAGCCUCUGCCUCCUCUCCUCCUCCUUGGCUGAAUGCGCAUGCGCGGCAAGAGCCGCGCGCGCAUUCAGCCAGUCUAAUAGGAAAGCAUUCACAAUGCUUUCCUAUGGAUGCUGGCGUCUUCUCACUGUGAAAAUCACAGUGAGAAGCACGCAAGCGCCUCUAGCGGCUGUCAAUGAGACAGCCACUAAAGGCUGGAUUAACCCUAAUAUAAACAUAGCAGUUUCUCUGAAACUGCUAUGUUUAUAGAAAAAAGGGUUAACCCUAGCUGGACCUGGCACCCAGACCACUUCAUUAAGCUGAAAUGGUCUGGGUGCCUAUAGUGGUCCUUUAAUUCUGCUCUGUGUGUCUUCUUAGAUUUCCAGUGCCACACAAUUUACUAAAAGAAAAAACAUUGUUGCUGAUAGCAACUCAGUUUCCACAUGGUCUAUUAAUCUGAUAUACAGAUUAUGCUAAGGAUUUUAACUGGUCUCCUGGGUCUUUUAAAUACCAUAUGGGAAAUUUCCUGGCUGGUUAUUAUAAGAGGGAUAAUAAAUAGUCUUGGCAUAAAACUGUCAAACAGUACAAACUAAAUUAAACAACAAGGUAGCAGAGAACAUAAAAUGCAUGAAUUAUUAAAUCAUAGCGUGUCUCAUUUAGUAGAAGCACCAACCAAAAUAGAUGCCUAUCUGGAUCUUGUAAUAAAUAAUAAUAUUAACCUAUUUUAAAACAUUUAAAGGACCACUAUAUUUUCCUGGCACUAUAGUGCCCUGAGGGUGCCCCCACCCUCAGGGACCCCCUCCCGCCCGGCUCUGGAAAGGGGAAAAGGGGUAAAACUUACCUUUUCCCAGCGCUGAGCGGAGAGCUCUCUGCCUCCUCUCCUCCUCCGAUUAAGCCCGCUGAAUGCGCACGCGCGGCAAGAGCUGCGCGCGCAUUCAGCGGUCACAUAGGAAAGCAUUCUCAAUGCUUUCCUAUGGACGCUGGCGUGCUCUCACUGUGAAAAUCACAGUGAGAAGCACGCAAGCGCCUCUAGUGGCUGUCAAUGAGACAGCCACUAGAGGAAAUAGGGGAAGGCUUAACCCAUUCAUAAACAUAGCAGUUUCUCCGAAACUGCUAUGUUUAUGAAAAAAUAGGUUAACCCGAGAAGGACCUGGCACCCAGACCACUUCAUUAAGCUGAAGUGGUCAGGGUGCCUAGCGUGGUCCUUUAAGAUAGCAAGCACUUGAAAAAUAGUGACGUGUGGCAACAAUUAUUCACUAACGAAAGCACAGAGGAUAACAUGUAAAGUUUGUAAAAUUCUACAAAGUACAUUUCUCAGCAAAUAAUAUUGGUAAACAAAUAUAAAAGAGACAAAUUAAACUAGAGCGGCUUAUCAAUGAAGAAAGUCAAUUAAUAAAAAAAGAAGAAGGGACAUUUAAAACAAAUAGUUUUAAAUCAACAGUAUCGUAUAAAUAUGUAAAUGUACCAACAGGGCAUGCAAAAGGGUAAUUCUAGGACAAACAAAAAAUGAAAUGAAAAUUGAAAUGCACAAAACUAAAAAGAGCACGAUAACCCCAAAAGGAUUUUAAGUACAUUAAUGCUAAACAAGGAAAAAGUGAACGUGUUGGUCCAUUAAGCUCUUUCAGGAUUCUCUUCUGUCAGGAAUAGUGCCAGAGCACUGUAAAAAAGCAGACCUGGUGCCUUUAUUUAAUAAGGAUUCAAUAUUAAAACUCAUUAUAUACAUACGUAUAAGCUUAACAUCUGUGGUUAGGAAAAUAUUCGGGCUGUUAAGGAAUAAUAUUAAUAAAUCUAUUUUGAAUAUGACAUCAAGAAAGAUGUGUUUUCCUUUUUUUGCAGCACAACUUGCCAUCGCUUCAAAAUGUUUACCUUCCUUUGGAUAAGUAGAAUAAAAAUAUGUAUUUAAAGGUUGAUCUUAAUUGACUAUAGCCUUUUACCAACCAAGAUUACAGUGUAAUUUUGGGAUAUUUAAUUAGAUUUUCCAGGAAACAAAGAUGCCCAGAUAAACUGGACAGAAAAUUGACAAAGCAAUACCUCAAAUACUGUAUCCCCAGCAACCCCAACCAUUAUUCAUUGGAAAAAAAAAUACAUUAGCUCUUAGCUCGAGGUAAUGGAAAGUCCUGUAAGUUUAUUUAUCAUUAGAUAUUCUGGGGUUCUUUACUAAUACAAAAAUGAUAGGCAAAUGGCAAGGGGAUUAAAAAUUGUAAGGCAAAAACAAUUGAGCUACAAAAUAGAUGAGAUGAAGAAUUAUCCCAUUUCAAUCUAAAACUUGCAGUUCCUUUCUCAAAUAUCCAUAUUCAUGAUUUUGUGAAUAUUCCAUUGAUGAUAUUUAAUAAACCAAUCCUAUUUAAAAUAUGACUUAAAUAAGACUUGUUCUUCUCAGAGCGCUUUCUUUCAAAACACUUUAAAAUACCUGGCAGAUACACGUAAUUUAUAUUCCAAACAAUGCCAAGUUCUCUACUAUAAAUUCCAAAUGUAGAGAAGCUAUUAUAGGUAAUAAUGCAAACAUUAGAAUUAAAUGAAUAUAAAAUAUAAAAGGCAAAUAUAAUUAACAAAUCUAAAAGUGAAUAAAAAGUAAAUUGAAUCCGAACAAGUGCUUACAUGUCCAUCUUUAACACAGAAAAAUGUAAGGCUCUACUGGAAGUGUGAAAGAACCAGAAAAACUGAAAACUUCUAAUGGGAAUUAAAUAAAACAAAAUCACCAACAAAUAUGUACUGUAGAUUCAGGUAUAUUCAACUCAUAAUUUCAAUAAGUUAAAUAUCUUAAGUAUAAACUUCUAAUCUUGCUAGAUGUCUUACUAGCAUAGUUAAAGAAUUAUUCCAAGCACCAUUACCACUUCACUGAUUUGAGAUAAAACACUGAAUAUACAGAGUUUAACCCUUCUGCUGCUGGAGGUAUUACUCAACCUCCAGUCACAUCACUCGGAUGUCAAUAACUAGCCCACUUUCUGCAGGGAAUACUUAGCCUCAGCAUUAACUGUCAAGCUAAGUUUUACCUUAUUGCUUUUUUUUUUAGUUGUCACUAAAACCUUUUUUAUUUUCAUGUAUUUGAAAUUCAGUCCGUAAAGCCUCACUUACUCUCGUUUAUAAUCAAAGAACGAUUACCAGCCUGUAGAGGAAUGAAUUGCUCCCGAAUAGUACAGGACGUUUCAAUGGGAAACAUCAUUUCUACACUCAGGCAGGGGGAGUAAUGAAUGAAUUCACUGUUAGCAUUACAUUAGAAUUUCAGAGAUUGAUAAAGAUUGAUAUAGCAGUUUUAUUUUUUUAUUUUAGAAAUAUAUGAUUUAACUGUAUUUACUGUGUGUGGGCACUGUGCAUAAAUGUUGGCAAUCUUUUUACAUUCUGUUGGCAUUUUCAGUAAGCGGUACUGCUAGUAAUGUAUUCAGGGUCCUUGCAAAUAUCUGUAGUGAUACAUAAUAUUUAAUUUUAUAUAUUUUUGUCAUACCUACUGUAUGUAAGUAAAAUCUAAUUUUUCACACAGAUAUUGUGUGAAAUAUUGCAAGAUAAAGCAUACUGUAUAAAGUUUUUCAUUUCUUGAAUAUUUUGUUUAUAAAUGAUGAAUAAAUAAGUGAAAAAUAAACUUCUUCUAUAAAAAAGCCAGAUCAGGGUACAAUUCCCUCUUAUAGGAUAAGUGAGGAGAUGUUGAGAAACAGGUGUUUCUUCGGUAUGAAGACCAUAAAAAGUAUAAAAGAGACAACAAUAGUGCUCACAGUAUAAAAGGUAGCAGGAGUAUAAAAUAAAUGGUUACUAACAGGGCCGGACUGGGAGAAAAAUUCGGCCCGGGCAUUUUUUUAACACAGCGGCCCACUAAAAAGGGGGCGGGGCAGAGGAGGUGUGUUUUGUCACCAAUGACAGACACGCCUCCUCUCAAAGUGAGCAUGUUGGUUCAAUGCUCUUCCAGGGCAGACCAUGCGCAGAGCUCUGCUGAAGAGCUCUAGCAUGAGAAAAAAGUCCUGUAUUUGUUUUGCACAGUGCAAGCAAAUUUAAUAACAUGCUUGCACUGUGUUUCCUUGCAACUUGUCUCUGGUGUCUAUAAAUGGAUACCAGGAGACAAAAGGCCAGGAAAGAGUAUUGUGCAUGUGUUUGGAGCCUGCUUGUGGUAUUGCGUGUGUGUAGAGUGAGCUGGUCGUGGUGUGGUAUUGUGUAAUAAGGUCGGUUUUAGUCGUGUUGUGUUUGUGGUGUAAUGUGAUGCAUAUGUGGCUAUGGGCUGUAGAGAAUGUGUGUAUUGGGGAUAUAGCAAGUGUGUGCAUACAGGCUAUAGUGUGUGUGUGUUUAGGGGUGUAGUAUGUGUUUGCUUACAAGGAAUCUAGUGUGUGUAUAGGGGAUCCAGAGUGUGUAUGUUAAAGGACCACUAUAGUGCCAGGAAAACAUACUCGUUUUCCUGGCACUAUAGUGCCCUGAGGGUGCCCCCACCCUCAGGGACCCCCUCCCGCCCGGCUCUGGAAAGGGGUUAAAACUUACCUUUUUCCAGCGCCGGGCGGGGAGCUCUCGUCCUCCGAUCCGCCCCGUCGGCUGAAUGCGCACACGCGGCAAGAGCUGCACGCGCAUUCAGCCGGUCGCAUAGGAAAGCAUUUAUAAUGCUUUCCUAUGGAUGCUUGCAUGCUCUCACUGUGAUUUUCACAGUGAAAAGCACGCAAGCACCACUAGCGGCUGUCAAUGAGACCGCUGCUAGAGGCUUUGGGGGAAGGCUUAACCCAUUGAUAAACAUAGCAGUUUCUCUGAAACUGCUAUGUUUAUAAAACAAUGGGUUAACCCUAGAAGGACCUGGCACCAAGACCACUUCAUUAAGCUGAAGUGGUCUGGGUGGCUAGAGUGGUCCUUUAAGAGUGUAGUGUGUGCGUGUAUACAUGUGUGUGUAUAUAUAUAUAUAUAUAUAUUUGGAAGUAUUGUGUAUGUUUGUGGUGCAGUGUGUUGGGGGGGUUCUGUGUGUAUGUGAGGGGUGCAGUAUGUGUGUGUGAGAGUGCGGUGUGUGAUGGGUGUGAGAGUGCCUGAUGGGUGUGAGAGUGAUGGGUGUGAGAGUGCCGUGUGUGAGUGAAGGGUGUGAGAAUGCUGUGUGUGAGUGAUGGAUGGGAGAAUGCCGUGUGUGAGUGAUGGGUGUGAGAAUGCUGUGUGUGAGUGAUGGAUGUGAGUGUGCUGUGUGAGAUGGGUAUGUGAGAUGGGUGUGAGAGUGCUGUGUGUGUGUGAGUGCUCUGUGAGAGUGAUGGGUGUGAGAGUGCUGUGAGAGAAUGCUGUGUGUGAUGGGUGUGAGAGUGAUGGGUGUGAGAGUGCUGUGUGUGAUGGGUGUGAGAGUGCUGUGAGAGUGUUGUGUGUGUGUGAGUGCUCUGUGAGAGUGCUGUGAGUGUGAUGGGUGUGAGAGAGUGCUGUGUGUGUUAAAGUGCUGUGUGUGAUGGGUGUGAGAGUGCUGUGUGAGAGAGAGUGCUGUGUGUGAUGGGUGUGAGAGUGCUGUGUGAGUGCUGUGUGUGUGAGAGUGCUGUGUGUGAUGGGUGUGAGAGAGUGCUGUGUGUGAUGGGUGUGAGAGUGCUGUAUAAAUGUUAUUGUGUGUAUGUAGGGGGGGUAAAUAAAAAAAAAAAAACAGGUAUUAUUCCCCCCCCUCCCUUCUUACCUUUAGCCUGGGAGGGGGGGACCGGCACGCUGGGACUGGAGGCGGGGAGGCAGUGUUCCCUGGUGGUCCUCGUGGGUGAGUGAACUCCUCGCGAGAUCCGGUCGUUGCCAUGGCAACGCGCCGGAUCUCGCGAGAGGAUCCCGGCGGAGCCGCAUAUUAGAGCUCCACCGGGUCCUCUCUCCAGCCUGGCUGGCUGUCUCCCUCCCUCCCCGCCGGCGGCCGCAUGUGGGCCGGUGAGGGAGAUCUUUGAUCUCCCCACGGGCCCGUCGUGGCAGACAGCGGGGCCGGCGCUAGGAGAGUGCCGGCCCUGCAUAGACCGGCAGGGGAGAUCCUGGGACCUCCCCUGCCGGCCUCGGCCCCACGGACACCGCGGCCCACCGGGCAUUUGCCCGGUGUGCCCGAUGGCCAGUCCGGGCCUGGUUACUAACAUUUAAUUGAGCUGGCAGAUUGCUCGAUGUGUAGGCGGAAGUGGUAUAGUCCCAACCUAGGAUUCUUGAGGAGUAGUCCUCACUGGAACAGUAAAAUUGGAUGCCAGGUAGAAAGUAAAAAUAUAGAUUAGCAACAAAUAAAAAAUUGUUUGCUAAGAAAACAAAUUAUCCUAACUUUUGAUCACAGGGCAGAAUUUGAUGGCAUAGAGAACCAGGAAGACCAUAUCUUAUUGUAAUUCCUUAACAAUUGAGCAUUGUUACUAUAGAAAAAUCUCUCUGUCUGAGCUUGAUAGGAUAUUUGAGACUGUGCCUCAUUCCAAGACAGGGUCUCUUGUAUUUUCCAAUAUAUAGCAAUGCAGAUCUUGGAGUCUAGUAGAAUGUUAAUAUAUAAAUAUUUUAAUAGUUUAUCUGAAGUGGGAAUAUCAACAUGCAAGAGAGAGAUCGGUGAAGAAAUUUUAUAUGCUUGAUUUAUCAAGGUCUUAAAAAUUCCCAUGUUACAACAAACUUCAUUCCCACCAGAUAUGAAGGUGUGUACCUUUCUCACUUUGACAUCGCCAACACAGAUUUAUAGUUUUCCUAUCUAUUUUGGCCAGUUGUGAGGGAACCAAAUACCAUUGAUGGGUUAAUUUAUAGUAUUGUUCUUGUAAAUUAAUACAAUGCAUAGCUUUCCUAGUACUUUUCCAAGCAUUGAGCCAUAUUUGUAAGGGAAAUUGACACAUCAACGCUUGUUCCCAUUUGUGUAUAUAUUUUGCUUUAUAAAAGGUAUUUUCCAAGGACAAUAUGGUAAUAUUUUUUUACAUAAGAUUUGAGGGAGAAUAAGAUUGGGUAAAUGUAUCCCAUAUAUCGGUUUCCAUUUAACCUGAAGAGAGAAAAUAUUUUUUGUCCUUAGAUAGUGAAAUAAUUCAACUAAUGGAAGAUUAUAUUUUAAAUUGUUUCUCUCUAUCCUUUUUUAAUUUAUUGAUAAAAAUAAAAUAUCUUUAAUUUCUCUACUCACUAUAUUGAGCUUGGCAGUCUGUUUCGGAGAAACCCAGAGAAAUAGAAAGGAAUCAAUGCCACUGAAUCCGGAUCUUUCUAUAUUGUCCCAUGGAAUAUCCUUUUCCUUAUUAAUAUCCCAGGCGAACACAUGAGAAAUCAUACAUGCCUCAUGUAAGAUCUUCAGGUCUGGAAAGCUUAGGCCAUCCAUUUUCAUAUUUCCCUUCAAUAUUCCCCUGCCCCCAGGACUCUUGUUUUUUUUGCAGCCCAAACAAACUUGGAAAAAAUAAAUUCAAAUUGUUUUAAUGGAACCUGGAGAGGAAUUACUCUAAAUAAAUAUAAAACCUUAGGGAAAAUAUAUGUUUUUAAGAGAUUAAUGCGGCCCAUCCAAGACACUUUAAUGCCCCACUAACAGGUCAAGACAUCUUUUAUAUAAUUCAGCAAUUCUCCAAAGUUAAGCGAAACAAAAUCGUACCUAUGUACUCGAUCCUUUCAUUUGACCAGUCCAACUGAGCACAUCUUCCCAAUGCAUCAAUUAAUAUUGUUAAUAUGUCAUCAGCAUACAGAGUGACCAAAUGAUCUUGUUGGUUAAUCUAUUUGCCAAGGACAUCCGAAGAGUUUCAAAUACAGGCCGCUAAAGGUUCUAUAGUUAUUGCAUAGAGCAGGGAAGCCAGUGGGCACCCCUGUCUUGUACCGUUAUUGAUAUUAAAUGAAUUUGAGUCAGAAGACAAUCCUUUGAUUCAUGAUUUUGGAGUUGUAUAUAAUGCAAUAGUGUGGUUAAAAAAGGAAUUUAAUAUUCCAAAAGCUCGCAGAGUCCUUGCUAAAAAGGUCAAGCUAGCUCGGUCAAAUGCCUUCUCAGCAGAUAAGUUUCUAAUAUACAGCCAGGUCCAUAUUGGGACAUCGACACAAUUCUAAUCUUUUUGGCUCUAUACACCACCACAAUGAAUUUGAAAUGAAACGAACAAGAUGUGCUUUAACUGCAGACUUUCAGCUUUAAUUUCAGGGUAUUUACAUUCAAAUCAGGUGAACGGUGUAGGAAUUACAACAGUUUGUAUAUGUGCCUCCCACUUUUAAGGGACCAAAAGUAAUGGGACAGAUUAACAGUCAUAAAUCAAACUUUCACUUUUUAAUACAUGGUUGCAAAUCCUUUGCAGUCAAUUACAGCCUGAAGUCUGGAACGCAUAGACAUCACCAGACGCUGGGUUUCAUCCCUGGUGAUGCUCUGCCAGGCCUCUACUGCAACUAUCUCUAGUUCCUGCUUGUUCUUGGGGCAUUUUCCCUUCAGUUUUGUCUUCAUCAAGUGAAAUGCAUGCUCAGUCGGAUUCAGGUCAGGUGAUUGACUUGGCCAUUGCAUAACAUCUUUCCCUUAAAAAACUCUUAGGUUGCUUUUGCAGUAUGCUUUGGGUCAUUGUCCAUCUGCACUGUGAAGUGCCGUCCGAUGAGUUCUGAAGCAUUUGGCUGAAUAUGAGCAUAUAAUAUUGCCCGAAACACUUCAGAAUUCGUCCUGCUGCUUUUGUCAGCAGUCACAUCAUCAAUAAAUACAAGAGAACCAGUUCCAUUGGCAGCCAUACAUGCCCACGCCAUGACACUACCACCACCAUGCUUAACUGAUGAGGUGGUAUGCUUUGGAUCAUGAGCAGUUCCUUUCCUUCUCCAUACUCUUCUCUUCCCAUCACUCUGGUACAAGUUGAUCUUGGUCUCAUCUGUCCAUAGGAUGUUGUUCCAGAACUGUGAAGGCUUUUUAAGAUGUUGUUUGGCAAACUCUAAUCUGGCCUUCCUGUUUUUGAGGCUCACCAAUGGUUUACAUCUUGUGGUGAACCCUCUGUAUUCACUCUGGUGAAGUCUUCUCUUGAUUGUUGACUUUGACACACAUACACCUACCUCCUGGAGAAGGUUCUUGAUCUGGCCAACUGUUGUAAAGAGUGUUUUCUUCACCAGGGAAAGAAUUCUUCGGUCAUCCACCACAGUUGUUUUCCGUGGUCUUCCGUGGUCUUUUGGUGUUGCUGAGCUCACCGGUGCAUUCUUUCUUUUUAAGGAUGUUCCAAACAGUUGAUUUGGCCACACCUAAUGUUUUUUCUAUCUCUCUGAUGGGUUUGUUUAGUUUUUUCAGCCUAAUGAUGGUUUGCUUCACUGAUAGUGACAGCUCUUUGGAUCUCAUAUUGAGAGUUGACAGCAACAGAUUCCAAAUGCAAAUAGCACACUUGAAAUGAACUCUGGACCUUUUAUCUGCUCCUUGUAAAUGGAAUAAUGAGGGAAUAACACACACCUGGCCAUUGAACAGCUGAGCAGCCAAUUGUCCCAUUACUUUUGGUCCCUUAAAAAGUGGGAGGCACAUAUACAAACUGUUGUAAUUCCUACACCGUUCACCUUAUUUGGAUGUAAAUACCCUCAAAUUAAAGCUGAAAGUCUGCAGUUAAAACACAUCUUUGUUUGAAAUCUCAAUAAAAGGAUUAAUACUAUAUCAAAGAUUAGGGUAUAGAACAUCAAUGUGUGAUGUCUGAUGAGCAGUGCAAUGCUGGGCCAGUUUGCAGGUGAUACUGUACAUUAAACUUGGGGGCUUAUUUUGUAUGUGAAAAGCUGGAGCUCUAUGAAACCAUGCAAUAUUUAUUUUCCUUAAGGAAUUCCCUUAAGCUUAUUUCUUAUUUGAAAGUAACAUCAAUAACUGUAUUAAGACAUGUAAGUUUAAAACACAUGGAUUUUAUGGAAAUUCUAAAAAUUGCUUGAAACCAUAGUACUAAGAAUGAACUUUACACCUAUUGAUUGCUUCAAAACCUCAUGCAUUGAUAUAUCACUUGAAAAGGCACUCCCAAAGUGGAUUAAGAGAUUAGUUGCAUUUUGGAAUGGUUUCUACAAGUUUUUUUGUAAUGCAAAACAUUCACAUUUGGAGUACACAUAUAAACAUAGCACAUUGAUUAAUCCCUUAACUAUUGAGCUAUUUUCAUGCUAAAAUUGGUAGUGAUAUACGUUUUAUAAUGCUCGCUUUCAUGAAUUGGUGCAGAGUCGUGAUCCCUUUAUUAAAUAAAAUGUAUAUUCAAAAGUAGCAUGGUGAUGGGGAAGGAGCAAGUGCAGGUUUACGGCACUUCUCCAGAGACUAGAAUUUAGAGUUUAACUCCAAGACUGAUCUCUGAGGAAAUGCCUGAAGGCAUAAUGAGUAGCACAUCCAAGUGAUGAUUUCAACAUGUCAUUUUUGUAGCAUACAUGAUCCAGCACACUCACUCAUUCACUAAACAGCAAUUUCACAUCUCACAGAAUGUACUAGUUUAAAAAAACAAAAACAAACACCUAACCCAUGCUAAAAUAAUGGGGGUUUAGUUAGAGUAUGUGAUGAUGCAUUGCAUAAGUCUCCCACUGUCCAUGCACCACAUACUGGACACCAGUAUGUGCUUUAACUGCAGCAAAUAUACAACAUUAUCUUAGUUUUUUCUGUGUCUGUGUGUGCCUGUGACGUUGUGCAUGCUUGUCUUUGUAUGCCAGUCUGCGCCUGUCUGUCUCUGACUGACUGAUGGUGUCUGUCACCAAAUAUACUCCAUUAUCUUUACUCUCAGAGUGUUCCCUCGCCCAUUCGCUCCAGAAGUGAUGCAUUUGCAUCAUGCCACUCUUUUGAUUGAACAUAAAAAAAUCACUUUGACUAUACUGGUUUAACACUGCCAAAUCCUGAUUCCUUGGAGAAAUCUGGCAAACCAUACUACAUUAAAGCAGAUUUGCUUAAUUAAGGCAGCCCGUGUUUUUUUUUCUUUCUGGUUUACUUUCCUUAUGCCACUUGUAUCUUAAAAGGACUAUGGGCAAUAUAAAUAUUUAGGCUCAUCGUAUUGGCUAUAGUGAUUGGAAGUCACUGGUACUGUCUCUGUAUUCAGCAUUAAACUUUUUUUGGACAGUUUAACACUGAAAUAGGGUCUCCCACAGCUUGGCUCCCUCUGCAAGUAUGGUUGAGGCAGAAAUAACCCACUUCCUUGUAGUUAUACCAAUUCAUACCAACAAUGGCAGCUGUAACAGGCGGAAAACAGUCAAUUGAUACUCUAUCAUAUCACCACCACCUAUUUCUGCUCAGGAAAAUACUUCCUCACUAGCCCACACUGCACAGAGGGGUGGGCUGCUGGGGACCCUCGUUAAGCAUUAAUGUUUCAAAAUGGCUUUAUUCAAACAGAAACAUUUCAGGGUUUGCCUUGAGCAAUGUACAACAGCAUGAAUCUAUAGAUUGAACAAGCAAACAGGAUAUAACGGACACGCAGGUCCCAUCGUAGAAUGUGUGAACAUCACUCGAACAAUGUUACGUAUUAUACAGAUAUACAGGGAGUGCAGAAUUAUUAGGCAAUUGAGUAUUUUGACCACAUCAUCCUCUUUAUGCAUGUUGUCUUACUCCAAGCUGUAUAGGCUCGAAAGCCUACUACCAAUUAAGCAUAUUAGGUGAUGUGCAUCUCUGUAAUGAGAAGGUGUUUGGUCUAAUGACAUCAACACCCUAUAUCAGGUGUGUAUAAUUAUUAGGCAACUUCCUUUCCUUUGGCAAAAUGGGUCAAAAGAAGGACUUGACAGGCUCAGAAAAGUCAAAAAUAGUGAGAUAUCUUGCAGAGGGAUGCAGCACUCUUAAAAUUGCAAAGCUUCUGAAGCGUGAUCAUCGAACAAUCAAGCGUUUCAUUCAAAAUAGUCAACAGGGUCGCAAGAAGCGUGUGGAAAAACCAAGGCGCAAAAUAACUGCCCAUGAACUGAGAAAAGUCAAGCGUGCAGCUGCCACGAUGCCACUUGCCACCAGUUUGGCCAUAUUUCAGAGCUGCAACAUCACUGGAGUGCCCAAAAGCACAAGGUGUGCAAUACUCAGAGACAUGGCCAAGGUAAGAAAGGCUGAAAGACGACCACCACUGAACAAGACACACAAGCUGAAACGUCAAGACUGGGCCAAGAAAUAUCUCAAGACUGAUUUUUCUAAGGUUUUAUGGACUGAUGAAAUGAGAGUGAGUCUUGAUGGGCCAGAUGGAUGGGCCCGUGGCUGGAUUGGUAAAGGGCAGAGAGCUCCAGUCCGACUCAGACGCCAGCAAGGUGGAGGUGGAGUACUGGUUUGGGCUGGUAUCAUCAAAGAUGAGCUUGUGGGGCCUUUUCGGGUUGAGGAUGGAGUCAAGCUCAACUCCCAGUCCUACUGCCAGUUCCUGGAAGACACCUUCUUCAAGCAGUGGUACAGGAAGAAGUCUGCAUCCUUCAAGAAAAACAUGAUUUUCAUGCAGGACAAUGCUCCAUCACACGCGUCCAAGUACUCCACAGCGUGGCUGGCAAGAAAGGGUAUAAAAGAAGAAAAUCUAAUGACAUGGCCUCCUUGUUCACCUGAUCUGAACCCCAUUGAGAACCUGUGGUCCAUCAUCAAAUGUGAGAUUUACAAGGAGGGAAAACAGUACACCUCUCUGAACAGUGUCUGGGAGGCUGUGGUUGCUGCUGCACGCAAUGUUGAUGGUGAACAGAUUAAAACACUGACAGAAUCCAUGGAUGGCAGGCUUUUGAGUGUCCUUGCAAAGAAUGGUGGCUAUAUUGGUCACUGAUUUGUUUUUGUUUUGUUUUUGAAUGUCAGAAAUGUAUAUUUGUGAAUGUUGAGAUGUUAUAUUGGUUUCACUGGUAAUAAUAAAUAAUUGAAAUGGGUAUAUAUUUGUUUUUUGUUAAGUUGCCUAAUAAUUAUGCACAGUAAUAGUCACCUGCACACAGAUAUCCCCCUAACAUAGCUAAAACUAAAAACAAACUAAAAACUACUUCAAAAAAUAUUCAGCUUUGAUAUUAAUGAGUUUUUUGGGUUCAUUGAGAACAUGGUUGUUGUUCAAUAAUAAAAUUAAUCCUCAAAAAUACAACUUGCCUAAUAAUUCUGCACUCCCUGUAGUAUUUGAUCAUGGUUAACACGUUAGGGUAGUCAUAUGUGUGACCGGUGUGCAGCUCGAGUAUAGGAAUACUUGUAGGUUUGUACUUUGUGUCUGCCUUUUGUGUUCCGUCAAUAUUUCCUUAUCACCCCUGGGCCUCUAUCUCUUUGGGAUGGUGAAGGCUAUUGGUUCGGCGUUACUGGUCAGUUGCCGUUCAUGAGUGUGUCUUAUUUGUGUUGUGUGAUCCCAUGAUAGAGGUGUGUGCUUCCAUUUUGAUGUGUGAGUGUGAGUGAGUGACACAGCUUUUAGCAAUCUCGGGUUGAGGAGGACUGCGUCUGUUAUUCAAUUAGUACAGAAACCAUUGUCGGAGAAUUUAGAGCGAAGAUGAGUGAAAAAUGAGUGAAAAGUAAGAGAAAGAGAGAGGGGGGAUGGGGAGGAGGAAGCGGGUUGGAGGAAGGGUGGGCAGGUGGGUGUGAAGGGGCGGGGGGUCCCAUCGCCCGUGCCCAUGGUAUUGCACGUAUUGUACCAGAUGUAAGUCCCCAUCCGUGGGGGGGCGCGGUGCUCCCUGGGGCUGCGGACGGCUAUUCCUAUCUGCGCUUCGGUCCGCUAUGUAGAGUAGCCAUGGGCCCCACCUCUCCACAUGCUUGUCCUCGAGGCCUAUAAGUGUGGCCUGCAUUGAUUCCGCUCUAUAUAUUUCUUCCACACGCUCCAUCCAUUGCCUUAUCAUCGGGAUAUUCGUUUGUUUCCAGUAUAGUGGAAUCAGUGUCAACUAAUGUUUUUCCUAUAUGACCCUAUGGGGUCUGGUGUGGAAUGCAGGAGGACCGCCUCUGCAUUGAGGUUUCCUUCCGUCCCCAAGAUUUCCCCUAUUUUCUGUAGAACUUCGUCCCAGUAUGGCUUAAUAAGUGAGCAGUCCCACCAUAUGUGUAGUGGCGUACCUCGUUCAUCCCCACAUCUCCAACACGUGUCAGGUAUAUUCGGGAAGAUCCUGUGUAGACUGUCAGGCGUUCUGUACCAGAAUGAAAGGAGUUUAUAGUUUGUUUCUUGGUAUUGGGAGCUCGAUGAGCAUUUAUGGUGCAAUAUGAGGAUCUUAUCCCAUUGGGACGCGGUAAAGGAUGUAUUCAGCAUGCGUUCCCAGCGCCUGCAGAAUUGGUCGUUGUUAGUGAGGUGCCCCACCAGCAUGUGUUGAUACAAUAGGGAUAUCGCCUUAUCUAGGGUAGUCUUGCGGUCGCAUGUAGUUUUUCCUUGUCCGGGAGUGUCCGAUAGUAUGAUCUGAGUUGCACAUAACGGAGGGUUUGUAGGCUGGUGGGUUGGUUGCCUUCCAAUAGGUUCCUCAGGGGGGUCAUGUCCGUGUUGGUUAACACCCUAUCUAUGGGGAAUGAUUCCCCCUCUCCUAGGAAGGACCAUGCCGCCUGCGGUAGCCCUCCUCCUAUCUGAGGAUUGUGCUUUAUCUAGGUCAUCGGGCUUGGUGUUUGGGAAACGUGAGGAGCUCUCCUGAUAGUAUCCCACGCUUUCAGUGUCUGCGCAACAGUAGAGGUUGGUUCCAAAAUCAUCCGUGGCAUCCUCUUCGUAUUCCACACUGAUGUCAGAAAGGAGGGGCCUAUAUGGUGUUUGUCUAGUUCGAUCCAUUGUUUAUGCGCCGGUUGAGUGUGCCACUCCAGUACGCGUUGUAGUACUGUCGCAUGGUGGUAUUUGCGGAGGUCGGGGAGCGCCAGUCCCCCCAUGCUCGAGGUAAGCAUAGGACGUCCUGUCGGAGUCUUGCCUGUUUCCCAUUCCAAAUGAACUUCUCGUUAAGCAUUAAUAUCAGCACAAAAACUUGGUGGCUAGAUCUUUUAAGGAAUAGGUUUCCAUGGCCGAGCAGCUGCAUGCAAGCCUCACAUCACCAACUACAAUGCCAAGAGUCAGAGUGAAUGGUUUAAAGCACACUGCCACUGAACCCUGGUACAGUGGCAAUAUGUUCUGAGGAGUGACAUAUCAUACUUUUAUGGUCGAGUCUGGGUGCCAGGUUAAUAUUACCUGCCUGACUGCUUUGCAAUACCUGUAAAGUUUGAUGGAGGGGUGAUAGUAGUACGUGGCUGUUGUUCAGGGGUUGGGCUAGGCCCUUACUUCCAGUGAAGAUAAAUCGUAAUGCAUAUGAAGAUAUUUUGGACAAUGCUAUGAUUUCAACUUUUCUAUUCCAGUAUGACUGUGCCUAGUGCACAAAGCAAGGUCCAUAAAGAUAUCGCUAGAUGAGUUUGGUGUGGAAGAACUUGACUGUCCUGCUGAACUCUGACCUCAACACCUUCAAACACCCUUGGGAUGAACUGGAAUGGGAAUUGCAAGCCAGUGGGACAAAUUCCCAAUUAAAUUACCUGUUGUAGCUUUUCAAAACAUCCUGAUUUGAGUCCCUAAUGACUUCACUGGUGUCUAAAAUAUGUAUACAGCACAGAGUUACUUUUGGUGCAAUCUUUGGAAUAUCACUUACAUUUUGCUUCAACUGAAUUUUCUGUGUUGAUUUAUAAACUAUCAAGAACAACAGGAGAUUGAAUACCAUGACUAUAGGCUCACCAAAGAAGCAUCAACAUGUCUUGUAAAUAUUCGCUCUGAAAGAUUUUCAGUAAUUUUGCUAAUGCUACGUGUGUUUGAAAUGCAAUGAGCAAUUUUAUAUUCACAGCAGACUGCAAGCCAUCUCUUAUGAAAGUAACCAAGCCAAUUCAUUGUGUAGAGCAAAGCACACAAAAUUUCACUGCCCAGAUAUAUGGAGAAUCUAUAGGCUAAAUAUAAAUUGCAGGAGCUUCACUUAGAACAGUGAACAUGGCACACAAUCAAUUGCCUGAAAGUAUUUUCUACCAAGAAAGCUGAUCUGGAAUCCAUUCAAUUCAAUCUCAGCUUUGAAGCAUCAGCUGAUAAAACCUUUUGCUUAUAAUGCAGACUGGAGUUAUAAGUGCUGCAGAUAAUGAAAUAGAUUGGGCAUUUAAAGCAAAGUCAUCAGAUAUACCAGUAUUCAGUACAUGCAAUUGUAUAGCUGUAGCGUACUUAAAUACAAUACAUAAUAAAUGUAGAACUUGUGCAGUAUUAUUUAAUGUAGUAUGUAUUUUUCUCCAGAAGAGAGAAUAUGAUGAAGUCCCUUGGCAUAUUCAAACCCGUAAAAUACAGUACUGAGCUAAAUUCUUAGGUCCUCUUUGAUUUUUAGUUUUUGUAAUGGUAUAAUGACCAUAUAUAAUUAUUUCUCAGUCUUUUUAAUAAAAUACAACCAGGAAAUACAGGAAAUUUGCAUGCAGUAUGUGACAAACUCACUUCUUCUCAAUGUCUAUGAACAGUUACCCCUAGUUCAUUUUCCCAGUUUCCCCUGAACCCAAGUACUUUUCUCCAUUCACUAUUUUGCAACCUACCGAACACUGACCACACACUGGCUCGUUGACUACAAAGUAACCACAAACUUAAGUGCUCUCGCUGUGUGGCAGCUGUUCGUAUAACCAAACAACACGUGCUCUGGAAAACGGUGGUUCUCUUGUCUCCCAAACGCAGGCAGUGGCACCUGGUCAACUGAGCAUCUGGAACUCAAAGUCAGAUACUUACACGUGCGAACCUCUGUGACUUUGUGUCAACGCAUGCUUCUGUUCCCGACAAGGCAGGAGAGCACUGUUUGGUAGGAAUGUUCGCACAAACUAGGAGAACAUUCGCAACCUAUGAGCCAGGGGAAACAUUUGUUUGUUUUCGAUUGGGAACUCCCGAAAGAUGACUGGCCAAAGUACCCAACUCCCUGGAACUGUUUUCAGCAUGGGACCAUGUGCGCGGCUGGUCAAGACUUUACCCCGAUGGCGAUUUGGCUAGAAUCCAUGGAUCUGAACACUAUUUUGACAACUUGGGUGCUCAGAUCCCAGCUAUCCGGGGAUAUAAUACUUGUGGGGGUUCCAGUAGAUAUUCUGUGUAUUUUGAGGUUUGGGAGAUAAUUAGGUUAAGCAAAAGCAAGCUCACUUAUCUCCCAGACAAAGAGACACCUGGACGGGCUUACUGUACAAAUUAAUUAAGACCACAUGCUGGGGAUCUGUGUAUAUAAACAGGCCACUGGGCCAUAAUAAAACAUUCUUUUUGUACCCUUCAUCAAGUCUUGGCUGAUGUUUGGGUAGAUCAGUGCUAUAAUCACUACUUCACUUCGGAUAUACUCAGUCGGAAUACAGGGGAUCCAUUACACAGUAUAUAUGCAAGGCCGCUCUCAAAGGGAAAUCGGCAAACAAACUGGAUACUCAAGAUGCGGUAUUUAUGCUGGUAUAAAGAAAUUUGAAGAAUCAGGAGAAGUCAUGGACAAAAAAAGAACUGGAAGGCCAGGAAAACAUUCAUAAUCUUAUAAGAAGUAUCUGAAUUUCUUCUUUCAGAGACCUGAAAAAGUCCAGCAAGUACCUGGCUUAGCAUAUGGCAGCUUUAUCGGGAUGCCCAGUUGACAAUUCUACAGUCCGAAGAAAUUUGACCAGGAAUGAGGAGAUGCUGAUUGGCGGUGUGUUUUGCUAUGCAUGCGCUAUAGUCAUUAAGAUAGAUGAUCUCAACCAGAGCCGGUGCAAGUAUUUUUGGCUACACAGAUGAAGAAGCAUUUUGUAAAAACUUAGCACACUAUCUAACAAUUAAAAUGUAUAAUAAAAAUAUAUACAAAAAUAAAAGAUUAAUAUUAGGAGUCAUUUUCACCAUGCAAUAAUGUCUCUUACUUUACUCAGCUCCUUUGUGCGUCUCUUUCUCCCCUUCCCCAUCCCCUAUGUAUGCUUCAUCCUCCCAGCUCCUUUUGUGUAUCUUUUUCUCCUCUUCCUCACCACCUCUAUGUCUCGUUCUCCCGGAGACAGUGGCGUCGCUAGGGUGGGGCCAGAGGGGGCCAUGGCCCCCCCUACAUCAUGCUGUGCCCCGCCUUGGGCGCCCCAAAUGCCAGCAACCUGCUGGCCAUGGGCUUCCCUCGGACUGUAACAGCCUGUUACAGCCCGAGGGAAUGCAGUGCUGAGGUGCUGGGGGCUGUCUGUGGCUGGAGGGAGCACUGAUUGGCUCCCCAGUAGAGGCCCCGCCCCCAUAUGAAGCCCCGCCUCCCGCCGAUAAGCCCCGCCCCCGAUGGAAUGCAGCAGCCCAUGCUGCUUCAGAAGAUGGCUGCCUGACCCCCAGCAACAGCCUNNNNNNNNNNNNNNNNNNNNNNNNNNNNNNNNNNNNNNNNNNNNNNNNNNNNNNNNNNNNNNNNNNNNNNNNNNNNNNNNNNNNNNNNNNNNNNNNNNNNCAGCAGAGUCUGUGUGUGUAUGGACUCAGCAGAGUCUGUGUGUGUGUGUAUGGACUCAGCAGAGUCUGUGUGUGUGUAUGGACUCAGCAGUCUGUGUGUGUGUAUGGACUCAGCAGUAUGUGUGUGGGUGUAUGGACUCAGCAAUCUGUGUGUGUGUAUGGACUCAGCAAUCUGUGUGUGUGUGUGUGUGUGUAUGGACUCAGCAGUCUGUGUGUCUCAGCUAUCUGUAUAACACAGAUCUGUGUGUAUAAAAUAUCCCGGGAUAGUCAGUGCUUCCUGUACAGUGCUGCUCUCUGUCUUGGGAUAUUAUACACAAACAGACCUGUAUUAUACAGAGAGCAGCACUAUACAGGGAGCACUGAGUGUCCCAAUUUAUUAUACACACAACCCUGUAUUAUACAGAGAGCACUGACUGUCCAGGGAUAUUAUACCCAGACAGUAAUUGAUAGCUGUGCUGCAAAAUGUCCUUGGAAAUUUUUUUUCAAAUGUUGGCAACUAUGGCACUGUAUCAAGGAUAAUGUGUUUGUUUUUUUAAUAAUCCCUGGUGGAAAAUAAUGAAUCCUCCACCAGGUAUUAUUAAAAAAAACAAAACACAUUGUGUCGGGGGCGUGGCUUAACAUGCGACAGGGGCGGGGUUAAACUGCGACGAGGGCGGGGUUAAAUGUGCCCCCCUACUUUUGUCACUGGCCCUCCAUGUGCCCCCCCGAAAAAUGAAUCCUAGAGACGCCACUGCCUGGAGACUCUCUGUAUGUCUAUCCUUUCUCUGAGCCCAUUUAUGUGUCUCUUUCCCCCCUUAGCUAUCCACUCUAUGUGUCUAUUCACCCCAGGACCUUGUCUCUUUCUCCCUCCAGCUUUUCUCCUUGUCUCCCCUUACCCCUCUGGGUGUUUCCCACAGCCAUUGUCUGUCUCUUUUGCCCCUUCCCCAGCCCCUCCCUGUCUUUUUCCCCUCCUUUUUGUAUAUCUCUUUCUCGCCCAGCACCUUUUGUGUGUCUCUUUCUUUCCUUCCUAACCCCUCUGUGUCUUUCCCCCAGCACCUUGUCACUUUCUCCCCCACUGUCCGCGCCUUACCCAUGCUACAAUGAGUGACUGGCUGGAUGGGGAGCACUGUGCUCUUCGCUCCCCUCCUGCCAGGAAAACGGAUCUUGCUCCCCCUCAGGCCAGUGUACCCUAAAGCGGCUGCCUGUGCCACCUUAUGGUGUGCUGGCCCUGUUCUCAUCCAUGGAGGUAAAAUCAGAUCAUUGCACAGACUAAAAUAGCAAAUGUACUUAAUAAGAAAAUUAAAAAAAUUGCAUGUUUCUUAAAUAAAUGCUACUAUAUCCCUUGCAAGGAAGCCUUGCAGGCAGCCUCAGUUAGUUACUUCACCUCCAAACAAAUCAAAAGUUGAAAUAAAACUGUUUACUUGUGCAAAGAUAUAUGUCUAUUUCUUUUAACUGCUCAGGAUGAUUUUUAUUUUAACAUGUGCAAGAAGUAAAACUGAAGCAGCUAGUGUCACUUUUACUAUAUUAUGUAAUCUGAAGAGGUAAAAAUAAAACAUAUAAAUAGAGGUAAAUAUGAAACACAAGUCACAUUAGUACAUUUUUUAACUUAUCCAGCUGUAAAAUGGCUUGUAAAAAAUGAUAGUAAGAUUCAUUUCUAGGAAUUCCACUCAUCAGAACAUUCCAUUACUGUACUACAAAUUCUUUACAUGUAUAUUUACAUUACAUUAUUGCAAAUUUAAACCAUCAGUUCUAAAGGAUCUUCUAAUUAAAUAUAAGGAUUUUCUAAUUAAAUAUAUUUUAUUUAAUUAUAUGGAUUAAAUAAAAGUUAAAUUUUAUUUGAAAACUAUCACAAAGACCUUGGAGUGCGGUCCUUUCUACUAUAUCUACGUGAUUUUGCCAGACCUGCACCGGGCAUUAAGAAUUUAACCAGGAGUGCAAGCCCUUGUUACCUGUAUGUAUGUAUGUAUGUAUGUAUGUUGCAAUGACUUGCACUCCUGGUAACUUGUAGUAAUGCCCGGUGCUGAUUUGACAAAAUGUAUAGAAACAGGAGAAAAAACACACUCCAAGGACUUAAAUACUUGAAUAUGAUGAAUAAAACUUAGCUUUUAUUUAUUCCAUGCUAAAAGAUGUCAACGUUUCAGUUCCAACACAGAGCUUUCAUCAGGACAAAAAAACAAUUGUCCUGAUAAAAGCUUUGUUUUGGAGCUGAAAUGUAGAUUUUUUUUCUGCUGUUUCUAUAUAUAGAAGGCGUAUGCCUGUAGUUGUGGGAGGGAUUUAGGCCUAUAUAAACCCAGCAAACCCCAGGCUUACCUGUCUUCGUCGAUUCCGGAAAUUCGCCUUCGCUUCCGGUUCACGCAGACCUCUGACGUCAUUUUGCCGCGACGCGCCUAAACGACGGUCAGGAACUUCCACGCGAAGAGUCGUGAGUAUAACACACGAACGGGAACCAGUCGGCAAGUUUCCAGCUCAACCGUAAGUCUUCUCAAUAACCGAACAUAGGCUCAUUCGUGUAACCUUUCGUGAAAUUAGUCAUCCGGCUAAGAUAACGUUCGCGAGAAACCAACCGUUUCAAUAGUCGGGAAGCGUUUGCAUAAUACAUUUCGGGAAUCUAUUUCUUCUUCGCCUUAGGUUAGUGGUCCCGCGAGGCCAACACCCAUCCUCAAUUUGGAGGUACUACGCCCCUUGGGCCAAAUCAUAGGUAGCCGCCUCGCAUGUGUCAUAGAGAUGGCCUCACCAGUCACCGCCAUUCUAUCUUAUGAUUACUACUCACCAAGAGGCCAACACCCCAUCACAACGUUCGGUGGCCAUGAAAUCCCCUUGCGCCAACUCAUAGAUAGAUCCUCUCAAGCCGCUGGGCACUUAGUAGGGCCUCACCUGUCACCAACCUAGUGUAAUCGCUUCACCACGGAGCGGCACUAGCUAGUCAGCCAGCACACACACACUCACACUCACGCACACAUUAAAAAAAAAGUUUCUAACAUAACAUCUCCUUUCACGCCCAUAGCAUGUCUAACGCUUCAGUUCGAGGGGAAGAGCUAUCACUUGCCAGCACUCCCUCCAGACCUGGCACUCAGCCAAGACAGUCCAGUACGAUAUCCAGCUACAGAUCCUAGACUCUUCCAAAAAAAAAAGUUCCACUAGGACUACCCGAAACAAGCUCAGGAGGUAAUCCAAUCCAAUUCCUGCUAAAACAACUAAAAUCAUUAACCCAGUGCAUUUGAUUCUACAAAAUCUAAAACGAGACAUACUAGAAGGGAAAGAUGUUAAUCUAGCUUCCCUCCUCAUUGCCUCGCAGGAUAUAAUCGAAAACAGAGCCUAUACUUUCGACGAUAUAUCCGUGGUAAUGAAAGCUAGAGACCCUAGGCUCAAUAAAAAGCUGAAUAUUCCUGAAUUUAUGCUAGCUUUUGGUUUAUAUAGGGAUGUAAUUUGCACUUCUUUCCCACACCGUAGAGAAGAGCUGGAUCUAUAUCUGCACAAGCUGGUGGAAUUGGCUUACAAAUAUGGAGGUUACGCGUUCUACGACUACCAUAAGUCCUUUUCUGCCAGGUCAGCCGCGUCAUUGGCCCAGUACAACACUCCCACUGAUUGGAGUCAAUUAGAUACAGAAUUGUUCUGUAGACAUUUCGCGGGGCUUAAAACACCAGCAUGUGCAAUAUGUUCCUCAGCAUCUCAUACAGGAAACUUUUGUCCUGGUAACAUAGGUGGUCCAUUUACUAGCAACGCCAUUCCAGACUAUUUUCCUAAUCAAAGGGAAAUGAAAGACAAGUUAGGGAGACCUAUAGUGUUUCUUGGGAAAGCACAAGUUUGUAACAACUUCAACACGGGGGGUUGUAGUUACAGCGCUUGCAGAUUACUACACGUUUGCUCAAUCUGUUUCAGAGCACAUGCAAAAACUAUGUGUCCAAACAAACUGUUCCCUAAGAAAGCAAUGACCCCAAUAAACGUACCCAAUUUACAACGUUACUUGACUGAACAUCCUUCUUCUCAGUUGGCGGACUUUCUGGUCUCAGGUUUCACGAGAGGCUUUCACACAGGUUUAGUAGCACUCCCUUCAGGCAUACUAGAAUGCCCCAACCUACAGUCAGAUAUAACAGACCCAGCCAGUUUAACAGAUCUUCUCAACAAAGAAGUAGAGAAUGGUUUUAUGAUAGGACCCUUCACCACACCACCCUCCACUUCCUGGAGAACAAGUCCACUAGGUAUAGCCACGGGCAAGUUUAACAAUAAAAAGAGGUUAAUAAUCGAUUUUUCAGCACCCCACUCUUCCACAUCCCCAAGCUUAAAUUCCCUUAUACCCUCAGAAGACUUCUCACUUCAAUACGCAAAAAAAAACGAUGCCAUACAAGCCGUCGUCAACUUAGGUGAGGCAGCCUGGUUGAGCAAAAUGGAUAUCUCAAAUGCUUUCAAACUUCUACCAAUUAAGCAGUCACUCUGGCAUCUACAUGGUGUUAAGUGGGAAGAGAAUUACUAUUUUGCAACCAGGCUGACCUUGGGCUCCAAAAGUAGCCCAAAAAUCUUCGAUAUAUUCGCAGAAACCUUGAAUUGGCUACUACUUAACAAGUCCAGGUGCCCAGUAGUAAUCCACUACCUCGAUGAUUUUCUAUAUAUCGAGCCUCACUACUACACACCACACAGUCUAAAAAAUGCACUCUCCCUAUUUAAAGAAUUAGGAGUCCCGGUAGCACCAAAUAAGAAAGAGGGUCCCAGUACAGAAAUAACUUUCCUAGGCAUCACACUCAAUUCUGUAACUAUGCAAGCUAGCCUCCCUCAAAUCAAAGUAGACACAUUCACAGCUACACCAAUCACGGGUCAUGUACCAGGAAAGAGUUACAGUUGCUUUUGGGUUCUCUUAACUUUGCCAUGAGAAUUAUCCCUCAAGGCAGAUCUUUCAUCUCUAGACUACUGUCUCUUCAACACGGCCUCCCUGACAACGACACUAAGAUAAAUUUAGACGGUCCUGCAAGGGCCGACCUAACAAUGUGGGAACUAUUUUUAACCUCAUGGAACGGCAGGUCAUUGUUCAUUUCCCCUAUAUCUGAUGAAUCCCCGGUUAUCUGGACAGACGCAGCAGCUACCGUCGGGUACACUGCAAUAUUUGGGGACGAAUGGGUAUACGACAGUUGGCCACCCAAAACAGUUACACUAGAGAAAUUUGAAAAAACCUCUGCAUUUUUUGAGAUAUUCCCAAUAGUGGCAGCAGCUCUCAUUUGGGGAAGUAAUUGGAGGGGGAAAGCAGUUAAGUGUUACUCUGACAAUUUAGCAGCAUGUAACAUAAUUAACAAAGGCUGCUCUCAGUGCCUGCCAAUCAUGAAUCUUGUAAGGAAACUUACAUAGUUAGCAGCAAAUUUGCAGUUUUAUAUUCGUUGUAUCCAUGUUCCUGGUGUCUUAAAUAACGCCGCUGACGCUUUGUCUCGUUUUCAUUUACAGGAAUUCUUCAAACUGCACCCUACAGCAAACAAGCAACCCAUAACUCCUCCGCAAUUCAAAGACCUAAUCAUGCACUAAACCAGUUACUAGCACACAGUAGAAUUCUUGCACAGGCAGGUUUAUCUGUAAACACUAAAAAAGCGUACGAUAGGGCAUUUGACUUGUUUAAAUAGUUUGUGCGUGACUUUAACAUAAUAAACCAUUUUUCUGUAGAAACUAUGGUUGCAUUUUCAACUUUUUGCCACCUCUCGUUAAAACUAGCCUACAAUACCAUCAAACUUUAAUUGACAGGGAUACAACAUUUCAUGCUAAUUCAUUACCCGAACAAGUCUCCUUUCUUGCCCACAUACCCAAUAAAAAAUAUACUAAAAGGUAUCCAGAGGCAAAAAUCCCAUAAAUCCCUCAAAAGACUCCCCAUAGAGAGUAAUAUCUUGAAAGAAAUCUCCAAGCUAUUAGAUAAAAAUCCUUUUGAAAAUAGCACUAACCGAGUAAUUAAGGCAGCAGCGUAUCUAGCCUUUUUUGGAUUCCUCAGACCUAAAGAAUUUUCAGUGGAGAAAAUAUCUGACACGGAAAAUUGUCUUAAACAAAAGAACUUAACCAAAGUAAAUGAUAAUUUCAUUCUAUCAAUUCCCCGCACAAAAACAAACCAAACAGGCCCCCCAGUGGAGAUUAAGUACUUUCCUACCGGUUCCAUAUGGUGCCCAGUUCAAGUGCUGGAUAAUUUGAUACUAAAUCAGCAAAUUAAAAAUCCAGAUUUGCCUCUGUUGUCCCUACAAGGUAAGCCUCUUACUACUAAACAGUUCAUGCUAUACAUCCAUGCUUUGCUUCUUAGACUCGGCUUCAAUCCAAAUUCCUUCACGGGACACUCGUUCCGUAUUGGAGCGGCCACGGCAGCCUCAAGUAGUCAAGUACCAACACAUAUCAUAAAGAAAAUGGGUCGAUGGAAAUCCUCAGCAUACAACCAGUACAUCCCAAAACCAGAGAAAGAAAUCAGACUCGCUUUCUAUAAUAUGUCUAAAUAAUGUUGUUGUAAUAAAUAAAUAAAUAUGUUUACAUACUUCUUGGCCCUCUUUUUUACAGGCCUAACCUCUCGUCGGUUUCGGCACACCUCAACUGACUCUCAUUUAUCAAAAUAACACUCUCUUUAAAUGUACGCCCCCUUCCAUAAUCCCAUGCACAAAUAGAAGGCGUAUGCCUGUAGUUGUGGGAGGGAUUUAGGCGUAUAUAAACCCAGCAAACCCCAGGCUUACCUGUCUUUGUCGAUUCCGGAAAUUCCCCUCCCACCACACCCUCUUUUCGUAUCAAUAGUUCCGGGUGGGCCCUCUUUUUUACAUGCCUAACCUCUCGUCGGUUUCGGCACACCUCAACCGACUCUCAUUUAUCAAAAUAACACUCUCUUUAAAUGUACGCCCCCUUCCAUAAUCCCGUACACAAAUAUAUAUUAAUAGAGCAAAGUCCACACUUCUAUAUAUUGUUCUCCUCUGCGAUAUAACAAUGCUAGGCACUGAGUUUUAAAAAGAACUGGUGUAUCUCAUCCUUUCCCCUUCUGUUCUAAAUCUAAGUUCUUAUUUAUCUAGGAAAGUUAGGCCACAUGCAGUAUUUUUAGGUAAGAAGCACAUAUGCUUACAUAUACACAAACAUAUAAAGGAUUCAAUUAGUUAUAUACAUGAAGCAUUUAAAAAUAAAAACCUGAAAAUAUAAAAGAUCUUUAUGUAUCCUUUAUUUUAUAGGUUAACAAAUAAAGAUAUACAUAGUGUAAAAAUAAUUAAAUGAAUUCUGUCAUACUGGGUCUCAAACUUAAAGCGGUAGUCUAAGUACCAUAACCACUACAACAUGCUGGUGUCAGGUUUCAGUCUACAACUGGAUAGCAGAAUUACAGAGUCCUCUUUAUACUUCCAUUAUGCUUAGUGUUUAUCUGAUUGGAGAUUUACUGUCUCAAGUCACUCUCUUUUUACUUAUGUUGUUCUUUUUCUCCAACAACCAGACAUUUAGUAGAAAAACACAAACACGUAUAUGGAAUAAAUGCUAUAUGCCACAUCACAAUUAAUAUAGAGACAAAGGAGAGAAUAAAAUCCCUUAUUUUCAUGUUUUGGUUUCCCUUAUAAUCAAAUAACAAAAAUGAAUGGAGAAUAAACAAUGUACAAAUAUAACUUCUACAAUUAGGUGCAAAUAUAUAUAUAUAUAUAUAUAUAUAUAUAUAUAUAUAUACACAAGUAAUAGGAUGCACACUAUAACAGCUACAAAAUAUAUAGAAUAUAUAUAUAUAUAUAUAUAUAUAUAUUUAUAUUUUUUUUUUAAAUUUUGUAUUGAUUUUUUUAAGAUACGACAACUUAACUUUGGUAUAAUGGUAACAAGAUAACAAGAUAAAACAGUACAAACUGAGAUGUCAUGUUAUUACUCCAAGCAAAUAAUACCAGCAAGGUAAUAGUGUGAGCCGUUCUGGCACCUAUAAAGACCUCUUGCUUUGUAUAUGAAAAUAAAACAACAUGGCUGGACAAGGAAAAUAUUAAAAGUACCCUAAUACGAGGAAGUUCACAUCUUAACUUGUGACUGAAGGUUUCCCAAGCUAUUAACAGCCGAGUUGCAAUUAUCAGGAUGAGUUAGGCUCAUGACUCUUGUGUGCUAAUAAAGUAGGAUUAAAUAAGUGAAAUUAUAUUGCAUAGCCUAGGGAAAUGGUUUAUAGGUUAACUCUAGACUAAACAAGAGUAAUACACAAAACAAUACCGCAAACCCUUAUCUCUCACUCCUAUGGUUACUUCCCAGUAAAUAACCAAUUUUGACACGAUAUAGAUAUAUGUACAAAAUAUGUGAUACAGCUGUACAUUCUAAAAAUAAAUUAAUAAAGUAUAGUGUAAUACUGUCAUAAAAUAUACAGAUGACACAUUUAUUGGUAGCACUUACAGAAUGCUUAACGAUUGUUGGCUCUCAAGAUGCCUCCCCUUGUGAUAGUGGGGGGUAAUAGCACCCUCCUCCUGGUAGACACAACAAUACAGAAACCAGGAGAAUAUUGUGAUGAUUAGAUGCUUUGGGGUUACUGCCCCUGUUGGUAGUUACAGGUGAUAGUUUCCCUUUCCUUGUAAUCGCUAAAUGAUCAGGAACCAGACACCAAACUUUUAAUGGAAGGUGGUAACUUUUAUUGGCAAAAAAUGCUAGAAACAGUAAUAACAUAAAAAACAAAUGAGUUCCUAAGUGUUUUGUUUCAGAACUGGAACUUCCUCAUGGACCAAUAUCUUAACCCCUUAAGGACAUAUAUCUAUGAACAUGAGUAAUACAUGGUACAUUGUAGAGUAGAGUAAGAUUCUAGUGCCAAGUCAUAAAAUAAAAAACUCAAGCUAGUUUACAAUACUAAGGGAGUACAUAAACUACUGUGUAGCAGAUGUACUAUGUGUGCAUAUAGACACGUCAAAGAAAUAAAUCAAAUAAAGGCAGCAUAGUUGUAUUAGGGCUCUGCGGCAUACUCUGCUGAUGCCUGUGAAGGGAAAGCUGCUACCUGCAAAAAAAACCAAGAGCCUUGGAUUGGCUCUUAGGUGUCUCAGUAGGUUGUUGCUUGUUGAGCUUCUCCCAGAAUUGUGAGGAGCACUGUCUGUCAAAAACCUGUAGAUCCACCUGGGAAGCUGAUUAUGUGAAAGAAUGGGGAGCAGCAGGUCUCGAGGAAAUGGCCCUCUCAUUGAGCACAUCUUAUUUUUCCAAACUGCCUUUAGCUGCCACUAGUCACCUGGAGUAGUCUUCAGCAUUGUACCAGUGGGGACCGAUAUAUCCUCGGUCAGUCCAAAGGGGUGAAACAGGGCCCAGUGGUUAACACAAAACCCGAGAAGAGGAUCGGCCAUCUCACCAGGCUCAGUUAUGACUGCAGGCCGCAGAGCAUUCUGGCACAGGCAGUGCCCACCAGGAAUGGUCAAAUAAAGGUCAGACCCUCGGCAGAGUGUACCGAGUGUUUUUGUUUUUGUCAAGUAAUAGGUUUAUUUGGAUGUUUUCUCUGUGGAGCUCCAGCCUUGUGUGUCUGUCUCAGUCGGCUUUCAGGCCCCGCUCCUUCAAUCAUGAAAAAUUUUUCAUGUAACAAAAUUGACAUUUUCACAGAUCAGUUGCUUAUUGGAUUCCUCGUGUACAUUCAUUAAAUGCUUACUUUAAAAUUGAACUUUACAAUUUCAGUUAAUCUCUUCAGGCAGAUAUAAACAACUUGGCUGUCUUGUGUAUUACUAUGUUUUGGCUUUUUGGGACAUAUAUUUUGUUUACUCUGCCAAGUCCCACCUACUGUUGUUUGCAUAUGUGGUAGAAAGUAUUAAAAAUUGUUUUAUAAUUUAGCUUCAGACAAUAAUAAAUAGGAGAAAAAUGCCCAACUGACUAAUUUUAUGCAUAGUGGAUACAUUGCGUACAGCUUUCGGUGGAAUUUAUGUUAUAAGCCUCCACUGCUAAAUAUGUCCAAUGCAAAUUGCAUACAAGGGUUCAAGGCAGAUGGAUGGGUGGAUGAACGGGUGAAUGGAUCUAGCAUUUAUAUAUCAGUAUUUGUAUCAACAUUUCUAGUGCUGCCCAGCAGUUUCCUAGAUGUUCUGAUCUUAACUAAUUCCUACAGGUAAGGAGCUACUAGUACCACUAUAAUAUUUUGAUCUGUAAAAUGUUUGAUGUAUUCAUGAUUGUACUUUUUAAAUUUAGCACAUUAGCUAGAUUUACUCUCCUAUUAUAUAUCAUGCAACACAUAUUUUGAAAUGUAAACUCAAUGAAUGUCUUGACAAUCAUAGCAUUCUAGAAAAUAUUUAGCUUGUCCUGCUAAAUGUUUGCACUAUAAUAAUCUGUCCACACAGAAUCUAACUCACACACACUAUACUCAUUCAUGCACAGACUUACAUACAUAUAGAUUCUUUCACACAUGGCUACCUUGAAUUUUCUAUCUACUCCCCACUCACCUGAAUCUGGCGUGAGCAAAACAUACUGGUGAUGGACAUCAAAUCGUGGCACUGUCUCCUGUGCUAUCCUCUGACCCUCUUUGCUCAUCCUCCUUCCUUUCCCUUGUUGGCUUAGGGUGAUUGCACACAUGCCUUUUAGUUCCAAUAAUGUUUAUAUAUGAGAAUUAUUUCACACAGGAAAGGGGAAUGACUAUAGGGAAGGCAGAUUAGGCUGCUGGGAAACCUGACCACAGCACUGGAUUGAUGGUGAGUAUUUUACUUCAUUUUACUUUUUAUAAAACAAAAAGAUUUUUUUGAUUGAAAUAAACUUUUUAUUGAGACCACCUCUCUCUCUCUCUCUCUCUCUCUCUAUAUAUAUAUAUAUAUAUAUAUAUAUAUAUAUAUAUAUAUGUAUAUAUAAUGUUCAAAAACUGUUGAACGCUGCACCUGACUUCCUCCACUUUAAAAUUAUGCUGCGCUCCUACACUCUGGCUCUUUCCUCGGCAAAAGUAAAUUACUUCGAUACCCUCAUAACUACACUCCCCCGUGAACCCAAACGACUAUUUCACACUUUUAAUGUUUUCCUUCGCCCUGUUGCUCCCCCUCCUCAUAUCACCCUGUCCGCCUCAAACUUUGCAACUCACUUCACUGAGAAGUUUUCUACAAUCAGGGAAGAGAUCUCUAACAUGUCUCCCUCCCCUUCCAAUACAUCACCCAACCCCACUCCCUCUGCUAUUCUAUGCUCAUUCGCACCUACUACAAUGGAAGAGGUUUAUGCUCUGCUCCGGUCCUCCCGCCCCACCACCUGUUCCCUCGAUCCUAUUCCCUCAUAUCCUUUUUUUUAAUAUUUUAUAUACAAAUACAAAAAAACAAGUCCUGCGCUCACUCCCAUCACUCCUUGGCGGCAGCAAUGACCACAGUACACAUCAGUCCCAAUACAUACAGUAAAAACCAAAGAAAAAGUUACCUGCGCUCUCUCCUAAAUCCCUAUGUAUAUUUAAACAAAUUGAGGUCAUUUAGUUACUCCAAUGGCCAUUGGAGAGAAUGCCUGCCUGCCAACGUCAAGGCAGACUCUCUCAGGUGUGUCCUACACUGACCUUUCACCUUGCUUCCUUGAGCUUCUGGCAAAGAUAUCUCUGAAGGGACAAAGAGGGGUAUUUUUUAUAUACACCCCUAUAUACUUAUUAACCCUUAAUAGGGAACAAAUGGGAUGGGCAGAACACAUGAGAUGUAUCACACUUCUAUGUUACAAUGCUACCGCCCAUCCCAUGUGUUCUCUAUUAAGGGUUAAAAAGUAUUUAUUUAGUUAUUUAUUUAUUUAGUUUAUUUAGAGAGCUUAUCCACUUUUCUUCUUCUAUAUGUACUUGCAGUUCUUUUUCCGAUUUAUUAAUCAGUUCUAUCGGUUUAUCGUGUCUCCAUCUGUAUAUAACUUUAGCGCAUUUUUCCAUUAGGUUUCUUUAAUUCGAGUAGAUGUUUGAGGAUUGUAAUUUUCUCCCCCUCAUUUUGAUGGAGAUAUUCUGCUAAAAAGCUCUUAAUUCGCAGAUAGUUAAAAGUGUCUUUGGGAAUGUUGAAUUUCUCCAUAAUUUGAUUGAAGGUUUUAAUUGUAAGUUUCGCUAGUAUAUUUUAAAAUUCCUUUAUCCCCCCAGUCUUCCAAGUGUCUAUUUUUAUGUUGUCUAACAUAUCUGAAAUAAAAGGGAGCACAUCUAUUAUUCUAUUUCUGAGUCCUAUGUUGUUUGUGAAUUUGUCCCACCAACUCGUUAACUCUUUGAGUAUCUGGGAUUUAGUUCGUGCUUCUUUGAUUCAUUUUUUAUUCACGUCAAGUACCCAAUAUAGUGAAGUUAAAUUUCCUACCCUGGUUUUAGCUUUUUCCAUUUUAUACCAUGUUUCUUGGAUUGCAGCAAUAUUGUGUGAAAGAAAUAUGUGAAAAUGUCUGCUAGCCUGAUAACAUUGUAAAAUUUCCGGGCACCCCAAACCUCCAUCCUGCCUUGAUCUAGCCAAAACUUGAAUUUUAACUCUUUCUUUCUUGCCGCCCCAUACAAAUUUAAAAAAGGAUGAGUGUAUUAAAGAUAGCCAGUUUCUGGGAAAUGAAGUGGGAUCAUUCUCCAUAGAUACAGUCUGUAACGGACCGUUUCAGCACACAAGGGGUUAAAAAACGUUUAGGCGAUCGUCCCCUUUCAGAGAUGCAGGCACAGCUACUGUAGAACACCAAACUCCCGAACCGCAAAUAAGGGAAUGCUCCAAACUCCCGAACAGCAUACAAUGUAACACUCCAAACUCCCGAACUGGACCCAUACGAAUCGCUGCUAGCAGACGAAUAGGAAAAGCAACCAUGCGGCUUACACUCCUAGCAAUCAGUCUCUAUCAGCAUUCAGUAAAUCCCCCCAAAGACGAGACAAGGCUCCGUGUUUAGGGUCAAGCAGUGGUCAGACAGAGCUGUGGGUUUAUUGUGCUUAUGUACACAUUCUUACACAUUAGUACCACCCACAGGGUUUUGGAACACAACCAAUAAACACAUCCAAUACACUCAGACACUCCCACACAAAAUCCUCCCCUCUGCCUGUGUUACAAUUACCUUACACAAUGGGUAAUGUAAUUAUAACAAGCAGAUAAAUACAAUUUUUCCACAUUAUUCAUAACUUGAAAAGUAUGCAUCACAUUCACAUGAAGUGGGAUCAUUCUCCAUAGAUACAGCCUGUAACGGACCAUUUCAGCACACAAGGGGUUAAAAACCGUUUAGGCGAUCGUCCCCUUUCAGAGAUGCAGGCACAGCUACUGUAGAACACCAAACUCCCGAACCGCAAAUAAGGCAAUGCUCCAAACUCCCGAACAGCAUACAAUGUAACACUCCAAACUCACGAACUGGAACCAUACGAAUCGCUGCUAGCAGACGAAUAGGAAAAGCAUUCAAGCAGCUUACACUCCUAGCAAUCAGUCUCUAUCAGCAUUCAGUAAAUCCCCCCAAAGACGAGACAAGGCUCCGUGUUGAGGGUCAAGCAGUGGUCAGACAGAGCUGUGGGUUUAUUGUGCUUAUGUACACAUUCUUACACAUUAGUACCAUCCACAGGGUUUUGGAACACAACCAAUAAACACAUCCAAUACACUCACAAUGGGUAAUGUAAUUAUAACAAGCAGAUAAAUACAAUUUUUCCACAUUAUUCAUAACUUGAAAAGUAUGCAUCACAUUCACAUAAAACUUAUAUUUACAUCAAAACUUACAUCAGACUUACAUCAGAAUCAGCAUACUCCAAAUACAAACAUAUGUCAAAAUCAUCCAAAUUGGUCCAGUGGUUCAAAAGAUAGAUCGUAGUCCUUUGUGACCAAAGGAAGCAUGGCUUUUCUGCCAAAAACCAGUUCCACAGAGUCUUCUAUCCUGGAGAUAUUUGGGAAGUAAUCCAAUUAUCUCCAAAGACAGAGGCAAAACUCCAUUGAACACAUGGCAGCAAAAGACAAUAAAACACAUAAAAACAUAUAACUGUGCAGCCAUUGCACAAAACAGGUACAUUCAACAUAUCCCCAGAUAGCUCAGAUCUGAGCGCACAUUAUUACUGAAUGGCGCUCAGAGCACACACAUACAGUUUAAUUGCCAUGGAGCCAAAGUCUUUCCCAUAGUCUUUCAUUAUACGAAUGGGCUCCAUGGCAUAGCUAUCUGGGGUAUCACCGCUCAAACAGGGCAAGCACCAAAUGACCCGGCUUUCAUGUCUUUGCAGGGGAAAAUCAAACCUUUUAACAUGAGGCCAUAGUACAAAGGCAACAGGCGAGCAACCAGGCUUCUCCAAUGCAAUGUGGCGAGAUUGGUCUCGUCACACAGCCAUUUUGGUAAAAUGUAUGCUUUUAGGAUAUUGAUCCUACCCGACCAGGAAAAUCCCAUACCUUUCGAUUCCCUUAAGUUUUUACUAGUUUGUGUUAGUGAAGGUAAAAAGUUGGUGUAACGGAACUCCCCGUACUCCGACUGAGUACCUUCUGUUGAUGGACGCUUCUUAGCUUGCGCCGAGGACCACAAGCACUGCACUGGAGACCACAACCAUCGCAAACUCCACAACCGCCAUAGCUUAACUGGAGUCUCGCCGUCUUCCUUCCACCCUGGAUCAGCUUCUGUCCUCCAGGACCAUGUGGGGAAGACCUCUCCUUCAGGAAAGCGUAUCAGGAACAAGCUCUUAAAAGAGCUAAGUGAUUAAAGCUCAGGGGAGUAUGCAAAGCAUAGCAAUCCCCAGUGUGAGUAUAGCUGUCCCCUCCAAUCACGAGACAAGACUACGUGUUGAGGGUCAAGAAGAAUUGUUUUAAUGGUAGCAAAGGGCUUUCUUUUAUGCAAGUUGUUACACACAGUUCCCACCCACAUGGUCUUGUGGAACAGCCAGUCAAGCACAAUACAAUACAGUUAGACACUCCCAGUCAUUACAGCAAAAUACUCCCCUCUGCCUGUGAUAUAAUUACUGAACACAAUGGGCUAACGUAAUUAUCACAGGCAGGAAAAUACACAGUUUUACACAAUAUUCAUAACUUUAGAAGUAUACAUCACAUUCACAUAAAUACAUAUUCAGAAUCAGCAUACUCCAAAUACUAACAUAUGUCAAAAUCAUACAAAUUGGUCCAGUGGUUCAAAAGAUAGAUUUAAAAUGUCUUAUUUGACCGACUGCAAGCAUGACUUGGGUGUGGUAAGCCAAUUAUCUCCAGCAUACAGAAAAUAUCUUUAUUCACAACAACAGCAACAAUACACAAAAAUACAUCAUUCCUAAGAACAGAACCCCCACAUUCAACCUAUCCUCAGAUAGCUUGGAUCUGAGCACUCUAUAUAUCAGAACAGUGCUCAGAUCCCACGAACACAGUCAAAUCGCCAUGGGGUUUAAGUUUAGCAAGGGCUGAUGAGAGAUUGAGGAGGGAUAAAGCAGCCAGUUUAAACUGGUCUGGCAGUGUCCCUGGGACAACGCCCUGCUGGAGAACAAUGGGACAGGAAAAGGCACAUUCUCCCAUGCAAUCAAAGGGGCAGAAAAAGUGUUUCAAAAUCCCAUAAGCCCAAAUAAUAUUUUUAGAGGACACAAUCUCCCAGGGGCCAUAGUCACAGGGCAGGAGGCUGGCAAUCAGGCUCCUCCAAAAGCCAGAGGCAAAGGGCAGUUUGUUAUAUAAAAACCCAGUGACAAAAGGCAGUUUGUCACAGUUGGCUUCUACUAGAUCUUUUAAAUUUGAAGUUAAUGUUAUGCCUAAAUAUUUUAGCCUGUCCUUGUUUUCUGGGAGCCCAAGGUUUUGUACAACAAAAUUAAUUAACCUUUUGUUAAAAUGUUUAGCUAUAAAUAUUGAUUUCUCUAUAUUCAUUUUGUAUCCUGACACUUUAGAGUAUUUAUUUAUCUUCUUCAGAAGCUUUGGGGCUGAGGUUUUUGGUUCUUCUAAAGUUAAUAAGAUGUCAUCUGCAUAAAUAUUACAUUUACUUUGUCCUAGGGAGUUUGUAAAUCCUCUGAUUUUUUUUAUUUUGUCUUAUUAGAAUUGCAAGGAGUUCUAACACCAUUAUGUACAGUAAAGGGGAAAGAGGGCGCCAUUGUCUAGUCCCAUUUUUAACACUGAAGUUUUGUGAUGUGAAUCUUGACUCUGUUACUUUAGCUGAUGUAGAGUUGUACAGAGCAGAUAUAGCUUGUAAUAUUGAUCCAGUGAUUCCAAAUUGUUUUAGAGUGGCAAAAAUGAAACCCAAUCCAACCCUGUCAAACGCUUUAUCUGCGUCUGUUGACAGUAACAUUAGAGGGGUUCCAAUAAUUUAUGUUUCUUCUAAUAUGUUUAUUAUUUUUCUAAAAUUGUUGAUUUAAGACCUCCCUGGUAUGAAUCCUACUUGGUCAUUAUUAAUUAAUUGUGGUAUGACUAUUUUUAAUCUAUCAACAAGGAUAGAAGAUAAUAUUUUAAUUUGUAAUAUCUGUGUUGAUUAGUGAUAUAGUUAAGACCAUAUUUCAAGGUCUUUAGAUUGAAAAUCCAUUUUGGGCAUAGGACCAUAUUCAUGGUUGGUCAAAAUUAUGAACUCUAGGGAAAUCCGAACCCCUGAAUGAUUUUUGGAUAUGAAAAGGAGAGUAAUCAAUAGAGUCUCAAAUGGAAUGGGACUCAAAACUGGUUUUAAACAAAGUUAAGGAAUAAAUAAUAAUAGUACAUACGUGGUCUAGUGGGGCAUUUUGAGAGGUUUUAUCCGAUACCUAAUUAGGGACAGCAUAGAAGACCCUCCAAGGUGUUUGGCUUAAGAGCAAUAGGAUAAAUAGCUCUGUAUAUGAUUAGUUUGGAUCUAUCUGUUUAAUUUAGUAUUAUCUGGUCACUGCAGAGGCUUCUUCCGAUACCUUAUUAGGGAUAGCAUAGAACAUCCUCAAAGGUGUUUAACUUAGGAGCAAUAGGGCAAACUAGCUCUGUAUAUGUCCAGUUCGGAGCUUUCUGUUAUAUUCAGUACUAUCUGCUUACUGCAGAGGCUUGAAGCAUCUCUUUAUUUAUUUAGCGCUUGCUCUCUUUACCUCCUCUAGCUUCUUAUGCUCCCCUGGUAUUCCAGAUCCUAUGCCCUAUAGCCACCACUUCUGUCCCAGUAUCGCUGUCACUCUUUCACUGAUUUUUUCAUAACCUCUCCUACUGACUUUGGUACGUGUACUACCACUACUUAGCGGUUUUCCACUUAUCAGCCUAUAUUUAACUAUCGGCUUGGGUUUAUCUUUAAUUAAACUGCCUUAUGUGCCUUUCCUCUAGACACAGACACAACCAAAGUUCUAUCUCUGCCUUACAGCAUUUGUUCCAUACACAGUGCCUUUUUAUCCAUUACGCAUACAUAAAGCAUUUAUUAUUUUCUUGGCACUCUGUGGAACCAUUAUGUGAUUAAUUAUUUUGGCAAUCCCCACGACCAGUACUCCGCGCUGAUUUCCCAAUCAGUCACAGUAUGUACUAUUUUUUUUUCUUCCUUAACUUUGUUUAAAACCAGUUUUGAGUCCCAUUCCAUUUGAGACUCUAUUGAUUACUCUCUUUUUCUAAACUAUAUUUCGGGUCCAAGCCCCCUCUGGUGGAUCUGGAACCACCAAACUGACCUCUGUGUGUCUGAUUUCUACUUUUUGAAGCUCCCUGGUGGACAGCACAGCAGAGAACCUGACUGGGAUGGUGGAGCUGUGAGUUCAAACCCAGCCAGGUUUCUGAAAGGGGCGGCCACACCUUGCUGUCUUCAGGGCUCGAGCUGUGCCGUGACAUACAGGUUAACAGUAAAAGGAGUUUAAGCAUGCAUGGGAUAGGCAUAAGGCUAUCCUAACUAUAAAAUAAGGCCAGGGAUUAAUGAAAGUAUUUAGAAAAUUGGGCAGAUUAUAUGGGCUGAAUGGUUCUUAUCUGCGGUCACAUUCUAUGUUUUUGUGAGAUUUGAACACGUAUUGAUUUUUGGAUAUGUUAGUCACCCAGAUUGGGGAUGUAACUUUGUGGGGGUUUUAUGUAUUUUAAAGGUAUUUUUAGGGUGUGUAAUAUUGUAUGUUUUUCUGUGCCUGGAGAUAAUUGAGUUAGUUCAGUUCCUGACUCGAUUAUCUCUCAAGGCACAGAGGAGGAGUUUGCAACUCCUCCACUCUCAGGUCCAGGAGAGGAAUUAUCCUAUUUAUGUCGGAGUGUGAGGGGCGUGCUUAACUGUGUCUGAAAUUGUAUAAAAGCAGGCCAUCUGGCCAGAUUAAAACAUUCCAACUUGUACUCUAUAUCAUCUGGUUACUGGGAGGGGAAAGGGCUAAUCACUAAUCACUGUUCCAGUGUGGUGGAUUCCACAGGGAAAAUCCUUGUAAGGACUAGAGCUCCCAGGACUGAGUGUCGUCCAGUGCCAGGGGGUGGAUAGAGUGAGUUCCCCAUUCGGCUUCAGGAGGGAUUGGUUCCAGGACCGCAGUCAAGCCACGGCGACUGUGGGCAGAAGUUCUGUGGUUUGUCCCCUGUUCCAGCUAGGAAGCAGUCCUUGGCGAAGGUACCCAACCAGGGAUACAGGGAGCUCCGUUACAAUCUCCCUACUGGCCCAUGUAUAUGCAAAGUGCUCCAUCGGAGCUGCUGCUCCAGGUGAACUCCUGAUUUGUUUAAUGGUAACUCUGUCCCCAAAUUUUCAAUGCCAUGUAUGUACAGUCAGGUCCAUAAAUAUUGGGACAUCGACACAAUUCUAAUCUUUUUGGCUCUAUACACCAACACAAUGGGUUUGAAAUGAAACAAACAAGAUGUGCUUUAAUUGCAGACUUUCAGCUAUAAUUUGAGGGUAUUUACAAAUGUGCCUCCCACUUUUUAAGGGACCAAAAGUAACAGUCAUAAAUUAAACUUUCACUUUUUAAUACAUGGUUGCAAAUCCUUUGCAGUCAAUUACAGCCUGAAAUCUGGAAUGCAUAGACAUCACCAGAUGCUGGGUUUCAUCCCUGGUGAUGCUCUGCCAGGCCUCUACUGCAACUGUCUUCAGUUCCCGCUUGUUCUUGGGGAAUUUUCCAUUCAGUUUUGUCUUCAUCAAGUGAAAUGCAUGCUCAAUCGGAUUCAGGUCAGGUGAUUGACUUGGCCAUUGCAUAUCAUUCCACUUCUUUCCUUUAAAAAACUCUUUGGUUGCUUUUGCAGUAUGCUUCUGGUCAUUGUCCAUCUGCACUGUGAAGCGCCGUCCAAUGAGUUCUGAAGCAUUUGGCUGAAUAUGAGCAGAUAAAAUUGCCCGAAACACUUCAGAAUUCAUCCUGCUGCUUUUGUCAGCAGUCACAUCAUCAAUAAAUACAAGAGAACCAGUUCCAUUGGCAGCCAUACAUGCCCACGCCAUGACACUACCACCACCAUGCUUCACUGAUCAGGUGGUAUGCUUUGGAUCAUGAGUAGUUAUUUUCCUUCCCCAUACUCUUCUCUUCCCAUUACUCUGGUACAAGUUGAUCUUGGUCUCAUCUGUCCAUAUGAUGUUGUUCCAGAACUGUGAAGGCUUUUUUAGAUGUUUUUUGGCAAACUCUAAUCUGGCCUUCCUGUUUACAUCUUGUGGUGAACCCUCUGUAUUCACUCUGGUGAAGUCUUCUCUUGAUUGUUGACUUUGACACACAUACACCUACCUCCUGGAGAGUGUUCUUGAUCUGGCCAACUGUUGUGAAGGGUGUUUUCUUCACCAGGGAAAAAAAUUCUUCGGUCAUCCACCACAGUUGUUUUCCGUGGUCUUCUGGGUCUUUUGGUGUUGCUGAGCUCACCGGUGCGUUCUUUCUUUUUAAGGAUGUUCCAAACAGUUGAUUUGGCCACACCUAAUGUUUUUACUAUCUCUCUGAUGGGUUUGUUUUGUUUUUUCAGCCUAAUGAUGGCUUGCUUCACUGAUAGUGACAGCUCUUUGGAUCUCAUUUUGAGAGUUGACAGCAACAGAUUACAAAUGCAAAUAGCACACUUGAAAUGAACUCUGGACCUUUUAUCUGCUCCUUGUAAAUGGGAUAAUGAGGGAAUAACACACACUUAGCCAUUGAACAGCUGAGCAGCCAAUUGUCCCAUUACUUUUGGUCCCUUAAAAAGUGGGAGGCACAUAUACAAACUGUUGUAAUUCCUACACCGUUCACCUGAUUUGGAUGUAAAUAGCCUCAAAUUAAAGCUGAAAGUCUGCAGUUAAAGCACAUCUUGUUCAUUUCAUUUCAAAUCCAUUGUGGUGGUGUAUAGAGCCAAAAAGAUUAGAAUUGUGUCGAUGUCCCAAUAUUUAUGGACCUGACUGUAAUUUACUCGAAAUAUAAAAAAGGUUACGAAGAGCAUUAAGCUCAAAUCUUAUCGAAUUACAAGUUAUUUCAUAAGUAUCAGAAAUAUCUAUGUUGCAUAACAUCCAUAAAUGUUUAUUUUACUUAUGCAUCAAUGUACACAGGGCUCAUGAAAAUAUUCCCAUUUUGUUAAUUUAUUUAUUUACAUCCCUUGGGUAUUUUUCUAGCCUUUUGCUUUGUGAAAUAGACUGCAUUCUGUAGUGUGUUCACUUUUCAAGGCAUUCUCUGCAGUGGUCUCAUUUUUACAGUAGCCCAAUAAACAUUUUGCAGCUUAUUCUACCGGUAGUAAAUCGUUAUUUUUAUAGCUAGUAACACUAAAGUUCAUUUGGUCCUGGGAUCUAUUACUCAGGCAGGAUAAAUCAUUUCCAAUUAUAUACAGUUUAUGAAAUGAUAAUUACAGUUUAAGCUCUUGUGUCAAACUGUAUAUGAAGGGGUCUUUGUUUAAAGCUGACACCAUUGGUAAUCUGCAGUUAUUAAGAUACAUCAUACAUUUAAUUGUUCUGUAAGUGGCCUGUUGGACUGAUGUCAUCCUGCACAAAAUUAAGUUUUCCUAGAAAAAUAAUCAAAUCAGUAGGCUUUGCAAAUUGUUAUCUUAUAUCUGUGAAAUUUAAAAAAUAUGUUCUUCUUGUUUAUACUUUAUAUUUUAGUGUAGAUUGGGUAAAAGCUAUAACUUACCAUGUAAAAAAAGAGUAUCACAUAACUAUCUAGGAGAAUUAAAGGCUCAUUCAGAUUUUAUGCAGGGUUCUUGGUGCCUUAGGCAAUCUACAACUCUUUUUUUAUUUAUUUUUUCCCUAAGGAAACCGUAGAAAAAAACAAAAGGGAUAUUAUUCUGUAGUGCUUUCAUUUUUCAUUUUUUUGGCGCUAGAAAACAAAAAUCAGCUAUCAAAUUCAUGCAUAGUUAUUUAUUGUAUUUACCUUUAAACUUUAUGUUUCAAUGUCUCGAUGUCCCAGAACUACAAAGGUGGCCAGCCAUCACAAUGAAUGCCACGUGCAUCGUGUCUGACAGGCAAACUUGUUAUGAAGCAGAACAUGUGUAAUUUUACCUGUAUGUUUAUUCCCUUUAUUGGUGACUAGACUGGGAGUCUGAAUCCUUUUCAGCAGAAUCACAAUUCAGCCGAAUUUGGACUGAUUGGCGAUUCUGCUAAUGACUAGAAAUCUGAACCAGUGCAUGUCCUAAUCCAGAAGCAGCAGAAGCAGCCAAUGCCCAGAUGCUUUGGAAUUCACUCUUAGGUAAUUGUCAGUGGGCAGCGCUUUUACCCUCAUAUUAGUACAAGGGAGGUUUUAUACUUCCCCCAUGCCCCCACUUACUGUUGGCUGCUCACUGUAACAAAAAACAAGCAAGUAGCAAGGUUGACCCUCUGCCCUCACCAGUGGACAACAGGUGGAAGCUUAAGUUUAAACAAUGAGGCAUGGACAAAUUACUGACAACCUUUCGUAUCCAUGGUGGGAUUAAGUGGGAUUAUUAGUUGUAUAUAAAGUAGAUGAACAUGAUGUCUCCCAUGUGACCAUGGUGGGACUAUGCUUAGGAUCCACAGGGGGGUAGAGGGGGCAGAGGGGGGUUUAGUGUUCCCCACAAUCCCAAUUACGGUUUGCAGGUUAGGGAUCUAAUUAAUAAACUGGGGGGAGACAUAAUGUCCACCCCAGUUGCAACCCACGGGCAACAGGUGGGGCCUAAUAUCCCCCACCCUUGGACAGAGACUAGGGGUUCAAAUAUGGAAAAAUAGAGGAACCUAAUAGCCUCCCCAGUCCAACUCAUUGGUUGUAGGUGGGGAGCUCUAAAUGAAAAUAGAAGAGAGGGCAUGCCAUUGUAAAACCUCCCCCCAAAAUUAUGUCCACCCCUCUCCCCUCAGGUUGCUAGGGUCACUUAGUCACCACUGGCCAAAAUAAAAUAAAAAAAACUGCCUCCUCCUCUUACCCUAAUAAUAGUAAGGGGGAGGCAAUAAACUAAUACUUACCAUUAGAUGUCUUCUUUGUUCUUUCAUCUUUAUUCUUCUAAUUAGCUGAUGCCACAGCAACAUAUAGCUCAAUUUAGAGGAUUCUUAGUGACCUUAAACCCUCAAUAAGAACAUAUUAUAAUAAAAUGGCUGUGCAGGUAAAAGCAGCUUUAUUGGUGCCUACACCAAGCACAUGGAAGAAAAAGAAGAAGCAUUGAAUUGAACCCACACUUCACGCAAAGGUGCUUAUAAUGCCUUAGAGAUGAAAAUACAGCAGCAAGAAAAUUAGCAUGCGGUCUACCAAGAUAGAGACUGCCACAAUAAAAUUCGCCUCAACGGCUUGUGAGAUGAUAUAAAGCAAGAAGACCUACAGGCUUAUGUUCAAGACAUUUUGCUAAUUCUGCUGCCUAAGCCUAGCUUUCAGAACUGUCACCAAGUGCCUACGUAAAGCCUACAUACAAUACAAAUGGAGACACCCCACCAAGCUUACGCUAUGCAGAAAAAUAGUGGAGAAAAUUUUCCCAGUGAUUUAACUUCUUACCUCCCACAACUCCAGGCUUAUCUCCUUUACAGUAAUACAUAUAUUACUCUUCAAGGAUCCUGUUACAUCUUUAGCCACAUGUAUAAAGGACACCCCUAACCUACUACAAUAUCUGAAUGGAGUAGGAGCCUUCAAUGGUAUCUUGAUCACCAUGGACAUUGGGAGUUUGUAUACCAUCAUCCCACAUGAUGAUGGGAUACAAGCUAUGCGAAACCCACACACAACACUAUCAUUGCCCUUCUAUCAAAUAUGUUCUGGAAUUGUUGGCCAUCGCUCUACAGAACAACUACUUUCAGUUCGAGACACUCUGGUACUUGCAAACAGCAGGCAAAUCAAUGGGGGCAGCGAUGGCCCCGAUGUACGGGAAUGCCUUCAUGUACGAAUAUGAGACAAAGUACAUCCUAGAGCAAUAUGACCAACAAAUUUCCAGAUAUUUUAGGUUCAUUGAUGACAUCUUAAUCUAAUGGAAUGGCACUAAUGAGGAAGCACAGCAGUUUGUACAAGACCUCAAUGCUCUACCUACACCGGUUAGAAUGACCUCCAACAUUGAUGAAUAUAGGGUCCAAUUCUUGGAUGUGGAGAUCAUGAUUAUCAACCAUAAACUGGAGCACAAACUCUUUACUAAACCCACGGACUGCAAUACAAUCUUGCACUUUAAGAGCUCCCAUCCCAGACAUUUGAAGGAGUCAUUACCCUAUUCACAGUUUUUGAGGGUACUACGCAACAAUUCCUUGAGUCAACAUUGUGAUCAACAACUAAUCACUAUGUAUAGAAAAUUUCAAUCAAGAGGAUAUCCCCGUACCAUUCUUGAUGAGGCCGUUAACAAAGCAAGAUCGGCCUUUAUCUCUCCAGACUGCCAGGGUGAGAAAGUAACCAACACUCGACCCAUCUUCCCUAUGUAUUUCAACACCACGAGCUCGGAACUGACAUGGUCAAUUCACAAUAAUUGGAACAUACUGGAACUAGACCCCUCUCUCCCGGAAAAUCUCCGCCAGAAGCCUAUGUUCUGUUUUCAACGUAACAGGAACUUGAGAGAUAUAUUGGUCAAAACAGAUCCACAGCAUUGUUAUGGACCCACUAAAAAAGAGAACAGAAAUGUGUUUGGGAUGUGUAACAUGCGGACAUAUCAUCAUCCCCUCAAAAACCUUUAGCCAUCCCUACACAGGCAAAGUGUAUAGAAUCCAACAUCGCAUUAAUUGUUGGACUGACUUUGUCAUCUAUAAGCUGACAUGCCCUUGCGGCCUUAACUACAUAGGCAAAACAGAGACAGCGCUCUGUGAGAGAAUUAGGGGCCACAGAUCAAGUAUCCGACUUGCGUACCGAGAUGGCAAGUCAGGCAAACCUGUGGCCCGACAUUUUCUAGAUUUCCAACACCAACUAGCAUGUCCCUGUCCCAGCUCGUGGUGGAGAUAGGGGCAAACUCUUACUACAAAGAGAAACCUAUUGGAUAAUUCAGCUCAAUACCUUGUCACCUAAGGGUCUGAAUGAAAAGUGUUCCUUUACAGUUAUUCUUUGACAGCCCAAAAUAUUUUCAAAUGUCUCUCAUAGUAGGAAGGGGCGAUCAAACAACUGGUCGAGUGAAGAUCUCUUAUGUAUGGCUUUGGGAACUUUGUUACAUUAUCGCACAUAUAUUGAUAGUACUAUUGUUCUUUUAAAUUAUUAUUUAUAUUGUAAUUUUUUACAACAAUGUAUAUAAAACAUUUUUUUUUGAUCUAGUGUAAAUGCAUUAUAAUGAGACCCUAGGAGAGAUAUAAAUGUAUGGAAUUACAAUUAGGAAGAUGUACAUAAUGUUAUGUUCUUGUAGUAUUCCAUUUAUACUUAAAAUGAUGUAUUAUACAUUGAUCAGCGCAUAUUGGUACUCCAAGUCGUUUUUACACUCAUAUUUAAAACUCAUUAGUAACACAUAGUUUGUGGUACACAUAUUACACAUUAAUUACUAAAAUGUCUUGACACAAAAAGAAAAUUGUCUUUCUCAUGAUAUAUUAUUAAUGUCUCUGUUUUGGAGCUUAAAUGUAUUCUCACUAUUUAUUUUUCAGCAAGUGCAAUUGUGUUUGCAUGAAUCCUUGUAUUAAUAUAUGGAGGUUGCUCCUCCUUUAAAUAUUGGAAGUUCACACACUGUAAAUUUCACUGAUUUUGUUUUUUUAUUUAAUCAUUAUAAUGCCUCUAUUAUAAAUAUAUUCUGUUCCUUUAUCUCUCCUUCCAUGUCUCCAGGUGCCCCCUUCCUGUUGUUCCAUCCGACCGCGUUCCGGUUGCCAUCACAACGCUUCAACAAAGAAGGAGGUGUAGUGAAUUAGUGAAAUUUGCCCCUCCAUGGCGCCAGUACACGCGGGAAUAACCAAUGAGAAUUAAGCUUCUCUGGUUGCCCUGGAAACGUGAUGCGCCUGGCCAAUCCACUCACUCUCUCCUCUACCACGUGGGCCGACACCCGGAAGUAACUAAAUUAGCGUGGAUGCGACUAGGGCGCGCUCGGCGACGGCAGUGAAUGAGUGUCACCUGGAUACGUCAGUAUUUACCUGAUUAUUAUGUCCUAUAUAAGCUUGUGUUUUUUGGUAUUUUAUUUUUAUCCUGAUGAAAGCUCUAUGAAGGAGCUGAAACGUUGAUGACUAUUUUGGAAUAAAAGAAGAAAUCCAUUUGAAAAUCCUUGAAGUGCCG
Molecule: long non-coding RNA, 94388 nt
Filed under: Pelobates cultripes (western spadefoot toad)
Lineage: Eukaryota; Metazoa; Chordata; Amphibia; Anura; Pelobatidae
Source: RNAcentral